AUUUUGCAACAACAACUGAUUCCAUGCAUGGAUGUUGUAUUGCAGCAACACAACAUAGCGCAUGGAAGAUCACAAGUUUUGCAACAAAGUACUUACCAGCUGUUGCAAGAAUUGUGUUGUCAGCACCUAUGGCAGAUCCCUGAGCAGUCGCAGUGUCAGGCCAUCCAAAAUGUUGUUCAUGCUAUUAUUCUGCAUCAACAACAAAAACAACAACAACAACCAUCGAGCCAGGUGUCCUUCCAACAGCCUCUGCAACAAUAUCCAUUAGGCCAGGGCUCCUUCCGGCCAUCUCAGCAAAACCCACAGGACCAGGGCUCUGUCCAGCCUCAACAACUGCCCCAGUUCGAGGAAAUAAGGAACCUAGCGCUACAGAUGCUACCUGCAAUGUGCAAUGUCUACAUCCCUCCAUAUUGCACAAUCGCGCCAUUUGGCAUCUUCGGUACUAACUGAGAAGAAAAUAACUCUAGUACUAGAUAUAUGAAACACCGUUUUCUCAGUCCAUGGUUUGGUCAUUGUAGCGUCGAAAAAAUAAUGUGACAUGCACUAUCAUAUAAGAAUCCGAACUAUACUAGUUCAAACUUGGGAAUAAAAGACAAACACAUGUCUUGUCUACAUAUUUAUGUUGCAUCUAUUUAUAUAUUAAAAGUAAUAUAAGGUGAACCAGGAGCAAGGUAAAUAUGCUAGAAAAUUGCACGUUAAUUAGAAAUUACUUGCCCUCGAUCUGGUAAAUCUUAACAAAUAGAAUUAUCUUGACCGUUAGAUUUAUAUAACAUAUAUAAUGCUCUGGGCCUCCAACGACUGUACGUGACACAUCUGAACGAACAUAUGGUAAAGAAAAUAUAUUUGGUAAAUGGUGGGCCUGUUUAAAAAGAGAACUCACGUACAUGCACCAACUAAGAAAAACACAUACAUGUAAACGGGAAAAGGAUGAGAUUUUCUCACGUACGUGCUCCCUGGCUCCACCCCGUUGAAAAAAUAUACAUCUGGAGGCCACUUUGUUUCCUCAUCAAAAAAACUUACGUUAAAAAGAUUGCAUGCAUCCCAGGGAAAAUAGUCAAGAAGAAGUCGGACUUUUCCUUACAAAAACAAGGAACGUGUUAAGUUGACUUCAAAGAAAAAAGGAACAUGUUAAGUUAAAAAAAAACAAGAAACCUGUUAAGUUAGAAAAAAACAAGGAACGUGUUGUCCAAGGAAAGAUAUGUGUCAAAUCUUACAAAAAAAAAGAAUACACACACGUACGUUCAUGCACUUGGAAAAUAGAAAAAAAGGAACAUCACGUAUGUAUACACUUCGGAAACUCAUUACAUGACCAUGUCUGAUAUACUCCUCUAAUGCUUAAUAUUAGUGCCUAAUAAUUUAUAUUUAAAAUUUAAUUUACUGAUCAAAUAUCCCCACUGUUUAAAUUUUAAUUUGGCACAUUGUUUGGCUAUAGUAUGAACCUGAAUUUCCUCUUAUUAUUAUAUAUCAUGGUAAUAAUCCAAAGGCGACUAAUCUGCACCGGCGCACCGGCGCAAUCAAUUCGGCUGGACACAGCGCGGCCGUUUGAUUAGAUUGCAUUUAACCAUCAGAUCUGGAAUCGUUUUCUUUCCAAUUAAACGGAUUCAACCAAACAGCAGAGGGGAAAACAAAGCAGCGCCGCCGCCAACACUAGCCAUGGACGACCGAUGUAGCAAAACCUUGAAGAACCGCCGCCGGUCGCCACCCUCGCCUCUGGUCGCUGCCCUCGCCGUCGGUCACCGCCGGUCGCCGCCCUCGCCGCCUGCGUUUCUCAUCGGCUUCAUGCAUGCAACAACAUGCACUCGUGGUUGCAGGCUUGCAUCUCCGGCUCCGGGGACAUGGCCGCAUCUCCGGUAGCGCCGGCCGCCGGCCGCAGCACCUGUCGUUGUGGUCGCGCUGUACCUCGCCGUGUGCCCUCCCGAGGCUCUUGCUGGUUCCAACAAAAAACGAUACCUGUUGUAGCAAAAAAGUAUCGCUUCCAGCAAAAAAGCUUACCGCUACAGCCCGCCAUCGUCAUUGUAGCAAAAAUGUUAACCCGAUGUAGCUUCUGUGGUUGCCGACUGCAGCAAAAAAUGACAUGGCUGUAGCAAAACACAAAAGAAAAACACUGGCCGGCCGCUGUGUAUGGUGGUAACAAACCCUAUAGCCGGUGGUAGCGAAAAACUUCAUAGUGUGCUGCAAAAAAAUGUUGUCACCCGUCGUCGAGGUUGCAUCAUCUUCAUGAAUUAUGCCGCAAAAAAACGUUGUCGCCGGUAGUAGCAAAUGAAGCCGCCGGUAGUAGCAAAACAAGACACUGGUUCCAGCCAAAAAAAAAAUCAGCGACAGAACCUUUGGUUGGUUCCAACAAAAAAACUUGUCGGUUGUAACAUCCCUCGCCGCCGGAUGUAGCAUCUCCCGGGGCUGGUUGCAACACUCCAUAAAAAAAGUUGUCUAUGAGCGCAUCCAUGGUGACUGCUGCACCGUCAGCAAUGAGGGGAAGAGGAGGCAAUGAAAAUCAUUCGAGUCAUAGCUCCACAGGACGCGGCUGCAGCAUGGGGAGUCCAAAAAUCUGUCACAAGCAACAUGCGCCGCGCCAUCCUCCUGCGCAGGAGAGAGAAGAAAAAGGAAUAAGAGGAAGAAGAAAGGAAACAGGAGAAAGAAAAAAGAAAGGAUUGGUGGUUGGCUCAGGCAAUUAGUCAAGCGAGGGGCACGCGGGGCCGCAGGACACAGCGCAAUCGAACGAAGCGCGCGCGUCCGGGCGAAGACUCGGCCGGACUGCCGUCUGGAAACGUUUCCCUAAUCCAAAGGCUUUAUCUGAAUGACAAGUCGUCUGGGUUACCGGCUAACUAGAAAAAAGAUAAAUAUGCUAGAGAAUUCCAUAAUAAUUAGAAAUAUCUAGCCUUUAAUUAUGUAAACCAGAAAAUCACAACCGUUGGAUUUACUUUAAAGGUAAAUUUCUAUAAAUUCCCACCAUUGCCAGUAUGUAGAAACAUGUGCUGCUUCAAUUCUCCCAUAAUCACCAAUCAAUCAACAACACAAAACAUACCUCAGUUAAAAAAACUGAACAAAAAAAAGAAAAAAAGAAGAAAGGACAAGAUACACGCAUGUACACGACAGCCUUGGCUUGAAACACAUCAGUAGAUCAAGUGUCCGCCUCCCUUACACGUACGUCCCAUGAGGUUUACUAGCCUACCGCCGCCGCAUCAUGCCAUCCUCUCCUUUCAGCUCCCAUGCUCUCCAGCACCCUCAUUGCGGCGCCACUACUCGCCUAGGGAUAUUGCUGCUCAGACCGUGGAGCUUAACCACAUCAGCAUCAGCACGUAUGGGCCUCAUUAUACUGCAGCACGUAUUGCGCCCCCUUAAGUCCAGGUCUGUUUGCUGGCACAUAUGCUUUGGAAAUAGGCCACUAUGUUUGUACUUCAAAAUUGUUUCUGUAUUCUUGAGUGGUACAUCCUUUUAAGCGCCAGUUUUUUAUGUUAAUUCAUGCUGACAACACUUAACCUAGCCUUUCAUGUUCACGUACUAAAUACAGGAGCAAGUAAAAACAACAGACCACCUAAUUGCUCUGCAUGUACUACAUAGGAAAAUUUGUCAUGUUCUACGAUCGCACCAUCCCACCCUUCUCUCUUGGUAUGGGCGCCAAUUGAGGGAUUGAUAAAACUGAAACGAAGACGUCACAGGGCUGGAAGUACCGCUAGCCUGGUUUGCACUGCAACCUACCCAACGCCAUCAGAAACUAGCAACUGAGUCAGGUGUUGAUCGAUUCUCUCAAAUUGCUCUCAUGUAAGUACUACCCCUUGCAUGUGCGUACAUACCUUUGUUGCAUUCUCAAACAGAUAGAACAUGUUUGAUCGGUGCAUGGCUAUUUUUCAUCACAUGACAUCCAGAUAACAAGCAUGAAAGGACUACAUUGGAGAUCAAAAAAUAUUGGUUCCUGGCUAGAGUACCACUACCUAUGGACUUGUCUCCAUAGAAUUUGUUCCCAAGAUGUUAUUUUAAUUAAUCUCUUUAGCUUUCUUCCAUUGCAAACGGUGAUGUGCAUCAUGGUAUAUACGUGACCAUCUUGCACAUGUAUACACAAGAGGCUCAGAUGGAGGUGCUGGAUUCUGGACGAGGGAAUAUGAAGCAGGAGUGAGCGAAGAGUAAAUAAUGGUGGGAGUACCGAUUGGUGUUAUGAAGAAAAAUGCCAUCCAAAGAUUGAUUAGUGUCAUGGAAGAUUAAUUUCUGAAUGCGAAUAUAUAUGUUACAUUGGUUUGGAUCUUUUUGAGAUAAUUCCACCUAAAUUAGGUUCUUUCUUAUUUCAUAUGUAUACCUUAUUUCAGUAAAAGUUCACAACGAACUUAGUAGGACAAAUAUAAUUUUGUUUGUUCUUUCUGUUGUCCGCCACCAAAGCUCAAUUUGAACUCUCUAGAAAUGGACAAUGAUUUAUGCAUUCUAUAUCUUCUUGAUUGAUUAGCCAUGACAAGGAAAUAAAAGGAUUGACUGAUAUAGCAUAACUUUGGAACGAUUAGAGGUUACUACAAAUAAGAGUAGUGUCUGUUGGAAUUUUGCUAGUAGGCCUUUGGCCCAAAGCCCAACUAAAAUUCUGAAAUUCUCUUGGCUCAUUUAUGCACACAUGUGAGUUGAGUGAGUGAGACUAAAGUUUAGUCCCACCCUGGAAGUUGAGAGAGAGUUGCACCUCUUUAUAAGGUGAGCUCUUCUACCACUUGUAUGAGCAUGAGAAGAGGAGACCUACACGCGCGCUCCUCCUCCACGCUCGCCACGCCUCGUCGCGCCGCGCCGUGCCGCGGGUUGCGGGAUUGAGCCGAGCCGAGGACGUUUUCUAUAUUUUUGCUGCUCGGGAAAAAUUAAUGAGUCAUUAAUUAAUAAUUAAUGGACACAUUAAUUACUGAACCGUUUCCGAUUUUUUUGGAUCGUGACGACUCGGACGUGGGGUUUACUCCCAGGACCUACCCGGCCCGCACUAUAUAGUCAGGAAGACGUCUACCCUAGCCGCCGCCGCUUCGUAUGGUUUCUCACCAUCGUUACAGAUCAUUGCGCCGCCAAGCAAGUUUUCUCCAUCCCUCCUUUCGGCGUGCACCGGGAGAAGGGACAGCAGACCUCCGGAACCCCGCCUCUCGUGAUCCUAUACGGGAGAGGGGCGAUCAGGUUUUUGGGGAGCGCACUCGCAUGACUGCUGGCAGCGACGACUUCGCAAACGACGACUUCUUCCCCGACCUCGGCAACCUCAUCCUCGACGACAUGGGCGACAACGUCAACGCCGGCGGUGCUACACCCACUGCACCGUAUGUUAUUCUCUCCUUCUUGUUCGAGAUCAUGGUAGAAUUCAUGUUUCUAGUAUAUGUGCCCUAGAUGUGAUCUGUUCAUCUACUAUGGUAGUUCGCAUGAUUAGUUUAAUCUCUGUUAUUGCUGUCAUGAUCUAUUUCCUAUUUAUUCGGAUUAAAUCUCGUAGUAAUUUUCUCAUUUUUCCAACAAUCCAAAAACCUGAUUAUAGGAAAUUUACUCCGAGUGGUUUUGCUGCGCAUCUGAAAGCCGCUUGCCUUUAAGGGGGCGCAAUAUAAGAGGUGGCGCACCAGAGCAGUCUACUGGUUUCAGAUCAUGGGCUGCUAUGACGCCACCAAGGGCAAGCCUGAGGGCGAUCUUAAUCCAGCACAGCUGGAAGCUUUCAAGAAGAUCAAUACCCUCUUUAAAGGCACGCUUCUGAGUGUUCUUGAUGACUCCAUUGUAGAUUCGUAUAUGUCGUUUGACAAUGGCAAGAACAUGUGGGCUACGCUCGAGGCCAAGUUUGGUGCCUCGGACGCCGGCAGCGAGUUGUACGUCAUGGAGCAAUUCUAUGACUCCAAGAUGACUGAUGGGCGCCCUGUUGUACAGCAGGCUCAUGAGAUACAGUUGCUCGCAAAAGAACUUGAGUACUUCAAGUGUGUGUUGGCGAACAAAUUUGUUGCCGGAGGCAUCAUUGCCAAGCUUCCACCUUCGUGGAACAAUUUUGCUACUUCCCUGAAACACAAGAGACAGGAGUUUUUCGUUGCGGAUCUCAUUGGUACUCUUGAUGUUGAAGAGAAGGCGAGAGCAAAGGAUACACGUGCUUGAGUUGCUAAGGGAGGUUCUAGUGCCCACAUGGUACAGAAGAAGAACUUCCAGCCCAACAAGUUCAAAAACAACAAGAACAAAACUUAGGGCAAAGGCAAGUUCGAUACAAAGAACAAGCCAUCACAUUCUACCAACUUCAAGAAGAACUCUCAUAAGAAGGGGAAGGGACUUUGCCAUGUCUAUGGUGAUCCUAAUCACUGGGCUCCGAAGUGUCCCAACCGCUUUGAGGAGCGCGAACAUGAGAAGAGCGGCAAGUCUGCUAAUGUUGUCAUCGGUGAUACUGAUAUGAAGGAAUCAGGGUACGGUAUUUUUCCUACCAUCCUUUCAGUAUUCCAAACCCCUGACUGGUUAAUUGACACCGGUGCCAAUGUACAUGUUUGUGCUGAUGCCUCCAUGUUUUCUUCUUACCAGGCCACUGGGACUUCUCCUAUGCUGAUGGGGAACGGGUCACAUGCCAUCGUUCGAGGUGUUGGUACGGUCGAUCUGAAGUUUACUUCGGGGAAGACCGUGCGUCUGAAGAACGUUCAUCAUGUGCCGUCCAUCAAUAAAAAUCUCGUUAGCGGUUCCCGUUUAUGUCGAGAUGGUUUUAAGUUGGUUUUCGAAUCCAAUAAAGUUAUAAUUUCUAAGUAUGGACAAUUUGUUGGAAAAGGCUAUGAGAGCGGAGGCUUGUUUCGCCUGUCUUUGUCAGAUAUUUGCACUAAAGUUAUUAAUAAUGUUUGCCACAACAAUGAGUCUGAUAUUUGGCAUUCACGACUUUGUCACAUUAACUUUGGUUGCAUGACGCGGCUAGCCAAUAUGAAUUUAAUUCCGAAAAUCUCUACUGUCAAAGGAUCUAAGUGCCAAGUAUGUGUGCAAGGUAAGCAACCUCGCAAGUCCCAUAAGACUGCAGAGGCAACAGACUUGGCGCCACUAGAGCUUAUACAUUCUGAUAUUUGUGAGAUGAAUGACGUGUUGACAAAAGGUGGAAAGAGAUACCUCAUGACGUUGAUUGAUGACUCCACUAGAUAUUGUUAUGUGUAUCUUAUGAAAUCAAAAGAUGAGGCUUUGGCUUUCUUCAAAAACUAUAGAGCUGAGGCAGAGAACCAACUUGAUCGAAAAAUUAAACGGCUUAGGUCCGAUCAUGGUGGAGAGUAUUUUUCCAAUGAAUUUGAUCUAUUUUGUGCGGAACAUGGUAUAAUCCAUGAGAGGAUGCCUCCCUACUCACCCCAGUCAGAUGGGGUAGCCGAAAGAAAGAACCAAACUCUAACUGAUAUGGUUAACACCAUGUUAGACACUUCGGGUCUAUCCAAGGAAUGGUGGGGGGAGGCGCUAAUGACUGCGUGUCAUGUCCUAAACCGAGUUCCCACAAAGCAUAAGACCAUGACUCCAUUUGAGGAAUGUUAAAGGAAAAGGUUGAAACUCUCUUACCUACGUACUUGGGGUUGUUUGGCGAAAGUCAAUAUACCAAUUCCCAAGAAGCGCAAGCUUGGACCAAAAAUCGUGGGUUGUGUUCUUCUUGGCUAUGCUUUUCAUAGCAUCGGCUAUAGAUUUUUGAUAAUAAAAUCUGAGGUAUCCGACAUGCAUGUUGGUACGAUUAUGGAGUCGAAUGAUGCAACUUUUUUUGAGGACAUAUUUCCUAUGAAGGAUAUGUCGAGUUCAUCAAAUCAGGAGACACCUACUCCAUCUAGUGAGGAAUUCAUUGUAAUUCCUGAACCCACCAUUGCGAUGGAACACAUUGAGAAUCCUGUUGAGGGUGACAAUGGAACUCUUGUGAGGAGUAAGAGACAUAGGACUACAAAGUCCUUUGGUGAUGAUUUCAUUGUGUACCUCGUGGAUGACACACCCAGGACUAUUUCAGAAGCCUGUGCAUCUCUUGAUGCUGACUACUGGAAGGAAGCUGUACGUAGCGAGAUGGAUUCCAUCUUAGGUAACGGAACCUGGGAGAUCACUGACCGUCCUUAUGGGUGAAAACCUGUAGGAUGUAAGUGGGUGUUCAAGAAGAAGCUUAGACCUGAUGGUACGAUUGAAAUGUACAAGGCACGGCUUGUGGCCAAGGGUUAUACCCUGAAAGAAGGUGUAGACUUCUUUGAUACUUACUCACCCGUGGCUAGACUGACCACAAUUGGGUGCUACUAUCACUUGUUGCCUCACAUGGUCUUCUCGUUCAUCAAAUGGACGUUAAGAACGCUUUCCUCAAUGGAGAGUUGAAGGAGGAAAUUUACAUGGAUCAGCCAGAUGGUUUUGUAGUACCUGGUUAGUAAGGAAAGGUGUGCAAGUUAUUAAAGUAUUUAUAUGGCCUUAAACAAGCUCCUAAAGAGUGGCAUGAGUAGUUUGAAAGAACAUUAACUGCUACCGGCUUUGUAGUAAACGAUGGUGACAAGUGCGUGUACUAUCGCUAUGGUGGGGGCGAAGGAGUUAUUCUUUGUUUGUAUGUCGACGACAUAUUGAUCUUUCGAACCAAACUUGAUUUAAUCAAGGAGGUUAAGGAUUUCUUAUCUCGCUGUUUUGAGAUGAAGGAUCUAGGAGUAGCUGAUGUUAUCUUAAACAUCAAGCUGUUGAGAGAUGAGAAUGGUGGGAUCACACUGCUUCAGUCACACUAUGUGGAAAAGGUCUUGAAUCGUUUUGGGUAUAGCGACUGCACACCUUCUCCAACCCCAUAUGAUGCUAGCAUGUUGCAUCGAAAGAAUCGACGGAUUGCUAGAGAUCAACUGAGGUAUUCUCAUAUUAUUGGCUCGCUUAUGUAUUUGGCGAGUGCCACGAGGCCAAACAUCUCGUUUGCUGUUAGCAAGCUGAGUCGGUUUGUGUCAAAACCAGGAGAUGAUCAUUGGCAUGCACUUGAGAGAGUUAUGUGCUAUUUGAAAGGCACCGCGAGCUAUGGGAUUCACUACACCGGGUAUCCAAGAGUACUGGAGGGUUAUAGUGACUCAAACUGGAUAUCUGAUGCUAAUGAGAUUAAGGCCACAAGUGGUUAUGUUUUUACACUUGGUGGUGGCGCUGUUUCUUGGAAGUCCUGCAAGCAGACCAUCUUAAUGAGGUCAACUAUGGAAGCAGAACUCACAACAUUAGAAACUGCCACUGUUCAAGCAGUGUGGCUUCAUGAGCUCUUGAUGGACUUUCCUAUGAUUGAAGAACCAAUACCCCCUAUCCCAAUGAACUGUGAUAAUCAAACUAUGAUCGUCAAGAUAAAUAGUUCUAAGGACAAUAUGAAGUCCUCAAGGCAUGUGAAGAGGAGACUGAAAUCUGUCAGAAAAUUGAGGAACUCCGGAGUUAUUACGUUGGAUUAUAUCCAAACGUCAAAAAAAUUGGCAGAUCCCUUCACAAAGGGUCUAUCACGUAAUGUGAUAGAUAAUGCAUCGAUGGAGAUGGGUCUGAGACCCACCGCAUGAGUUGUCCAUAGUGGUAACCCACUCUUUGUGAUCGGAUAUCCCGUGAAGUAUAAGUGGGAGACAAGCUGUUGGUCAGCUGGGAGGAGAGUAUCCCUAUAUUACCUGUCCCACUCCAUGAAGAUGCAAUACUCUCCUAAUCUGCAUGGCAGGUUGAUACUUAUCUUAAUGUGUUCCAAGUGGCUUAUUCGGGUAAGCAGAGAUGUUGUCCUGCAGAACAUCUUCUGAGGAACACACCUAUAUGAAUUUGACUGUUAACGUCGCAGUCUGUGAGAAUUGGGUGUUCUCUAAUAAAUUCAUGAAAAGGCCCUGGAGUAUGACGUAUACGCUCCACCCGCAGGGAAGCCUUGCGGCAGCCCAGUAUCGGUCAAGAAUUUGUGUGAAACUAGUUGCGCAGAAAAUUUGUAGUUCAAGGCAUAGUCCACUAUUCAAGUUGUGAUCUAGUGUAGCAUAAAUCUCUAAGUGGAAGUUCAACUUCACAGUCUCCACUAAGCCCCGGUAUAUAAACAAUGUUUUGGAACUAAAUGAUGAGAUGUGCCAAUGAGACUUUGUGGGGGAUUGUUGGAAUUUUGCUAGUAGGCCUUUGGCCCAAAGCCCAACUAAAAUUCUGAAAUUGUCUUGGCCCAUUCAUGCACACAUGUGAGUGGAGUGAGUGAGACUAAAGUUUAGUCCCACCCCGGAAGUUGAGAGAGAGCACCUCUUUAUAAGGUGAGCUCUUCUACCACUUGUAUGAGCAUGAGAAUAGGAGACCUACACACGCGCUCCUCCUCCUCGCUCGCCACGCCACCCCUCGUCACGACGCGCCGCGGGUUGCGGGAUUGAGCCGAGCCGAGGACAGAGCUAUGCACAUUGUCUAUUUUUUGCUACCCGAAAAAAUUAAUGAGUCAUUAAUUAAUAAUUAAUGGACACGUUAAUUACUAAACCGUUUUCGAUUCUUUUGGAUCAUGAAGACUCGGACAUGGGGUUUACUCCCACGACCUACCGGGCCCGCAUUAUAUAGUCCGGCAGACGUCUACCCUAGCUGCCGCCGCUUCAUAUGGUUUCUUACCACCGUUCCAGAUCAUUGCGCCGCCAAGCAAGUCUUCUCCAUCCGUCCCUUCGGCGUGCAUCGGGAGAAGGGACAACAGGCCUCCGGAACCCCGCCUCUCGUGAUCCUGUACGGGAGAGGGGCGAUCAGGUUUUUGGGGAGCGCACUCGCGCGACUGCUGGCAGCGACGACUUCGCGAAUGACGACUUUUUCCCUGACCUCGGCAACCUCAUCCUCGACGACAUGGGCGACAACGUCAACGCCGGCGGUGCUGCACCCGCUGCACCUUAUGUUAUUCUAUCCUUCUUGUUCGAGAUCAUGGUAGAAUUCACGUUUCUAGUAUAUGCCCUAGAUGUGAUCUGUUCAUCUACUAUGCUAGUUCGCAUGAUUAGUUUAAUAUCUGCUAUUGCUGUCAUGAUCUAUUUCCUAUUUAUUCGGAUUAAAUCUCGUAGUAAUUUGCUCAUUUUUCCAAUAGUACCAUCUAAUAGAUGAUGUAAAUCUCCUCUAGUUUGACGUUGUUGAGCUAAUUUACAAAAAAAACCUCAUCAUUAUUGGACGUCCUUAACAGCUCAAGAACAAGUUGGGGUCGAACUAAUGGAUUUUACACUUUUACAUUAAAGGUUUAGCUAAAGCUAGCAGGUGUUUUUAAACCUGAAUUUUUUUCCUCCUGAAUUUCUUUGUAUUUUCUUAUUGACACUAUUUAUACAAUCAUCUGACAAAGAUUAGCUAAAGCUGUUUGUAGAUACGUUGAAACCUGAAAAGCUUCUUUGGUUAUCCUUUUAAUAGUUCUACGUUUAUUUUCUCAUAGGUCAUAAUUCUUAUGUAAUACCAAGAUGCAUUGUGGUAGUGUACAUGUGUUAAAUUCAGGUUGUUAUUCACAAUUUGCGACAAAAUUUAGCUCACGCUACAUUCAAAUAUGUUGAAAUGUGAAAGCUUUUUUUUCUUCUCCUUUCUACACCUUGCAUCGGAUUGCAUCCCUUUAGUUAUCCAACAUUUUGUACAACAUGUAGAGAUUAGGAAGUUCAUCAUAGUUUGUUUAUUUCGGUGCUAAUAAAUGUAUGAAAUCUGCAUUUCCAAGCUACUAGGACAAGUAAAAAAUAAUAAUUUUACUAUAGGAUUCAAAAACAGCAGUUCUGAAGUGCACUUUAUUUAUUUUUGAAAGUGAUCACAUUUUGUUUCAUUUUUCUAUAGACAAAUCUACUAAUACAUACUCACGAUAAAACUAUAAAAGUUCUAGUCCGCACAUUGGGCGGGCCACCCGGCUAGUUAGUCUAAAGAUAACAAAAUGAGUCUGGAAUUUGAAUUAAAUUGAAGUAUUUUCUUGGACUUUCAAAUUGAGUUUUAUUAAAGUAGUAAGGACUAUCCACAUCCUUGGCUUGCCCCUGAUCAAUUAUUUCCAGAGAAGCAUUCAAUUCAUCAAUCAAUUACAUUGAUUUUAGUGGCUGGUACUUCUCCUCAACAUCAGUAUAUUCACCGUGGCCACUCCAAAUCGGCAAGAAUGAGGUACCAGUGCUCUGGAGCAGUGCAAGCUAAUUGCUUCUCAUCUGAAGGGGUGCGGCCGCAGGAGAGGUAUUUCUGGUGGGCCAAGGGACUAAGAAGCGACUGUGGCAGCGGUAUAGACGCCCGCAAAGCCCCAUAAUUUGUUUUUGGUUUACAGGAAAAAUGCACAUCCAUACCAGCCUGGGGAAUAUAGGACCGUAUUGGAUGGAAAACCAUGUCCGGAUGGUUGCGAGCGGUUUAAGGGUUAGCUUUUGUAACGCCCGGUUAGUUAUGCUAUAGCAAUUCCCUGCUAAUGAUGUCACGUUACCACGAUUACUGUUGUUAACCUCACAAUGAUUCAAUCCCCUUCAAAUUGAAAUUUAAAAUAAAGGCAAACAUCAAAAGUUUUCAAAUAUUAAAACUAAAAUCUUUGAGAGGUGACAAAUAAUGCAUAAGUAAUUAUGGUGGAGAAACCACACUUUAAUCAAAUGUUUAAAUACUCUAAAAUGAAAAAAAACAGUUGCUUAAACUAUUAUUUAAAUGCUUUUAAAAUAGUAAAAAUCUUCUAACUAAAUUAUUUGGGUACCAAACUUUUGGUGGCAGUGGUAUAUUUAGUACAACUAAUUUAGAUGCUAAUUAUAUAAAAAGGAAAAGCAAAAGGGGGCAACCCCUCGCUGGGCCUCGGCCUAGCUGCCACUAGGCUAGCUAGGCUGGCCCCGCCGCCUCCCUUAACCCCCCCCCCCCACUCCCCAUCGAACCCAAGCCCGAUCGCCCCACUUCCCCCANNNNNNNNNNNNNNNNNNNNNNNNNNNNNNNNNNNNNNNNNNNNNNNNNNNNNNNNNNNNNNNNNNNNNNNNNNNNNNNNNNNNNNNNNNNNNNNNNNNNNNNNNNNNNNNNNNNNNNNNNNNNNNNNNNNNNNNNNNNNNNNNNNNNNNNNNNNNNNNNNNNNNNNNNNNNNNNNNNNNNNNNNNNNNNNNNNNNNNNNNNNNNNNNNNNNNNNNNNNNNNNNNNNNNNNNNNNNNNNNNNNNNNNNNNNNNNNNNNNNNNNNNNNNNNNNUUGAUCCCAUCUGGAUCGGGGAGGGUAAUGCCCCAAUCGACCCCGUUGCCGUCGCGGGAUUGCCCGCCGACGUCGCCAGGCCUCCUCCCCGCCACCCGUCUCCGGCUCGCCUCCCCUCUCGCUCCUCUUCCCCGACCCGAUCUGGAUCGUGAACGAGCAAUGAGCUCGAAGCCCCCUUCACCGGCGCCAUCACCGUGCGCCACCACCACCGCCUGAAGACCUCACCGUCGCCGAACCUUGCGUCGCCUCCUCGUAUCCCUCCCCUACUCGCGUCCUCAAGCCAGGCCGAGCCCCUUCUCGGCAACGCCGUGAGACGCCCCCGUCUCCCUCCUCUUUCCACUGCGUUCACCGCGCCGCCCGCCGUGCCCCUCGCCGUGCGCACGCCCACCACCGCACCAGCCCCCGCUCCGCGCACGACCCUACCCGCGUCCGCGCCAUGAUCCCCUUUUCCACCCUACCUUCCUGCGCUCGCCGCGGUCCUGAUGCUCCCCCGCGCCCUCUUUUGGGGGCGCCGACUGCCCCUGUCCCACUGCUCGCCGCCGUGCCUCGCCAUCGCUCUACUGCUAAGUUAUUGCUGCGCUGCGGCCGUCGCCUCUUCCCGCUGCUCCGCCAGCGCCGAAGCUCCCGAUUGGCUCCACCACUUCUCACGUUAAACCGCCGGCCUAAAUGGCCUAACCCCCGGCUAAUGAACCCCCACUAUCCCACUGACACCGGGACCCACAUUCCCUAAUUAACCAUUUAAUAAAUUAAAACUCUUAAAUUAACAUUAGUGUAUGACAUGUGCGUCCCCUAUUAAUUUAUAAUUUUACUGCUAGUUUUAUUAGUUUCUGUUUUUUCUGCAUAUUUCUUUUGUAUUUGAACAGGCUUUAUAUAAUAAUAUUUAGCGUCUCAUACACAUAUAAAUGUAAUUAUAGCAUAUACAUACAAAUAGUCUCAUCAAAUCAUGUCAUCACCAUAAUCAUCAUCCAUCACAAAGUGAUCUCUCGUCAUCAUCUCGAAAAUAGCAAUACAAGUCUCGAUUACUUGCAACUACAUCGUCAUCCAUCUAAACAAUGAUAUACGCGAGAAGCGCUAUCACUAUGAGUGAGAGCGGAACUAUGCAGUACAUGAGUUUGUAUCCCUCUCUCACAUUAGCGUGAACCUAAACUAACUACUGGCUGUUGCUCGGAAACCGGAAACCGGUACACCUGGGCCUGACACUCCGGCCACUCGUCGUAUACUCCUGGCGUAGCACUUCUUCGCCAUCGAUGAUCUAUAAACCUACAUCGUCAGAUGAGUCGAUGAUAUGCAACAUAUAUAGUUGAGCAACAGAAAGAGACAGACUUGGCAAAAAUAGAAGCAACAUAUCAUAAGCAUAAAUAACAAAGUUCAUCGUACGCAAAAUGCCCUAACUAGAGUGAUCUUCGCUAGUCGAGGAGGACGGUUUAAUUACAUCACAAAUAAUUUUUCGUCGUGCAUAACUCAAAGUUCCGUCAUACAGAAAGUAUGAACUAAAUGGACACAUUGUCAUAUUUCAAAAAUCACUCCCACAUGUCGUGCCAUCCAUCCAAGUCAAGGAGAUAGUGCCCGAGCUUAGUGAAAGGCUUUAGGUCGAGACGCUGAGCGGCUAUGCGUGUUCGGACGUCUUCCCACGACAUUUGUCCUUCUUCAUAGAACAUCCCUGUUUUUUCGACGACCUCCUUCAUCACUGGAAGAAAAAGGGCCUGUUGUCCCGGUUCUGGAACCGGGACUAAAGGGUCGGUACUAAUGCCCUGUCCCUUUAGUCCCGGUUCAAUCCAGAACCAGGACAGUUGGGCCUCCACGUGGCCUGUGCGCGGAGCCUAGGCGGGAGACCCUUUGGUCCAAUAAGCAUCCACGCAUCAGCAUUUAUGUGGUUGGGGUUUUUGUUUUUUUUGAAGGGGGGGGCAUUGGGGGUUUUGGGGGGUUAAUUUUGGUGUUUCAUAUAUUGUGUUAGCUAGCUAUAAUUAAUAGAGAGAAUUGUCCUCUCUUAUGUCCGUGCUUGCUCGACGCUACGUACUAUACAUACGUAUAGAGAGGACUAGACACGGUAGCUAGCUAGUAAGCAAACGAAGGAAAUAGAAGAUCGUCAUGAACAUAUAUGCAUACAGAGAGAAGUAAUAUCGACCACCUCUCCUUCUCCGAGAGAUUGGUCGAACAACAAGUUCUCAUAUAUCUAUCCGACACUACCGGCUACAUAUAUACAAUAAUUAUCUCUUACAAAUAUAAUCAUACGGAUUCAGGGUCCACAUAGUAUUCUCUGUCUUCAAGGAUCACGUGGUCAAGAAAGAAUGCCGCCAAUUCCUCUUGAAUUGCUCGCAUGCGAGCUGGUGCUAGGAGUUCAUCCCGCUUCCGAAACAUCUAAUUUAAAGAAGGGGGUUAAUACAUAUAUACAUAUAUAUAUAUAUAUAUAUAUAUAUAUAUAUAUAUAUAUAUAUAUAUGAAUGAAUGAAACUCAACACGAAUGAUGGUAAUAAAAUAAAAUUGUGAAUGUUGUUAUUUACGUACUUCAUAUUGUUCGUCAGUGUAGCCCCGCUCAUAGGUCGUGUGGCGGAUGGACUCGCAAACGUAGUAUCCACAGAAAUCAUUCCUUUGUUCCUGCCACAACCACUUUAUAAGAAAUAGAGGUCAAUCAAACUGAUAAGCAAGAAUGCCAAAUGGUAUUGAUGAAACUUGUCAGGACCCCGAUUCCAAGCCACAUCGAUCUAGCCGGUAACACCUCAUAUCACUUUGCGGCCUCACGCACGAUAUUCCACGGGUGUCGCCUUACCAUGGCCCGGGACCGUUUGCGCCUUUUGGCUCACGUAUAUGAUAGUGUUGCUAGCAUCCAUAUGACAGAGAACCCGGGCCGACAUGGCUAGUCGUGAACCCAAAGUGGCACAGACCUAUGGAGACAGGCAUACAUGAAUCACAUCGAGCAUGUCGGUCAUCAGUGUGUGAUUCCGGGCUGUAGCACUGGGCUAACAGGACUCCGGGGAACCCGGGCUGUAGCAGGCUAGGCAGGACUCCGGAAGUCACCGCGUGACAUUUACCCGAAGGGACAGACAUAGGAACGAAGUGAAUCACAUGCCGGCAAGUCAAGUGUCCUGAGCAGUAGUACUGGGCUAGCAGGACUCCGGUGAACCGGGCUGUAGCGGACUACUAUGGCUCGAGGAACACUAGACUACAUUUCCCCAUAAGAAAGGCUGCCAAGGAUAAACAACUAGAUUGUCGGAUCCCACUCAUACCAAGCAUUUCAAUCAUACACACAAUAUGCCCGAUAUGAGUACAUACAACAUGGCAUCACAACAAAACUCUACAACUCAAGUACUUUAUUUAAAGGCUCUAGAGAGCCAUACAUAACAUGUUCAUACAGAUAGGGGUCACAUGACCCGACACUCAAGUCAUACAAUCAUACAAGCACAUGCGGAAGCAACCGGUCUGAGUACAGACACUAGAAAGAAAGAAGGCUCCUCGAGGCCUGUCUAUCUACAUAGGGCCCUCCAUGGCCAGGAUCACCACCUGGGUGGCUAGUCACUCGUCGAUGUCAAGGUCUACAUAGAACCCAUCGAAGGGGGCUGUGUUGUCGUCUGAAAACAGUAAUUAAGCAAACAUGAGUACAAAGGUACUCAGCAAGUCUUACAAAAGAACCUACUAUACAUGCUUAUUCUCAAGAAGGUGGUGGGGAUAUUGCAGCAAGCCAGUUUUCACUCUUGGCUAAACUAUCCUACAGAACUUCUCUAGUAAAAUAGUUUUCGCACACGAGUCCACUACUCACCAACACAAUACUCCACCGGGGAUCCUCCCUCGUCAUCCUAUGAGAGGGCCAUCCUCGGUACUCACACUUAUCUUGACUAUUUUAGUAGUAUCCAUUUAAUUGUCUAUGAACUGUAUAGGCAACCAAGUAGUCCUUUACCGCGGACGCGGCUAUUCGAAUAGUUUUAUACCCUGCAGGGGUGUACUUCGUCAUACAUGCUUUCACCACUUAUCGUCGUUUACACGACAUGUACUCGGCAACCUUCAAGCGAAAGCCCAGCGAGGGUGUCGGCCACGGCCUACCUAAACACUUAAGUCUCUAGUCCAGGUUUAUCGCCUAUCUAGGUUCCAUCCGCAGGGAGUCCGGGCGAGGUUUCCACAUACGGCCCCGAACGAUGUGAACAGGGUCCCGAGACGCCAAACGGGCGCCCGGCAUACCCGGCCAUGGUGUAUCUACCGCAACAUAGCCCACCCUUAGGGUCAGCGCUACGCACGGCCGCCAACACAUAACCUACAAACACCAGAAACUAUUUGCAACUCCUAGACAGAGUACAAGGGUGAUUAAGAAGCCGAGAGGGUCAAUUAAGGAUCCCAAUGCAUGGUAGUAGCUGAAUCUUAAAUCACACAUACCGAUCUCAGUUCUUAGGGACGGUCUCAAUGAAACAACCCACCAUGUACUCCUACAUGGCCUCUCAUCGAUACCUUUACCAAAACAUGUUCAACACAUUCCUCAUAUUACCGACAUAAUCAUAUCACCCUAGCCCAUCACCCAGAUGAACCAGACCUGACACAACUAUAAGCAUAGCAGGCAUAGCAAGGUAGGAAUCACAUACAUGGCUCAAUCAACUCCUACACAUGCUAGUGGGUUUCAUCUAGUUACUGUGGCAAUGACAGGUCAUGCAGAGGAUAAGGGUUCAACUAUCGUAGCACACAGCAGUUUGAAUCACAUUGUCUUAAUGCAGUAAACAAGAGCAGAGGCAAGAACAUGGGUUGUAUCGGAAUGAUCAAUGGGUUGCUUGACUGAUGGAGUGGUAGUGGGAUACUGCCCUUCAGUUGGAUACUCAUGAAUAUCCUCGGAGGCAGAACCUACCACGAAGAACACAUCGGAACACAAUCAACACAUGAUGAUAUGCAACAAUAUGAUGCAUGCUAUGACAUGGCAAUAUGAAUGUGUCUUGGCCUAAUGCAAGCUAAAAUAGAAAGGGAUGAACUCAUUUGAAUCAAAGAUUCAAAUAUUAGCUCAUUAAACAUGGCCUUAGUAGUGCAUUUCCUUAUUCUGCUUAAACAGCAAGGUAAACUUGUUUUUUCAUGCUUGAAACCAUUACAGAUGGAUAUAUUGAAUUUUUCUGAUAAUUUUUCAUAUAUAAAUUAUUUCAUUUGGAGUUACGGUUGAAUUUCUAUGAUUUUUAGAAGUUUCAAACAUUUUCUGGAAUUUCUUGAAUAAAAAUAAAUCCAGAAAAUGCAUUACUGCGUCAGCAUUGCAUCAUGCUGACCUCCGCAGGUCAAAGGCACCAGCCUAGGUCAAACCUGACUGGUGGGCCCCUUCUGUCAGUCUCUCAGUUAAAUAACAGGAUUAGAUUAACACUAAUUAGCUGUCAGUGGGGCCUGGGCCCACAUGUCACUGACUGAUUAAAAUAAAAUUAGUUAAAACUAAUCCUAGAUUAGUUAGCAAACCGGCCCCACCUGUCAUAGACUUAGGGGGGGUCUACCUGGGCCCACCCAGGGUCAAACUGGGUCAAACUCGCCGGCGCAGCUCGGAAAACGCCUACAGGGCACGAGCGAGGCCGUUCUUGGGCUCAUUGGAGAGCUCUUGCAGUCGCGCAUCUAGUGGCGGUGGUGGCCGGAGACGACGACGGCGAGCUCCAAGGCGGCGGCCGGAGUUCGGCCAUGUGCGGGGUGUCGGCUGUGGCGUGCAAACGUGGAAACUGAGGCACUAGCGAGGCACUACGCGAUGCGGCAAGCACGUUGCAUAGCACGGGAUAAUCAAAUGGUUGCCGGAGCGGCACCGGUGACAAGCUCGAGCGGAGACGAGCUUCGGCCAUGGUGGAACUAUGGCCUAGAGGGUGCAAACGCGUGGAAAAGAAGAGGGGAAAGGUGGCGGAGCUCACAGGGAGGUCGAUGAGCAGCUCAGUGGGCUCGGGGGCGACAGAAGUGAGGCGAAUCGAUGAGCAGCGUCCGGCGGGUACCGAGGUUGAAGACGAUCCGAUGGCGGCGAUGCAGGGCCUCCGGCGAUGCGUGGCUCGGUGGGAAGGGCGAGGGGGUGACGGAGGGCGCGACUACGGCGGUGAGACGGCGACGGGUGCGUCGGCCAUCGCGGGAGAGGGAGAGGGAGAUGAGUGGGAGAGUGAGAGAGGAUGAGAGGGGGACGUGGGGGUCGCGUGGCAUUCCCUGGACGUCUCCCGGCAUCGGCGGAAGCAGGAGGUGGCCGGCGUGUGGCCGCGGGCGCCGGCCACGCGCUCUGCGUCCUUCUGGCGCGAGGAGGACGACGACUGGCAGCGCCAGUAGGCUGGGCCGAGCCAGGUGGGCUGGCCAGCACAGGUAAGGCUCAGGUGGGCUUCUCCCUCUUUUUUUUAAUUUGUUUCUGUUUUCUAUUUAACUGUAAAUGUUGGGCUUUAUUUAAAAUACUAAAACAUUUCCAAAAAUCCUGAAAAUAAUUGUGGGCUCUGUUUGGAUUAUUUCCAAUAGCAAACAUUUAUUUGCAGAAUUAUUUGAGCAUUUAAAUGCCCAAAUUCAAAUACUUAUGAUUUAAAUCAAUGACCUUCUGUUGACCUAGAAAAGUUGUGCACCAAUUUUGCCAGAGGUUCUAACCCAAGACAAAGAGGGUGAACUUUUUAGAAGGGCAUUUCAGGUUCAUUGAAAAUAAUUUUAGUAAUCCCUAGUUGUUUCCAGGGGGGUGUUGGGGGUUUCUGCCUUCCCCAAUUCAAAUUUAAGAGGAAUUUAAACAUGAUGCACAUUCUAAUGCUUGAACUAGCUAGGGUGUGACAACUCACCCCCACUCAAAAGAAUCUCGUCCCGAGAUUUAGGAUCCUCUGGAAAGAAGGUGGGGUACUCGAGUCGAAGACGAUCCUCCCUUUCCCAAGUGGCUUCUUUCUCGGAAUGGUGUGUCCAUUGAACCUUGAGAAACUUGAUAUUAUGACGUCGAGUGGUACACUCGGCUUGAUCAAGGAUACGAACGGGAUAUUCCCGAUAAGAGAGGUUAUCUUGUAGAUCAAGCAUUUCGUGGUCCACUCCACGGAUAGGAUCCGCGAAGCAACGCCUGAGUUGUGAAACGUGGAAGACAUCAUGAACUCUGGAAAGAUGCGGAGGUAGUUCCAAUUGGUAGGCAACUUCUCCUCGUUUGGCAAGAAUGCGAAAGGGUCCAAUGUAACGAGGAGCCAAUUUGCCUUUGAUACCGAAAUGAUGGGUUCCUUUUAAUGGGGUAACCCGAAGGUAAGCCUUCUCGUCGAUUCAUAAGUCAUAGGCUUAUGUUUACGAUCAUAUUGACUCUUUUGACGAGAUUGGGCUGUUUUCAAUUUCUCACGAAUAACGCGAACCUGCUCUUCCGCUUCCUGAAUCAUAUCCGGGCCAAAGAGUUGUCUUUCCCCGGUUUCUGACCAGUUAAGAGGCGUUCGACAUUUUCGUCCAUAGAGAACUUCGAAAGGAGCUUUGCCCAAGCUAGCUUGAUAACUAUUGUUAUAAGCAAACUAUGCGAAUGGGAAGCAUUUCUCCCAACUCAUUCCGAAUGAGAUAACAGAAGCUCGGAGCAUAUCUUCUAGAAUUUGAUUGACUCGCUCUACUUGACCACUUGAUUGAGGAUGGAAGGCGGUACUAAAAGAGAGACGAGUUCCCAUAGCAUUUUGGAAACUUUCCCAAAAUCGAGAGGUGAAGAGACUCCCACGGUCUGAGUUAAUUUCCAAUGGGACACCAUGGAGAGACACUAUUCGGGAGAUGUAUAAAUCGGCUAGCUGGCUAGCAGUGAUACUCGCACGAACAGGUAGGAAAUGGGCUACUUUGGAAAGACGGUCGAUCACGACGAAGAUGGCAUUAUUCCCUCUCUUGUUCCUGGGAAACCCAGUAAUGAAAUCCAUACUGAUUUUAUCCCAUUUCCAUUCAGGAAUAGCCAAAGGUUGAAGGGUGCCAGCAGGCCGUUGAUGCCCUGCUUUAACACGAUGACAGACGUCGCAGCUAGCAAUGUAUCGAGCGAUUUCUCUCUUCAUCCUAGUACAUCAAAACCUCUGGCGUAGGUCUUGAUACAUUUUAUUGCUACCGGGAUGAAUGGUGAGAGGGGAUUCAUGAGCUUCCUUAAGGAUCAAUUGGCGUAGAUGUUGUUUCUUGGGAACCACCAAACGGUUCUCAAAGAAGACAGCACCCCGCUUAUCCAUGGAAAAACAUUUAGCAACUCCGCUAGCAAUGUUUUCCUUAAUCCGGGAUAUGCCCUUAUCAUACCGCUGGGCAGUUAUGAUCUGAUCCAUAAGGUUAGGUUUCGCCACCAGGGUGGAUAGGAAUCCUCGAGGAACAAUGUGAAGAUUAAGCUUACGGAAUUCCUCAUGGAGAAGUGGUUGACUUUGUUGUAACAUCAGGUUGUUACAAUAGGAUUUACGGCGUAGUGCAGCAGCCAUGACAUUGGCUUUGCCCGGUGUGUAGGUUAUUCCUAAGUCGUAAUCCGAGAUCAACUCAACCCAACGUCUUUGCCUGAGAUUCAAAUCUGGUUGGGUGAAGAUAUAUUUCAAGCUUUGGUGAUCGGUGAAGAUCUCGCAACGAUUAAGUGCAUGGACUACAGCUGCCAGCUCUAGAUCAUGUGUGGGAUAAUUUUCCUCAUGUGGGUGUAAUUGCCGUGAAGCGUAGGCAAUUACCUGACGAUCUUGCAUGAGUAUGCAACCUAGUCCUUGUCGCGAGGCGUCACAAUAGAUAAUAAAGUCCUUGGAUAAAUCAGGUGGUACCAGUACGGGAGCAGAUGUCAGGCGUCUUUUCAGUUCCUAAAAGCUGAACUCGCACUGUGGAGUCUACUCGAACUUUUUAUCUUUCUUGAGGAGUUUAGUUAGAGGUUUAGCAACCUUGGAGAAAUUCUCGACGAAGCGGCGGCAAUAGCUCGCUAAGCCAAGGAAGCUCCAAACUUGCUUGACCGUCUCAGGUGGAGUCUAAUCAAGGACGGCUUGAACUCGCUCGGGAUUGACGGCAAUACCCUUACCAGAGAUUACAUGGCCUAGAUAGGUUACUUCUGGCAACCAAAAUUCACACUUGGAGAAUUUGGCAUAAAGGCGAUGCUCUCGAAGUUUCAUCAAUACCAGCCUUAGAUGUUCGGCAUGUUCCUCUUCAUUCUUGGAGUAGAUUAGUAUGUCAUUGAGGUAUACUACGAUGAAUUUAUCCAAGUACUCCAUGAAAACCGAGUUCAUUAGCCGGGAGAAGGUAGCCGGGGCAUUGGUUAAACCGAAGGACAUAACGGUGUACUCGUAUUGGCCAUAACGAGUAACAAAGGCCGUUUUGGGAAUGUCCCCGUUUCUGAUUUAGAUUUGAUGGUAGCCCAACCUCAAAUCCAUCUUGGAAAAGACUGAGGAUCCAGCAAACUAAUCAUACAGAUCAUUGAUCCUGGGAAGUGGGUAUUUGUUCUUGAUGGUGACCAAGUUGAUAGGUCGGUAAUCCACAACCAUUCGAUCUGUUCCAUCCUUCUUGACGAAGAGGACGGGGCAAGCCCAAGGAGAGGAACUAGGACGGAUGAAACCCUUUUUCAAGGACUCAUCGAGUUGGUUCUCAAGCUCGGCUAGUUCUAAGGGUGCCAUCUUGUAGGGUCUUCUAGAAAUUAGAAUGGUUCCUGGAACAAGGUCUAUCACAAACUCGACAUCCCUGUCAGGUGGAACACCUGGCAGUUCUUCUGGAAAGGCAUCCGGAAAGUCUCGGACUACCGGAACAUCCUCAAGGUCUGGAAGGGGGUUGGCAUUUAGGGAGUAAAGUUGGCACUUGGCCACUCGAGUUAAGACAUUAACUGUCUUGCCCGAUGGGUGAGUAAGUUGAACGGUUCUAGUGGCACAGUCAAUCUUAGCAUAAUGAGCUGACAUCCAGUCCAUACCUAAGAUGAUGUUUAUGUCCGAGGACUUGAGAGCUAUUAAGGAUGCAAGGAAGACAAGUCUAUCGACAAGAAUUUCGUUCCCAUGGCUUACUCUAGAAGUUUGCCAUCUAGAGCCAGGGGUUUGAAUUUCCAUGGUAGAGGGCAUGUCACAGAAUGUCGUGUUGUGCAAUCGAGCAUAGUUCUCGGAUAUGAAUGAAUGAUAUGCUCCAGUAUCGAAAAGAACAGAUGCCGGAUGGCAGUUAACAAGGAGCGUACCAAGGACGACGUUGGGAUCCUCAUGAGCCUCCUCGGCUGAAACAUAGUUGACAUGGCCACGUGCAGUGGUGGCUGGCUUAGCGUAGAAUGUUUUUCCCGCGGGCUUACCACGGCCAACGGACUUUCCAGUUUGAUUGGGGUUGUUGUUCUGGGGACACUCUCGGCUAUAGUGACCCGGCUCUCCACACUUAAAGCAUGUCACCACAUUGGGGCGUGGAGCAGCAUUAGCAGCGGGGCCACCAUAGGGCUUGGGCGGUGCAAAUUGCUGGUUGGGACGUGGUGCCUCAAAGGAUGGCCUCGGGAUGAACCUGGGUGGCAGUGCCGUGCUUGGAAUCCACACCCGGCGCUUCUGAGCUCCAGAGCCGAUGAAGAGCCAAAAUCACGGGAGUGCUUGCGUGAAGUGUCAUAAUCAGUCUGGCCUUUCUCAGCACUGAUGGCUUUAUGGACCAACUUCUAAAAGGAGGUGCACUUGUGCAGACGAAGACCACGGUGAAGCUCAGGGCUAAGUCCCUUGCGGAACCUUGCCUGCUUCUUAGCAUCAGUAGAUACCUCUUCAGGGGCAUAACGUGCCAGAUUCCCAAAUUCACGACUGUAAGCAUCCACAGUCAGUCUUCCUUGGGUGAAGUUGCAGAACUCCUCCCUCUUGCGAUCCAUGAGACCUUCCGGAAUGUGAUGCUCACGGAAAGCCUCACUGAAUUCAGCCCAAGUAGUGAUUUGGCCGACCGGGCGCAUAGCUUCGAAGUUUUCCCACCAAAGGCUAGCAGGGCCUUUGAGGUGAUAGGCAGCAUAAGUAACCUUGUCGGCUUUGGCUACGUUGGCAGAACGUAGCUUGUGGGUGAUGCUGUGAAGCCAGUCAUCCACGUCGAGGGGCUCGACGGAAUGGUUAAACUUUGGUGGGUACAUCUUGAUAAAGUCAUUGAUUGACACCAACUCAUUUCGCGGGUGGCGUGCAGUGUUCUGCUCAAUCCGCUCCAGCAGGCGGUUGGUCUCACGCUUCUUUCUUUCUGCCUCCAGCAUUACUUCGGCCAGAGAAGGCGGGUGAGGCAGAUUUUCACCUCUAGCAGCACUGGCUUCCCCCUGCUCCGGGGCAACAGGGUUGCUGCGAGUAUUGACCAUCCUAGGAGAAAACAAGACAACGGUUUAGACAAGGAUGGCUCAAACUGAGCAAGGAUGUGCAGAAUGUAAUGGAUAACACGGAACACAGAGAUGUUCAUCCGUAUGUCAUGGUAAUAUAAAACUGCCAUAUAUAUACCAACGGUCAUACACAUCACACAUAGUUUAGUACAAGCCCAGGCUACAGUACAACUAUGAUGAAAGACGUUACAUCUCAUCGGAGGCAUUCCAAGCUCCUAUACAUUAUUGUCUACACCUUCGGAAUUGAUUACACGCAAAGUCAUAUUCCAAAAGUCACGCAGGACAGUGGAGAUACAACUACUACAAUACUAGUGGUACUACUACUAACUCAGACAGCUCCGUACUAGUCCUCAUAGAAGUCACCUCCAUAGCCUGGAAGUUCAACGUGACCAUCCGGGAACAGACGGUCCUGAGGAGCCUGUGGACCAUAGGGGCUUGGAUGGGGUCUUGGACCAACAAACGGUGGCCUGCGGGGACCACAGGGUGGGGUGAUGCCUCCCACAUCACGCCAAUCCACCACGUCUGGCAAAGCAGACCUCACAGGAUACAAAUCCCUUGUAUCCAUACAUCCAGCUUGCACCACAGGUGCAAACCGAGUCAAUGUGGCCCAAUGAUCAGCACGGGUAUUAAAAAGCUCCAGCCUCAAGGCCUGAUUCUCUCGGUCCUUAUAUUCGAGCAUCUCGGCAGUGGUACGAGUUAAUGAAUCCUCCUGAGUGGAGUCAGCAUAGAUAGCCUGAAGAUACCCUUGCGCUCCCGGAAGUGAAGCUAGCAUGUAUCGGAAGUCGGUGUUCCGAAGCAGGCCAGUCCGGACUCGCAUGAUUGUCAUCAUGGAAUAGGCAGCAUCCUGCACAGCCAUCUCAACAGUAACCCCGAGUCCAUAGGAACAGUGAAGGGGCUCGGUAGAUCCAGGAUAAGAAGGAAAUAUCUUGACGGUGCAGAAAUACUGGCUUUGAUUAAAGUCUCAGAAUUGCUCUUCGACGGUGUAUUCGGGAUACCAACGGUAACCCGUCUCGAUCAUGACCCGGACUAACAUAGCAGUAUGACCGGGCACGUCGAGCCACCGGGUCAGGCGAACCACUUUGUUUUGAGCACGGUUGGGCAUCUGAAAGCACAACCACAAUGCAAAGACAUCAGAAUUUCUAGGGAAAAUUGGACAGCAUAACAGCUGUAAAUGCUCAGAAAAAGAUUUGAGACAUCCACAACAGUUCGCAAUACCACUCAACAACAUCAUAUCAAGGUUCUGAUCCAAAUAGCAGCAUACUAAAAAUAGUAGAAACUGAACUGGGGCUUGUAACAACAAUCCUAUAAGCUACUACGGAUUAGUAACACGUGAACCUGAUAGAAGAAGAGAGACUAGUCCUUAACCCACAUUGAAUGAAAAGGGAAUGACUCAGAUAAGAGGCAUAGGGUAAAGGAGUAAAAGAGCCUUACGUUCCCUCCCACAAUCAAUUCCCCUACAUAUAACUAAAGCAUUUCCAGACUCGACAUCGACCAGUUUGGCUCAACGAACCUACAGGCAGUCCGGCACUGAUGCCAACGCUGUCAGGACCCCGAUUCCAAGACACAUCGAUCUAGCUGGUAACACCUCAUAUCACUUUGCGGCCUCACGCACGAUAUUCCACGGGUGUCGCCUUACCAUGGCCCGGGACCGUUUGCGCCUUUUGGCUCACGUAUAUGAUAGUGUCGCUAGCAUCCAUAUGAUAGAGAACCCGGGCCGACAUGGCUAGUCGUGAACCCAAAGAGGCACAGACCUAUGGAGACAGGCAUACAUGAAUCACAUCGAGCAUGUCGGUCAUCAGCGAGUGAUUCCGGGCUGUAGCACUGGGCUAACAGGACUCCGGGGAACCCGGGCUGUAGCAGGCUAGGCAGGACUCCGGAAGUCACCGCGUAACAUUUCCCCGAAGGGACAGACAUAGGAAUGAAGUGAAUCACAUGCCGGCAAGUCAAGUGUCCUGAGCUGUAGUGCUGGGCUAGCAGGACUCUGGUGAACCGGGCUGUAGCGGACUACUAUGGCUCAAGGAACACUAGACUACAUUUCCCCAUAAGAAAGGCUGCCAAGGAUAAACAACUAGAUUGCCGGAUCCCACUCAUACCAAGCAUUUCAAUCAUACACGCAAUAUGUCCGAUAUGAGUACAUACAACAUGGCAUCACAACAAAACUCUACAACUCAAGUACUUUAUUUAAAGGCUCUAGAGAGCCAUACAUAACAGGUUCAUACAGAUAGGGGUCACAUGACCCGACACUCAAGUCAUACAAUCAUACAAGCACAUGCGGAAGCAACCGGUCUGAGUACAGACACUAGAAAGAAAGAAGGCUCCUCGAGGCCUGUCUAUCUACAUAGGGCCCUCCAUGGCCAGGAUCACCACCUGGGUGGCUACUUACUCGUCGACGUCAAGGUCUACAUAGAACCCAUCGGAGGGGGCGGUGUUGUCGUCUGAAAACAGUAAUUAAGCAAACAUGAGUACAAAGGUACUCAGCAAGUCUUACAACAGAACCUAGUAUACAUGCUUAUACUCAAGAAGGUGGUGGGGAUAUUGCAGCAAGCCAGCUUUGACUCUUGGCUAAACUAUCCUACGGAACUUCUCUAGUAAAAUAGUUUUCGCACACGAGUCCACUACUCGCCAACACAAUACUCCACAGGGGAUCCUCCCUCGUCAUCCUAUGAGAGGGCCAUCCUCGGUACUCACACUUAUCUUGAGUAUUUUAGUAGUAUCCAUUUACUUGUCUAUGAACUGUAUAGGAAACCAAGUAGUCAUACACGCUAUUCGGAUAGUUUUAUACCCUGCAGGGGUGUACUUCGUCAUACACGCUUUCACCACUUAUCGCCGUUUACAUGACAUGUACUCGGCAACCUUCAAGCGGAAGCCCAGCGAGGGUGUCGGCCACGGCCUACCUAAACACUUAAGUCUCUAGUCCAGGUUUAUCGCCUAUCCAGGUUCCAUCCACAGGGAGUCCGGCCGAGGUUUCCACAUACGGCCCCGAACGAAGUGAACAUGGUUUCGAGACGCCAAACGGGCGCCCGGCAUACCCGGCCACGGUGUAUCUACCGCAACAUAGCCCACCCCUAGGGUCAGCGCUAUGCACGGCCGCCAACACAUAACCUACAAACACCAGAAACUAUUUGCAACUCCUGGACAGAGUACAAGGGUGAUUAAGAAGUCGAGAUGGUCAAUUAAGGAUCCCAAUGCAUGGUAGUAGUGAAUCUUAAAUCGCACAUACAGAUCUCAGUUCUUAGGGACGGUCUCAAUGAAACAACCCACCAUGUACUCCUACAUGGCCUCUCAUCGAUAUCUUUACCAAAACAUGUUCAACACAUUCCUCAUAUUACCGACAUAAUCAUAUCACCCUAGCCCAUCACCCAGAUGAACCAGACCUGACACAACUCUAAGCAUAGCAGGCAUAGCAAGGUAGGAAUUAUAUACAUGGCUCAAUCAACUCCUACACAUGCUAGUGGGUUUCAUCUAGUUACUGUGGCAAUGACAGGUCAUGCAGAGGAUAAGGGUUCAACUACUGUAGCACACAGCAGUUUGAAUCACGUUGUCUUAAUGCAGUAAACAAGAGCACAGGCGAGAACAUGGGUUGUAUCGGAAUGAUCAAUGGGUUGCUUGCUUGAUGGAGUGGUAGUGGAAUACUGCCCUUCAGUGGGAUACUCGUGAAUAUCCUCGGAGCCAGAACCUACCACGAAGAACACAUCGGAACACAAUCAACACAUGACGAUAUGCAACAAUAUGAUGCAUGCUAUGACGUAUCUUGGCCUAAUGCAAGCUAAAAUAGAAAGGGAUGAACUCAUUUGAAUCAAAAAUUCAAAUAUUAGCUCAUUAAACAUGACCUUAGUAGUGCAUUUCCUUAUUCUGCUUAAACAGCAAGGUAAACUUGUUUUGUCAUGCAUGAAACCAUUACAGAUGGAUAGAUUGAAUUUUUCUGAUAAUUUUUCAUAUAUAAAUUAUUUCAUUUGGAGUUACGGUUGAAUCUCUAUGAUUUUUAGAAGUUUUAAACAUUUUCUGGAAAUUACUGAAUAAAAAUAAAUCCAAAAAAUGCAUUACGGCGUCAGCAUUGUGUCAUGCUGACCUCAGCAGGUCAAAGGCGCCAGCCCAGGUCAAACCUGACUGGUGGGCCCCUUCUGUCAGUCUCUCAGUUAAAUAACAGGAUUAGAUUAACACUAAUUAACUGUCAGUGGGGCCUGGGCCCACAUGUCAGUGACUGAUUAAAAUAAAAUUAGUUAAAACUAAUCCUAGAUUAGUUAGCAGACCGGCCCCACCUGUCAUAGACUCAGGGGGGUCUACCUGGGCCCACCCAGGGUCAAACUGGGUCAAACUCGCCGGCGUUGAGCCGCCGGCGAGACCCGAGACAGUGGCGCAGCUCGGAAAACGCCUACAGGGCACGAGCGAGGCCGUUCUUGGGCUCGUUGGAGAGCUCUUGCAGUCGCGCAUCUAGUGCUGGUGGUGGCCGGGCCUACGGUGGCCGGAGACGACGACGGCGAGCUCCAAGGCGGCGGCCGGAGUUCGGCCAUGUGCGGGGUGUGGGCUGCGGCGUGCAAACGUGGAAACUGAGGCGCUAGCGAGGCACUACGUGAUGCGGCAAGCACGUUGCGUAGCACGGGAUGACCAAAUGGUCGCCGGAGCGGCGCUGACGACAAGCUCGAGCGGAGACGAGCUUCGGCCAUGGUGAAACUAUGGCCUAGAGGGUGCAAACGCGUGGAAAAGAAGAGGGGAAAGGUGGCGGAGCUCACAGGGAGGUCGAUGAGCAGCUCAGUGGGCUCGGGGCGACCGGAGUGAGGCGAAUCGACGAGCGGCGUCCGGCGGGUACCGAGGUUGAAGACAAUCCGAUGGCGGCGAUGCAGGGCCUUCGGCGAUGCGUGGCUCGGUGGGGAGGGCGAGGGCGUUACGGCGGAGCUUCUGGACAGGUCAGAGAGGCGAGGUGGUGAUGGAGGGCGCGACUAUGAUGGUGAGACGGCGAUUAAAAAGAAAGAUCUGGUUCACUCGUACGUGAAAAAAGUAGCAAGCGCUCGAUGCCUUCCUUUGCAUCGAUGCCAGACGCGGUGCUGGGAAUCGACAAGAUAACCGCCAAUCUACCACGAUUAAAUUCCUAGCGCCUCCUUCUAGCGCCUCCCACUGAAAAUGCCCUAAAGGUUUUGGAGGGAUUUUUUUACUGUGUCCUACUUCACGAAUCACGAGGCAAAUCAAGUAGCCGGCAUGGCCUGGCCGGUGAGUGCCAUUGCACUUACUUGCCCCAGCAAUUUUCCGCGUGCAUUGUAGAAUUCUUUCUCCGAGUCCUGUGAAUUAAAGAUGGUGCAGACAAAAAUAUAUCCUAUAUGCGUACAUGUGCAUGAUCAGAACAUGUUUUUACGUGCGUCUACUAUAAAUCAUGACCAUUUUUAACACAAAUCAUGACCAUUCAUGAUUAGUGAAUCAUACUGUCUUAACUUAUGUGAAAUCAUGUGGAGUAAUAUAAUAUAAUAUAAUAAAUAGAUAGAUCCAUGUUGUAUUAUUUUUUGUUUACAAAAAAUAUCUGUCAUUACACAUUUUGAUUUAUGCAUUUGUUUACAAAAAAAACAGUAACAUUUCAUGGUGGAAAGUUUGUAUUGUUUCAUACUGAACACCAAUGUUUUCCUGUAAAAGAAAAUAAUGCCUACGCAUAUGCUUUUAUAUUAUUAUUAUUCUUUCAAACUUAUUCAUACAGUAUUUUUGAUUGUGCAACCAUAAUUUUUAUUGUCUCUCUCGUUCCACUACAUGCUCUUACUCAAUGAUUUUUUUAUAACGGGUGUUUUUAUUAACUCAAAAUAUAGUAUCAAGCGGAUACAAAACAUAAUGAGCCACACCUGGUCUCUGCAUAACUAAGAUGCACACAGCCAAAAGCAGAUGUCUGACAAAAAUAAGAUAAGAAAAUCGACAUAUCGACAACAGUGAGUCAUAUAGUCCCGACACUAUGCCCCCGUUGAAGGACGGGGUGGAGCGAUCUGGAGAUUAUGCUGCCCUCCAUGUUGAGUAAAUACCUCCCUGGCCACUUGUUCCAAACGCAUAGACGCCGCCACGAAUAAUGGUCGGUACUCUGUUCAGUGUAGCAUACACCAUGUAGGAAGUGAGUGCUCACUCCUAGUUACUAAAUUAUGUACACACUAGUAGAAAAAGGGCCAUUUGUCCCGGUUCGUAAGGCCCAUUUGUCCCAAUUGGGGAACCGGGACUAAAGGGUCGGUACUAAAGCCCUACACCUUUAGUCCCGGUUCUUACACCAACCGAGACAGAUGGGGCUCCACGUGGCCGCUACAGCUUGCCGUGGCAGGGGGGCCUUUUGUCCCGGUUGGUAGCACCAACCGGGACCAAUAAGCUACCACGCGUCCGCAUUUGAGGGGCUAGGGUUUUUGUUUUUUUUCUGAAGGGGGGGGGGUGGGUUUGUAUGGUUAAUUUUGGGGGGUUUCACAUAUUGUGUUAGGUAGCUAAUUAAUUAAUAGAGAGAAGUGUCCUCACUUAUCUCCGUGCUUGGUCGACGCUACGUACUAUACGUAUAGAGAGGCCCUCAACACGCUAGCCAGUAAGCAAAUGAAGUAAACCAUUAAGUACAGAAGUUCGUCAUGAACAUAUGCAUACAAACAUAAGUGAUAUCGACCUCUCCUUCUCCGAGAGAUAGGUCGAACAACAAGUUUCCGUAUAUCUAUCCGGCGCUACUAGCUACAUAUAUACAAUAUUAAGAUCUCUUACAAUAUAAUCCCCUAAUUAUAUAUGAACUCAGCUUCCAGAUGGUAUUCUCCGGCUUUAUUGAUGGCGUGGUCAAGAAAGAUUCCCUCCAAUUCCUCUUGAAUUGCUUUGAUGCGAUCUUGUGGUAGGAGUUCAUCUCGCAUCUGCCACAUCUAAUUUGAAGAAGGGGGUCAAUCACCAGUAGAAUAACAACCAUUUGUCCUGGUUCAUAAGGUUAAUUUGUCCCGGUUGGGGAACCGAGACUAAAGGGUCUUUACUAAAGCCCUACACCUUUAGUCCUGGUUCUUACACCAACUGGGACAGAUGGGCCUCCAUGUGGCUGCUGCGGCGAGCCCAGGCCGGAGGUCCUUUGGUCCCGGUUAGUGGCACUGAUACGUCUCCAACGUAUCUAUAAUUUUUGAUUGCUCCAUGCUAUUAUGUUAUCUAUUUUGGAUGUUAAUGGCUUUAUUUUACACCUUUAUAUCAUUUUUGGGACUAACCUACUAAUCGGAGGCCCAACCCAAAUUGUUGUUUUCUACCUAUUUUAGGUUUUCGAAGAAAAGGAAUAUCAAACGGAGUCCAAACGGAAUGAAACCUUCGAGAACGUGAUUUUCUCAAUGAACAUGAUUCAGGAGAAUUGGAGUGUGCUCCAAGAAACAAGGGAGGAAGGCACGAGGCAGGGGGCGCGCCUACCCCCUUGGGCGCGCCCUCCACCCUCGUGGGCCCUCCGCUGCUCCACCGACGUACUUCUUCCUCCUAUAUAUAUCCACGUACCCCCAAACAUCCAGGAGCACCACGAAAACCUAAUUCCACCGCUGCAACCUUCUGUACCCGAGAGAUCCCAUCUUGGGGCCUUUUCCGGAGGUCCACCGGAGGGGGCAUCGAUCAUGGAGGGCCUCUACAUCAACUCCAUGGCCUCUCCGGUGAUGUGUGAGUAGUUUACUUCAGACCUAGGGGUCUAUAGUUAUUAGCUAGAUGGCUUCUUCUUCUCUCUUUGGAUCUCAAUACAAAGUUCUCCUCGAUUUUCUUGGAGAUCUAUUUGAUGUAACCUUCUUUUGCGGUGUGUUUGUCGAGAUCCGAUGAAUUGUGGGUUUGUGAUCCAGAUUAUCUAUGAACAAUAUUUGAUUCUCCUAUGAAUUCUAGUAUGUAUGAUUGGUUUAUCUUUGCAAGUCUCUUCGAAUUAUCAGUUUGGUUUGGCCUACUAGAUUGAUUUCUUGCAAUGGGAGAAGUGCUUAGCUUUGGGUUCAAUCUUGCAGUGUUUGAUCCCAGUGACAGAAAGGGAACCGAUACGUAUUGUAUUGUUGCCAUCGAGGAUAAAAAGAUGGGGUUUAUAUCAUAUCGCAUGAGUUUAUCCCUCUACAUCAUGUCAUCUUCCUUAAAGCAUUACUAUGUUCUCUUGAACUUAAUACUCUAGAUGCAUGCUGGAUAGCGGUCCAUGUGUCGAGUAAUAGUAGUAGAUGCAGAAUCGUUUCGGUCUACUUGUCUCGGACGUGAUGCCUAUAUACAUGAUCAUACCUAGAUAUUCUCAUAACUAUGUUCAAUUCUGUACAAUAUGGUGCACGGGGUUACAUCGGCCUGCAAAGACAUUUCUGCGAUGUGAGACAUCCGAAAAGCAACGAAAACGGGAGAUUAUACAUUUAUUGAAGAGGGCAGGUGUGACAGAUACCGUGAGGGCGUCGAGCUCAGCCAAAGACGAUGGACAGCUGAGCACGGCCUGUGUCAGAGCCGGUGCGGGAGCAGGUGCAGGUGCAGGUGCUGGUGCAACGCUAGUCGAGCUGCUCCUGAAGAAGUCAACAAUGGGAAAGUCCGCUGCAUUUUUUCUGCAUUUUGCGUGCUCCAAUUGAAAAUGGCUGGAACCAAGACAGUAGACAUAUCUGCAACCACCUGUUUUCCGGCAGCUACCGCUGUCGCGACUGUCUCAGAUGAUUUCUUCUCAACCGCAAUCUCAACCUUCUUGUCGAUGUUUUAUUCGGUUAACCUCCAUCUUUCCUUUCUCUCCUCCGUGGUCUCACGGUAGUACUUCUUCCACGUGGCCCCGUCUCCGACACCGUGAACGCGUCCAUACGACGACCGAGUCUCCACGGGGAGUCCUUUCAAUAUGUUCAAUGCCCGGUUGAAUGGAGUGUCCCACUUGGGCCUUGCCAAUGCCUCAGACGGCGAGUCGCUUUCGGCCGCAAUCUUAUGCUGCUCUCUCUACAAAAGGAACACGGAUCAUUUACAAAUAUGACUAAACGUGCAGUCGAACUGAUCAGAAACUAAAAUUACCAGCAGUCUCAUGAACUCCGUCGUGAUCGGGUCCGUCUUGAAAACCUUCUUGACUGAGUCCCAAUGGUGUCGUGCCCUGAGGACGUCAUGCUCCUACGGGACGGUGAAGUCCGCCAAGGGGUCUGGGAUGCCAGAUUUUCGCGUUUCGUGUCCUCCUUGGCCCAUAUGGACCUCUUCCUGCCGUAACCACUGCUUCCGAGGUGGUGGCGCCCCAUGUUCCUUUGUGGAAGCCCCUUCAUGUACUUCGACUUUGUUUUGGCAGCUUCGGCCUCGCAAGCCGCCUUGAAUAUUUCAAAGUGUUCUCUAGUGAUUGUCAGAUUAUCCUUUACAAUCUCGGAGUAGGGUUGAUACGUCUCCAACGUAUCUAUUAUUUUUGAUUGCUCCAUGCUAUAUUAUCUACUGUUUUGGACAUUAUUGGGCUUUAUUAUCUACUUUUAUAUUAUUUUUGGGACUAACCUAUUAACCGGAGGCCCAGCCUAGAAUUGUUGUUUUUUGACUGUUUUAGGGUUUCGAAGAAAAGGAAUAUCAAACGGAGUCCAAACGGAAUGAAACCUUCGGGAACGUGAUUUUCUGAAUGAACAAGACCCUGGAGACUUGGACCCUACGUCAAGACACAAAAGAGGAGGACACGAGGUAGGGGGCGCGCCUAACCCCCCCCCCCCCUCGAGGCACGCCCUCCACCCUCGUGGGGCCCCUGUUGCUCCACCGACGUACUCCUUCCUCCUAUAUAUACCUACGUACUUCCAAACGAUCAGAUACGGAGCCAAAACCCUAAUUCCACUGCCGCAACUUUCUGUAUCCACGAGAUCCCAUUUGGUGCCUGUUCCGGAGCUCCGCCGGAGGGGGCAUCGAUCACGGAGGGCUUCUACAUCAACACCAUAGCCUCUCCGAUGAAGUGUGAGUAGUUCACCUCAGACGUACCGGUCCAUAUUUAUUACCUAGAUGGCUUCUUCUCUCUUUUUGGAUCUCAAUACAAUGUUCUCCCCCUCUCUUGUGGAGAACUAUUCGAUGUAAUCUUGUUUUUGCAGUGUGUUUAUUGAGAUUGAUGAAUUGUGGGUUUAUGAUCAAGUCUAUGUAUGAAUAAUAUUUGAAUCUUCUCUAAAUUCUUUUAUGUAUGAUUGUUUAUCUUUGCAAGUCUCUUCGAAUUAUCAGUUUGGUUUGGCCUACUAGAUUGAUCUUUCUUACAAUGGGAGAAGUGCUUAGCUUUGGGUUCAAUCUUGCGGUGUCCUUUCCCAAUGACAGUAGGGGCAGCAAGGCAUGUAUUGUAUUGUUGCCAUCGAGGACAACAAGAUGGGGUUUUCAUCAUAUUGCAUGAGUCUAUCCCUCUACAUCAUGUCAUCUUGCUUAAGGCGUUACUCUGUUUUUAACUUAAUACUCUAGAUGCAUGCUGGAUAGCGGUCGAUGAGUGAAACCUAUGGCCCCCGGGUCUAUCUUUAUCAUAUUAAUCUCCUACUACUUAGUUAUUUCCUUUGCUUUUUCCUUUGCCUUUAUUUUACUUUUGAUCUUUAUCACAAAAAUACCAAACAUAUUAUCUUUAUCAUAUCUAUCAGAUCUCACUCUCGUAAGUGGCUGUGUAGGGAUUGACAACCCCUAUUCGCGUUGGUUGCGAGGAUUUAUUUGUUUUGUGCAAGUACGAGAGACUCGCGCGUAGCCUCCUACUGGAUUGAUACCUUGGUUCUCAAAAACUGAGGGAAAUACUUACACUACUUUGCUGCAUCAUCCUUCCUCUUCGCGGAAAACCAACGUAGUGCUCAAGAGCUGGCAAUAAGGAUUUCUGGCGCCGUUGCCGGGGAGGUCUAAGCAAAAGUCAACAUACCAAGUACCCAUCACAUACCCUUAUCUCCUGCAUUACAUUAUUUUCCAUUUGCCUCUCGUUUUCCUCUCCCCCACUUCACCCUUGCCGUUUUAUUCGCCCUCUCUCUCUCUCUCUAUCCUCCCUCUCUUUCUCUAUUUGCCUCUUUUUUCCCACUUGCUUUCUGUUUGCUUGUGUGUUAGUUGCUUGCUUGUCACGAUGGCUCAAGAUAAUACUAAAUUACGUGACUUCACCAAUACCAACAACAAUGAUUUUAUUAACACUCCGAUUGCUCCUCUUACCGAUGCUGAAUCUUGAGAAAUUAAUACUGCUUUGCUGAAUCUUGUCAUGAAAGAUCUGUUUUUCGGCCUUCCUAGUGAAGAUGCCGCUACCCACCUAAAUAGAUUCGUUGAUUUGUGUGACAUGCAAAAGAAGAAAGGUGUGGAUAAUGAUAUUGUUAAAUUGAAGCUAUUUCCUUUUUCGCUUAGAGAUCGUGCUAAAGCUUGGUUUUCGUCUUUGCCUAAAAAUACUAUUGAUUCAUGGAAUAAGUGCAAAGAUGCUUUUAUCUCUAAGUAUUUUCCUCCUGCUAAGAUCAUCUCUCUUAGAAACGAUAUUAUGAAUUUUAAGCAACUUGAUCAUGAACAUGUUGCACAAGCUUGGGAGAGAAUGAAACUAAUGAUACGUAAUUGCCCUGCCCAUGGUUUAAAUUUGUGGAUGAUUAUACCAAAUUUUUAUGCCGGAUUGAACUUUGCUUCUAGAAAUCUUUUAGAUUAGGCCGCGGGAGGCACUUUUAUGGAAAUCACUUUAGGAGAAGCUACUAAACUCCUAGAUAAUAUUAUGGUUAAUUAUUCUCAACGGCAUACCGAAAGAUCUACUAAUAAAAACGUGCAUGCGAUAGAAGAAAUUAAUGUUUCGAGUGGAAAGAUGGAUGAACUUCUGAAAUUAUUUGCUAAUAAGAGUAUUUCUUCUGAUCCUAAUGAUAUGCCCUUGUCUACUUUGAUUGAGAAUAAUAAUUAAUCUAUGGAUGUGGAUUUUGUUGGUAGGAACAAUUUUGGUAACAACGCGUACAGAGGAAAUUUCAACCCUAGGCCUUAUCCUAGUAAUCUCUCUAAUAAUUAUGGUAAUUCCUACAACAAUUCUUAUGGAAAUUAUAAUAAGAUGCCCUCUGAUUUUGGAUCUAAUAUUAGAGAAUUUAUUACUUUCCAAAAGAAUUUCAAUGCUUUGAUUGAAGAAAAAUUGCUUAAGAUUGAUGAUUUGGCUAGGAACGUUGAUAGAAUUACUCUUGAUGUUGAUUCUUUGAAACUUAGAUCUAUUCCACCUAAGCAUGAUGUCAAUGAGUCUCUCAAAGCCAUGAGAAUUUCCAUUGAUGAGUGCAAAGAAAGAACCACUAGGAUGCGUGUUAAGAAAGAUGCCUUUAUAAGAGCGUGUUCUUCUAAUUCCUAUGAAAAUAAUGAUGAAGAUCAAAAAGUUAUUGAUGUCCUCCCUAUUAAAUCUUUGUUUUGCAAUAUGAAUCUUGAUAAUCAUGGGACUGAAUAUGAUCCACCUUUACCUAGAAGGCGUUCCAAUAAUUCAGAAUUUGUUGAUCUUGAUGCUAAAAUUGAUAAAGGUGGGAUUGAAGAAAUUAAAACCCUAGAUGUUGCUAAACCCACUAUUAUGGAUUUCAAGGAACUUAACUAUGAAAACUGCCCUUUGAUUGAUUGUAUAUCCUUGUUACAAUCCGUGCUAAAUUCUCCUCAUGCUUAUAGUCAAAAUAAAGCAUUUACUAAACAUAUUGUUGAUGCCUUGAUGCAAUCUUAUGAAGAAAAACUUGAAUUGGAAGUUUCUAUCCCUAUAAAGCUUUAUGAUGAGUGGGAACCAACUAUUAAAAUUAAAAUUAAAUAUCAUGAAUGCUAUGCUUUAUGUGAUUUGUGUGCUAGUGUUUCCACGAUUCCAUAGACUUUGUGUGAUUUGUUAGGUUUCCGUGAUUUUGAUGAUUGCUCUUUAAACUUGCACCUUGCGGAUUCCACUAUUAAGAAACCUAUGGGAAGAAUUAAUGAUGUUCUUAUUGUUGCAAAUAGCAAUUAUGUGCCCGUAGAUUUUAUUGUUCUUGACAUAGAUUGCAAUCUUUCAUGUCCUAUUAUUCUUGGUAGACCUUUCCUUAGAACGACUGGUGCAAUUAUUGAUAUGAAGGAAGGAAAUAUUAGAUUCCAAUUUCCAUUAAGGAAAGGCAUGGAACACUUUCCUAGAAAGUAAAUUAAAUUACCUUAUGAAUCUAUUAUGAUAGCCACUUAUGGAUUGCCUACCAAAGAUGGCAAUACCUAGAUCUAUCCUUGCUUGUUAUGCCUAGCUAGGGGCGUUAAACGAUAGCGCUUGUUGGGAGGCAACCCAAUUUUAUUUUUAUUCCUUGAUUUUUUCUCCUGUUUAGUAAUAAAUAAUUUAUAUAGCCUCUGUUUUGGUUCUGUUCUUUGUGUUUAAUUAGUGUUUGUGCCAAGUAGAACCGUUAGGAAGACUUGGGGAAAGUCUUGUUACACUUGCUGUAAAAAACUGAAACUUCAGCGCUCACGAGAACUGCUGCCAUUUUUAUUUGGAAAGUGCUAUGUAGUUAAUUAUUUUUCAGAUGAUUAACAGAUAAAUUCCUCACGUCCAGAAAUUUAUUUUAGAAUUUUUGGGGUUCCAGCUCUUGAGCUAGCUACAGAGUACUACAGGCUGUUCUGUUUUUGAAAGAUUCUGUUUUUCGUGUGUUGUUUGCUUAUUUUGAUGAACCUAUGGCUAGUAAAAUAGUUUAUAUACCAUAGAGAAAUUGGAAUACAGUAGGUAUAACACCAAUAUAAAUAAAUAAUGAGUUCAUUACAGUACCUUGAAGUGGUCUUUUAUUUUCUUUCGCUAACGGAGCUCAUGAGAUUUUCUACUUUAAGUUUUGUGUUGUGAAGUUUUCAAGUUUUGGGUAAAGAUUUGAUGGAUUAUGGAACAAGGAGUGACAAGAGCCUAAGCUUGGGGGUUCCCAUGGCACCCCCAAGAUAAUCUAAGUACACCUAAAAACCAAAGCUUGGGGAUGCGCCGGAAGUCAUCCCCUCUUUCAUCUACUUCUAUCGGUAACUUUACUUGGAGCUAUAUUUUUAUUCGCCACAUGAUAUGUGUUUUGCUUGGAGCGUCUUGUAUUAUUUGAGUCUUUAUUUGUUAGUUUACCACAAUCAUCCUUGCUGUACACACCUUUUGAGAGAGCCAUACAUGAUUUGGAAUUUGUUAGAAUACUCUAUGUGCUUCGCUUAUAUCUUUUGAGUUAUAUAGUUUUGCUCUAGUACUUCACUUAUAUCUUUUAGAGCACGGUGGUGGAUUUGUUUUAUAGAAACAAUUGAUCUCUCAUGCUCCACUUAGAUUAUUUUGAGAUUCUUAAUAGCAUGUUAAUUUGCUUAAAAUCCUAAUAUGCUAGGUAUUCAAAGUUAGUAAAAUUUUCUUAAGAGUGUUUUGAAUACUAAGAGAAGUUUGAUGCUUGAUGAUUGUUUUGAGAUAUGGAGGUAAUAAUAUCAAAGUCGUUCUCGUUGACUAGUUGUGAAAUUGAGAAAUACUUGUGUUGAAGUUUGCAUGUCCCGUAGCACGCACGUAUGGUAAACGUUGUGUAACAAAUUUGAAACAUGAGGUGUUAUUUGAUUGUCUUCCUUGUGAGUGGCGGUCGGGGACGAGCGAUGGUCUUUUCCUACCAAUCGAUCCCCCUAGGAGCAUGCGAAUAGUACCAAGGUUUUUGAUGACUUGUAGAUUUUUGCAGUAAGUAUGUGAGUUCUUUAUGACUAAUGUUGAGUCCAUGAAUUAUACGCACUCUCACCCUUCCAUCCUUGCUAGCCUCUUCGGUACCGUGCAUUGCCCUUUCCCACAUUGAGAGUUGGAGCAAACUUCGCCAGUGCAUCCAAACCCCGUGCUAUGAUACGCUCAUUCACACAUAAACCUCCUUAUAUCUUCCUCAAAACAGCCACCAUACCUACCUAUUAUGGCAUUUCCAUAGCCAUUCCGACAUAUAUUGCCAUGCAACUUUCCACCAUUCCGUUCAUCAUGACACAUUCAUCAUUGUCAUAUUGCGUAGCAUAAUCAUGUAGUUGACAUAGUAUUUGUGGCAAGGCCACCGUUCAUAAUUCAUUCAUACAUGUCACUCUUGGUCCAUUGCAUGUCCCGGUACACCGCCGGAGGCAUUCAUAUAGAGCCAUACUUUGUUCUAGUAUCGAGUAGUAAUUAUUGAGUCGUAAAUAAAUAGAAGUGUGAUGAUCAUCAUUAAUAGAGCAUGGUCCCAAAAAGAAAAAAAAGGAAGGGCCAAAAAAAGGCCAAAUAAAAAAAUAUAAAAAAGGGGGCAAUGCUACUAUCCUUUUUUUCCAAACUUGUGCUUCCAAGUAGCACCGUAAUCUUCAAGAUAGAGAGUCUCUUGAUUUGUCACUUUCAUAUACUAGUGGGAAUUUUUCAUUAUAGAACUUGGCUUGUAUAUUCCAACAAUGGGCGUCCCCAAGUUCCCUAGGUCUUCGUGAGCAAGCAAGUUGGAUGCACACCCACUUAGUUUCUUUUGUUGAGCUUUCAUACAUUUAUAGCUCUAGUGCAUCCGUUGCAUGGCAAUUCCUACUCCUUGCAUUAACAUCAAUCAAUGGGCAUCUCCAUAGCCCAUUGAUUAGCCUCGUUGAUGUGAGACUUUCUCCUUUUUGUCUUCUCCACAUAACCCCACUCAUUAGAUUCUAUUCCACCCAUAGUGUUAUGUCCAUGGCUUGCAAUCAUAUAUUGCGUGAAAGUUUAUAGGUUUGAGAUCACUAAAGUAUGAAACAAUUGCUUGGCUUGUCAUCGGGGUUGUGCAUGAUGAGAGCAUACUUGUGUGACGAAAAUGAAGCAUGACUAAACUAUAUGAUUUUGUAGGGGUGAACUUUCUUUGGCCAUGUUAUUUUGAGAAGACACAAUUGCUCAGUUAGUAUGCUUAAAGUAUUAUUAUUUUAUGUCAAUAUGAACUUUUGUCUUGAAUGUUUCAGAUCCGAAUAUUCAUACCACAAUUAAGAAGAAUUACAUUAAAAUCAUGCCAAGUAGCACUCCACAUCAAAAAUUCUGUUUUUAUCAUUUACCUACUCGAGGACGAGCCGGAAUUAAGCUUGGGGAUGCUUGAUACAUCUCCAACGUAUCUAUAAUUUUUGAUUGCUCCAUGCUAUAUUAUCUACUGUUUUGGACAAUAUUGGGCUUUAUUAUCCACUUGUAUAUUAUUUUUGGGACUAACCUAUUAACCGGAGGCCCAGCCCAGAAUUGUUGUUUUUUGCCUGUUUUAGGGUUUCGAAGAAAAGGAAUAUCAAACGGAGUCCAAACGGAAUGAAACCUUCGGGAACGUGAUUUUCUCAACGAACAAGAUCUAGGAGACUUGGACCCUCCAUCAAGACAUAAAAGAGGAGGCCACGAGGUAGGGGGCGUNNNNNNNNNNNNNNNNNNNNNNNNNNNNNNNNNNNNNNNNNNNNNNNNNNNNNNNNNNNNNNNNNNNNNNNNNNNNNNNNNNNNNNNNNNNNNNNNNNNNNNNNNNNNNNNNNNNNNNNNNNNNNNNNNNNNNNNNNNNNNNNNNNNNNNNNNNNNNNNNNNNNNNNNNNNNNNNNNNNNNNNNNNNNNNNNNNNNNNNNNNNNNNNNNNNNNNNNNNNNNNNNNNNNNNNNNNNNNNNNNNNNNNNNNNNNNNNNNNNNNNNNNNNNNNNNNNNNNNNNNNNNNNNNNNNNNNNNNNNNNNNNNNNNNNNNNNNNNNNNNNNNNNNUGGGCCCCCCUGUUGCUCCACCGACGUACUCCUUCCUCCUAUAUAUACCUACUAUUGGGGAACGUAGCAGAAUUUUAAAAUUUUCUACGCAUACCAAGAUCAAUCUAUGGAGUCAUAUAGCAACGAGGGAGAGAGGAGUGCAUCUACAUACCCUUGUAGAUCGCGCGCGGAAGCGUUCAAGAGAACGGGGUUGAUGGAGUCGUACUCGUCGUGAUCCAAAUCACCGAUGACCAAGUGCCGAAUGGACAGCACCUCCGCGUACAACACACGUACGGUUGGGAAGACGUCUCCUCCUUCUUGAUCCAGCAAGGGGGAAGGAGAGGUUGAUGAAGAUCCAGCAGCACGACGGCGUGGUGGUGGAUGCAGCAGGAUCCCGGCAGGGCUUCGCCAAGCGCAAGCGGGGAGGAGAGGUGUUACGGAAGGAGAGGGAGGCGCCAAGAGCAAGGGUGCGGCUGCCCUCCCUCCCCCCCCUCUUUAUAUAGGGGCCUUGGGGGGGCGCCGGCCCUAGGAGAUGGAUCUCCAAGGGGGGCGAAGGCCAAGGGGUGGCUUCCCCCCCAAGCCAAGUGGGGGGCGCCCCCACCCCUAGGGUUUCCCAACCCUAGGCGCAUGGGAGGCCCAAGGGGGGCGCACCAGCCCACUAGGGGCUGGUUCUGCUCCCAAUUCAGCCCAUGGGGCCCUCCGGGAUGGGUGGCCCCACCCGGUGGACCCCCGGGACCCUUCCGGUGGUCCUGGUACAAUACCGGUGACCCCCGAAACCUUCCCGAUGGCCGAAAUUGUACUUCCUAUAUAUAAAUCUUUACCUCCGAACCAUUCCGGAACUCCUCGUGACGUACGGGAUCUCAUCCGGUACUCCGAACAUAUCCUUGGUUACUACAUACUAAUAUCUCUACAACCCUAGCGUCACCGAACCUUAAGUGUGUAGACCCUACGGGUUCGGGAGACAUGCAGACAUGACAGAGACGCCUCUCCGGUCAAUAACCAACAGCGGGAUCUGGAUACCCAUGUUGGCUCCCACGUGCUCCACGAUGAUCUCAUCGGAUGAACCACGAUGUCGAGGAUUCAAUCAAUCUGUGUAGAAUUCCCUUUGUCAAUCGGUACGUUACUUGCCCGAGACUCGAUCGUCGGUAUCCCAAUACCUCGUUCAAUCUCGUUACCAGCAAGUCACUUUACUCGUGCCGUAAUGCAUGAUCCCAUGAUCAACCACUUGGUCACAAUGAGCUCAUUAUGAUCAUGCAUUACCGAGUGGGCCCAGAGAUACCUCUCCGUCAUACGGAGUGACAAAUCCCAGUCUCGAUUCGUGCCAACCCAACAGACACUUUCGGAGAUACCUGUAAUGUACCUUUAUAGUCACCCAGUUACGUUGUGACGUUUGGCACACCCAAGGCACUCCUACGGUAUCCGGGAGUUGCCCAAUCUCAUGGUCUAAGGAAAUGAUACUUGACAUUCGGAAAAGCUACAGCAAACGAACUACACGAUCUUUGAGCUAUGCUUAGGAUUGGGUCUUGUCCAUCACAUCAUUCUCCUAAUGAUGUGAACCCGUUAUCAAUGACAUCCAAUGUCCAUAGUCAGGAAACCAUGACUAUCUUUUGAUCAACGAGCUAGUCAACUAGAGGCUCACUAGGGACGUGUUGUCGUCUAUGUAUUCACACAUGUAUUACGAUUUCCGGAUAACACAAUUAUAGCAUGAAAAAUAGACAAUUAUCAUGAACAAAGAAAUAUAAUAAUAACCAUUUUAUUAUUGCCUCUAGGGCAUAUUUCCAACAGUCUCCCACUUGCACUAGCGUCAGUAGUCUAGUUACAUUUUGAUGAAUCCAACACCCAUGAAGUUCUGGAGUUGAUCAUGUUUUGCUCUAGGGAGAGGUUUAGUCAAUGGAUCUGCCACAUUCAGGUCCGUAUGUACUUUACAAAUCUCUAUGUAUCCAUUUUGAACACUUUCAUGAAUGGAGUUGAAGUGACGCUUGAUAUGCCUGGUCUUCCUGUGAAAUCUGGGCUCCUUGGCAAGUGCAAUAGCUCCAGUGUUGUCACAGAAUAGAGUCAUCGGGCCCGGUGCAUUGGGUGUGACUCCUAGGUCGGUAAUGAACUCCUUCACCCAGAUUGCUUCUUGUGCUGCCUCCGAGGCUGCCAUGUACUCUGCUUCACAUGUAGAUCCCGCCACAACGCUUUGCUUGCAACUCCACCAGCUUACUGCCCCACCAUUCAAAAUAUACACGUAUCCGGUUUCCGACUUAGAGUCAUCCAGAUCUGUGUCGAAGCUAGCAUCAACGUAACCCUUUACGACGAGCUCUUCGUCACCUCCAUAAACGAGAAACAUAUCCUUAGUCCUUUUUAGGUACUUGAGGAUAUUCUUGACUGCUGUCUAGUGUUCCAUGCCGGGAUUACUUUGGUACCUUCCUACCAAACUUACGGCAAGGUUUUCAUCAGGUCUGGUACACAGCAUAGCAUACAUGAUAGACCCUAUGGCCGAGGCAUAGGGGAUGACACUCAUCUUUUCUCUAUCUUCUGUCGUGGUCGUGCAUUGAGCCUCGCUCAAUCUCGUACCUUGCAAUACAGGCAAGAACCCUUCUUUUACUGAUCCAUUUUGAACUUCUUCAAUAUCUUAUCAAGGUAUGUACUCUGUGAAAGACCAAUGAGGCGUCUCGAUCUAUCUCUAUAGAUCUUGAUGCCUAAUAUAUAAGCAGCUUCUCCAAGAUCCUUCAUUGAAAAACACGUGUUCAAGUAGGCCUUUAUGCUUUCCAAGAAUUCUAUAUCAUUUCCCAUCAACAAUAUGUCAUCCACAUCCAAUAUGAGAAAUGCUACAAAGCUCCCACUCACUUUCUUGUAAAUGCAGACUUCUCCAUAAGUAUGCGUAAACCCAAACGCUUUGAUCAUCUCAUCAAAACGAAUGUUCCAUCUCCGAGAUGCUUGCACCAGCCCAUAAAUCGAAUGUUGGAGCUUGUACACCUUGUCAGCAUUCUUAGGAUCGACAAAACCUUCCGGCUGCAUCAUAUACAAUUCUUCCUUAAGGAAACCAUUAAGGAAUGUUGUUUUGACGUCCAUUUGCCAUAUUCAUAAUCAUAGAAUGCGGCAAUUGCUAACAUCGUAGUCAACCCCUUGAACUUGCCGAUAACCCUUAGCGACAAGCCGAGCUUUAUAGAUGGUCACAUUACCAUCCGCGUCUGUCUUCUUCUUAAAGAUCCAUUUAUUUUCUAUGGCUCGCCGAUCAUCGGGCAAGUCAGUCAAAGUCCAUACUUUGUUUUCAUACAUGGAUCUUAUCUCGGAUUUCAUGGCUUCCAGCCAUUUGUUGGAAUUCAGGCCCGCCAUCGCUUCUUCAUAGUUCGAAGUUCACCGUUGUCUAACAACAUGAUUUCCAAGACAGGGUUGCCGUACCACUCUGGUGCGGGACGUGUCCCCGUGGACCUACGAAGUUCAGUAGCAACUUGAUCUGAAGUUUCAUGAUCAUCAUCAUCAAUUUCCUCUCUAGUCGUUGCAGGCACCUUAGGAACAUUUUCUUGAGCUGCGCCACUUACCGGUUCAAGAGGUAAUAAUACUUCAUCAAGUUCUACUUUCCUCCCACUUAUUUCUUUCGAGAGAAACUCUUUCUCUAGAAAGGACCCAUUCUUGGCAACAAAGAUCUUGCCUUCGGAUCUGAGGUAGAAGGUAUACCCAAUAGUUUCUUUAGGGUAUCCUAUGAAGACGCAUUUUUCCAAUUUGGGUUCGAGCUUUUCAGGUUGAAGUUUCCUUACAUAAGCAUCGCAUCCCCAAACUUUUAGAAAUGACAUCUUAGGUGUCUUCCCAAACCAUAAUUCAUACGGUGUCAUCUCAACGGAUUUCGACGGAGCCCUAUUUAAAGUGAAUGCGGCAGUCUCUAAAGCAUAGCCCCAAAAUGACAGCGGUAAAUCGGUAAGAGACAUCAUAGAUCGCACCAUAUCUAAUAGAGUGCGAUUAUGACAUUCCGACACACCAUUACGCUGAGGUGUUCCAGGCGGCGUGAGUUGUGAAACUAUUCCACAUUUUCUUAAGUGUGUGCCAAAUUCGUGACUCAAGUAUUCUCCCCCACGAUCUGAUCGCAAGAACUUGAUUUGCCUGUCACGUUGAUUCUCAACCUCACUUUGAAAUUCCUUGAACUUUUCAAAGGUCUCAGACUUGUGUUUCAUUAAGUAGACAUACCCAUAUCUACUCAAGUCAUCAGUGAGGGUGAGAACAUAACGAUAGCCACCGCGCCUCAACACUCAUUGGACCGCACACAUCAGUAUGUAUGAUUUCCAAUAAGUUGGUUACUCGCUCCAUUGUUCCUGAGAACGGAGUCUUGGUCAUUUUACCCAUGAGGCAUGGUUCGCACGUGUCAAAUGAUUCGUAAUCAAGAGACUUUAAAAGUCUAUCUGCAUGGAGCUUCUUCAUGCGUUUGACACCUAUGUGACCAAGGCGGCAAUGCCACAAGUAUGUGGGACUAUCAUUAUCAACCUUACAUCUUUUGGUAUUCACACUAUGAAUAUGUGUAACAUUAUGCUCGAGAUUCAUUAAGAAUAAACCAUUCACCAAUGGAGCAUGACCAUAAAACAUAUCUCUCAUAUAAAUAGAACAACCAUUAUUCUCGGAUUUAAAUGAGUAGCCAUCUCAAAUUAACCGAGAUCCUGAUACAAUGUUCAUGCUCAAAGCUGGCAGUAAAUAACAAUUAUUGAGGUUUAAAACUAAUCCCAUAGGCAAAUGUAGAGGCAGCGUGCCGACGGCGAUCACAUCAACCUUGGAACCAUUCCCGACGCACAUCGUCACCUCGUCCUUCGCCAGUCUCCGUUUAAUCCGCAGCUCCUGCUUUGAGUUACAAAUGUGAGCAACUGCACCGGUAUCAAAUACCCAGGAGCUACUACGAGUACUGGUAAGGUACACAUCAAUUACAGGUAUAUCACAUAUACCUUUAGUGUUGCCGGCCUUCUUGUCCGCUAAGUAUUUGGGGCAGUUCCGCUUCCAGUGACUACUUCCCUUGCAAUAAAAACACUCAGUCUCGAGCUUGGAUCCAUUCUUUGGCUUCUUCCCGGAAACUUGCUUAGCGGGCGCGGCAACUCCCUUGCCGUCCUUCUUGAAUUCUUCUUACCCUUGCCUUUCUUGAACUUAGUGGUUUUAUUCACCAUCAACACUUGAUGUUCCUUUUUGAUUUCCACCUCUGCUGAUUUCAGCAUUGAAUAUACCUCAGGAAUGGUCUUUUCCAUCCCCUGCAUAUUGAAGUUGAUCACAAAGCUCUUGUAGCUCGGUGGAAGCGACUGAAGGAUUCUGUCAAUGACCGCGUCAUUCGGGAGGUUAACUCCCAGCUGAGUCAAGCGGUUAUGCAACCCAGACAUUUUGAUUAUGUGCUCACUGACAGAACUAUUUUCCUCCAUCUUAUAGCUGAAGAACUUGUCGGAGACUUCAUAUCUCUCGACCCGGGCAUGAGCUUGAAAAACCAUUUUCAGCUCUUCGAACAUCUCAUAUGCUCCAUGUCUCUCAAAAUGCUUUUGGAGCCCCGGUUCUAAGCUGUAAAGCAUGCCGCACUGAACGAGGGAGUAAUCAUCAGCACGUAACUGCCAAGCGUUGAUAAUGUCUUGGUUCUCUGGGACAGGUGCGUGACCUAACGGUGCUUCUAGGACAUAAUAUUUCUUGGCAGCUACGAGGAUGAUCCUCAGGUUCCGGACCCAGUCCGUAUAGUUGCUGCCAUCGUCUUUCAGCUUGGUUUUCUCUAGGAACGCGUUGAAAUUGAGGACAACGUGGGCCAUUUGAUCUACAAGACAUAUUGUAAAGAUUUUAGACUAAGUUCAUGAUAAUUAAGUUCAUCUAAUCAAAUUAUACAAUGAACUCCCACUCAGAUAGACAUCCCUCCAGUCAUCUAAGUGAAACAUGAUCCAAGUUAACUAGGCUGUGUCGGAUCAUCACGUGAAACGGACUAGUCAACAUCGGUGAACAUCUUCAUGUUGAUCGUAUCUUCUAUACGACUCAUGCUCGACCUUUCGGUCUUCUGUGUUCCGAGGCCAUGUCUGUACAUGCUAGGCUCGUCAACUAAACCUAAGUGUAUUGCGUGUGUAAAUCUGGCUUACACCCGUUGUAUUCGAACGUUAGAAUCUAUCACACUCGAUCAUCACGUGGUGCUUCGAAACAACGAACCUUCGCAACGGUGCACAGUUAGGGGGAACACUUUCUUGAAAUUAUUUCGAGGGAUCAUCUUAUUUAAGCUACCGUCGUUCUAAGCAAAUAAGAUGUAAAACAUGAUAAACAUCACAUGCAAUCAAAUAGUGACAUGAUAUGGCCAAUAUCAUUUGCUCCUUUUGAUCUCCAUCUUUGGGGCUCCAUGAUCAUCGUUGUCACCAGCAUGACACCAUGAUCUCCAUCAUCAUGUCUUCUUGAAGUUGUCUCGUCAUCUAUUACUUCUACUACUAUGGCUAAUGCUUUAGCAAUAAAGUAAAGUAAUUACAUGACGUUUAUGUUGACACGCAGGUCAUAAAAAAAUAAAGACAACUCCUAUGGCUCCUGCCGGUUGUCAUACUCAUCGACAUGCAAGUCGUGAUUCCUAUUACAAGAACAUGAUCAAUCUCAUACAUCACAUAUAUCAUUCAUCACAUCCUUUUGGCCAUAUCACAUCAGACGGCACAUGCUGCAAAAACAAGUUAGACGUCCUCUAAUUGUUGUUGCAAGUUUUUACAUGGCUGCUAUAGGUUUCUAGCAAGAACGUGUCUUACCUACGCCAAAACCACAACGUGAUAUGCCAAUUUCUAUUUACCCUUCAUAAGGACCCUUUUCAUCGAAUCCGAUCUAACUAAAGUGGGAGAGAUAGACACCCGCCAGCCACCUUAUGCAAGUAAUGCAUGUCAAUCGGUGGAACCAGUCUCACGUAAGCGUACGUGUAAGGUCGGUCCGGGCCGCUUCAUCCCACGAUGCCGCCGAAUCAAGAUAAGACUAGUAACGGCAAGCAAAGUGACAAUAUCCACGCCCACAACUGCUUUGUGUUCUACUCGUGCAUAGAAACUACGCAUAGACCUGGCUCAUGAUGCCACUAUUGGGGAAUGUAGCAGAAUUUUAAAAUUUUCUACGCAUCACCAAGAUCAAUCUAUGGAGUUAUCUAGCAAUGAGGAAGAGAGGAGUGCAUCUACAUACCCUUGUAGAUCGCGCGCGGAAGCGUUCAAGAGAACGGGGUUGAUGGAGUCGUACUCGUCGUGAUCCAAAUCACCGAUGACCAAGUGCCGAACGGACAGCACCUCCGCGUUCAACACACGUCCGGUUGGGAAGACGUCUCCUCCUUCUUGAUCCAGCAAGGGGGAAGGAGAGGUUGAUGAAGAUCCAGCAGCACGACGGCGUGGUGGUGGAUGCAACAGGAUCCCGGCAGGGCUUCGCCAAGCGCAAGCGGGGAGGAGAGGUGUUACGGAGGGAGAGAGAGGCGCCAAGAGCAAGGGUGCGGCUGCCUUCCCUCCCCCCUCUUUAUAUAGGGGCCAUGGCGGGCGCCGGCCCUAGGAGAUGGAUCUCCAAGGGGGGCGAAGGCCAAGGGGUGGCUCCCCCCCCCAAGCCAAGUGGGGGGCGCCCCCACCCCUAGGGUUUCCCAACCCUAGGCGCAGGGGAGGCCCAAGGGGGCGCACCAGCCCACUAGGGGCUGGUUCCCCUCCCAAUUCAGCCCAUGGGGCCCUCCGGGAUGGGUGGCCCCACCCGGUGGACCCCCGGGACCCUUCCGGUGGUCCCGAUACAAUACCGGUUACCCCCGAAACCUUCCCGAUGGCCGAAACUGUACUUCCUAUAUAUAAAUCUUUACCUCCAAACCAUUUCAGAACUCCUCGUGACGCCCGGGAUCUCAUCCGGGACUCCGAACAACUUUCGGCUUACUACAUACUAAUAUCUAUACAACCCUAGCGUCACCGAACCUUAAGUGUGUAGACCCUACGGGUUUCGGAGACAUGCAGACAUGACUGAGACGCCUCUCCAGUCAAUAACCAACAGCGGGAUCUGGAUACCCAUGUUGGCUCCCACAUGCUCCACGAUGAUCUCAUCGGAUGAACCACGAUGUCGAGCAUUCAAUCAAUCUGUAUACAAUUCCCUUUAUCAAUCAGUACGUUACUUGCCCGAGACUCGAUCGUCAGUAUCCCAAUACCUUGUUCAAUCUCGUUACCGGCAAGUCACUUUACUCAUACCAUAAUGCAUGAUCCCGUGAUCAACCACUUGGUCACAUUGAGCUCAUUAUGAUGAUGCAUUACCGAGUGGGCCCAGAGAUACCUCUUCAUCACGCGGAGUGACAAAUCCCAGUCUCGAUUCAUGCCAACCCAAUAGACACUUUCGGAGAUACCUGUAAUGUACCUUUAUAGUCACCCAGUUACGUUGUGACGUUUGGCACACCCAAGGCACUCCUACGGUAUCCGGGAGUUUCACAAUCUCAUGGUCUAAGGAAAUGAUACUUGACAUUCGGAAAAGCUACAGCAGAUGAACUACACGACCUUUGAGCUAUGCUUAGGAUUGGGUCUUGUCCAUCACAUCAUUCUCCUAAUGAUGUGAUCCCAUUAUCAAUGACAUCCAAUGUCCAUAGUCAGGAAACCAUGACUAUCUUUUGAUCAACAAGCUAGUCAACUAGAGGCUCACUAGGGACGUGUUGUGGUCUAUGUAUUCACACAUGUAUUACGAUUUCCGGAUAACACAAUUAUAGCAUGAACAAUAGACAAUUAUCAUGAACAAAGAAAUAUAAUAAUAACCAUUUUAUUAUUGCCUCUAGGGCAUAUUUCCAACACCUACGUACCCCCAAACGAUCAUAUACGGAGCCAAAACCCUAAUUCCACCGCCGCAACUUUCUGUAUCCACGAGAUCCCAUCUUGGGGCCUGUUCCGGAGCUCCGCCAGAGGGGGCAUCGAUCACGGAGGGCUUCUACAUCAACACCAUAGCCUCUCUGAUGAAGUGUGAGUAGUUCACCUCAGACCUACGGUUCCAUAGUUAUUAGCUAGAUGGCUUCUUCUCUCUUUUUGGAUCUCAAUACAAUGUUCUCCCCAUCUCUUGUGGAGAACUAUUCGAUGUAAUCUUCUUUUUGCGGUGUGUUUGUUGAGACCGAUGAAUUGUGGGUUUAUGAUCAAGUCUAUCUAUGAAUAAUAUUUGAAUCUUCUCUGAAUUGUUUUAUGUAUGAUAGGUUAUCUUUGCAAGUCUCUUCGAAUUAUCAGUUUGGUUUGGCCUACUAGAUUGAUCUUUCUUGCAAUGGGAGAAGUGCUUAGCUUUGGGUUCAAUCUUGCGGUGUCCUUUCCCAGUGACAGUAGGGGCAGCAAGGCACGUAUUAUAUUGUUGCCAUCGAGGACAACAAGAUGGAGUUUUCAUCAUAUUGCAUGAGUCUAUCCCUCUACAUCAUGUCAUCUUGCUUAAGGCGUUAAUCUGUUUUUAACUUAAUACUCUAGAUGCUUGCUGGAUAGCGAUCGAUUAGUGGAGUAAUAGUAGUAGAUGCAGGCAGGAGUCGGUCUACUUGUCUCGGACGUGAUGCCUAUAUACAUGAUCAUACCUAGAUAUUCUCAUAACUAUGCUCAAUUCUGUCAAUUGCUCAACAAUAAUUUGUUCACCCACCGUAGAAUAUUUAUGCUCUCGAGAGAAGCCACUAGUGAAACCUAUGGCCCCGGGUCUAUCUUUAUCAUAUUAAUCUCCUACUACUUAGUUAUUUCCUUUGCUUUUUACUUUGCCUUUAUUUUACUUUGCAUCUUUAUCACAAAAAUACGAAAAAAAUUAUCUUUAUCAUAUCUAUCAAAUCUCACUCUCGUAAGUGGCCGUGUAGGAAUUGACAACCCCUAUUCGCGUUGGUUGCGAGGAUUUAUUUGUUUUGUGCAGGUACGAGGGACUCGCGCGUAGCCUCCUACUGGAUUGAUACCUUGGUUCUCAAAACCUGAGGGAAAUACUUACGCUACUUUGCUGCAUCAUCCCUUCCUCUUCGGGGAAAACCAAGGCAGUGCUCAAGAGGUAGCAAGGGUUCCUUUUUGUCGACGAUCCGAUGUUUCAACCCUGUUUUCCAGGUGGCCAACGCGUCGCUAAACUUGGUGACGGCGUGUUUGUUUAUCUUCUUCAUUGCCAGGUCCUUAUCUGGAUCUUUAUUAUCCUUUUCACUGCGGUCUGGGAACAAGAUUAUCUGGUGCAGUUUCUUAAGGAGGGAGGGCCUCAUAUUAUCUAUCUUCUGUAGUUUCCCAUCGUUGAUCGUGGCAGUUGUCCGUACGAUGCAACCUAUUUGAUUGCCGUAGCACGAUCGCGCUUCCUCGGGCGCUAUUGUCUCAAAAAUACCGCCGUCCAUCUCCGUGACCGCCAGUCUACUACUCAUGAGCUGGUUUGGGCGCUGUGGCCUCUUUGCUUUCGGUUCUAGACCAGCUCCGCUAGUCUCGGCGCCUGUCUCAGUUUCAUCAUCGGUCCGCAUGUCGGUAUCAGUCCCCGAUGCGACACCACAGUUGCUGCAACAUGGGUAAGGGAGACCACGUCAGUGGUGGGGGGUCUGAAAAUCAGAACACACUUUCGCGCGUCGCGGGCCGCCUCUCAGACAGCUACUGGGGAGGCGGUGGAGUACCUGGGUGCGCGGCGAAUCCCCGGGAACUCGGUGACCAACUUCCUUCCCGUGUGGCGCAUGGAGACGACGGCGACCCCGGCGAAGAGCAGCUUAGCCGCGAGCUGCACAGCCUCGUCCACCUCCUAAGUUGGGACCUCCGCGCGAGCGUUGCGGGGCCGCCACUCGGAUGGCUUCUGGAAGGCGGUUGUACAUGGGCACAUGGUGAAUCCCGGCGAGAGCUGGCCAUUGGCGCGCGCAAGUAGACGACGAUGUCCUCGAAGAAGAGCAGCCCGGCCAGCUCGCCUCACUAUCCUUUGAUUAGAAAUGAAAGAUUGGGAAGAAGCAGACUUGAGCCUGCAGGGAAAGGAUAAGGUGACGAUGCAGUCUCCACUCGUUCGGGGCGACACUCGUACUGAAUGUAUGAGAAACGUGACGUGGCAGAGACCCCAAGAUACUCCCUCCAUUUAUUUUUAGUCUGCAUAUAAAGUUUGGUCAAAGUCAAGAUUUGUAAAUUUUAACUAACUUUAUAAUAAAAAAAUAUCAACAUUCACAAUAUGAAAUCAAUAUUACCAGAUGCGUCAUGAAAUGUAUUUCCAUACUAUAUAGUUUUGGUAUUGUAGAUGUUCAUAUUUUUUUAUAUAUAUGGGAAGUAGAGGCACUCUUCUAUAUAAUGAAGUUUAUAAUAUAUGUGCUUAUAUUGUACUAUAAUUGUUUGAAUAACUUAGCAUAUAUUCAGAUGUAUGAUAUCUGUAAUUUAAACGCUUGAAUUUUACAUAUGAAUAUUUAUUAAUAAAUAUGUACCCCUAUAAUAGCUAGGCCGUGCAGUUGCACGGGUAGAUGACUAGUGAUUACAAUCUUGCUUGUGUGCAAGUCAAGCUUAUCUAGUUUACACGUAACAACUUAUAGAACAUUACAAAAUUUAUGCUUGCUAAUAACUUCUAGAACACUACAACACUUGACAUGUAAAAGGAAUUUGAUGAGUCAUGGCCUACUAAAGCAAGUUACAUUACUAGUCUUAUCUAUCUUAACAGACCACACAAGAUUACAAACUAUGUACCGUGACAGCCAUGCUUAUCUAGUUUAUGCGUAACAAUUUGCAGAAAAUUACAAACUUAGUUUCAGAAAGAUAGGCAAUCUAGAUUAGUGUUUGAGCUGUAAAGUGAAUAAGAUGAGUCAUGCAUGUCAUCACACCUUUUUGGUGGUGGAAUGAUAGUGCAACAACAAGGAACUUUAAUGACCAGUCCAAGAAUACACUUGUAAGUAGUGCCACCAAACAGAACAUACCAAAUGAUGAUUUUGAGAAGCAUCCAAGCACUUUCCACACAAACAAAUGCCAAUUGUGAAAGAGAUCAUUCCAUGGCAGCUAUAAAUAGCCCCAUAGCAUGACGAUCAUCCUUCCUCAUCCAUCAUUCUCAUAAGUAGAGCACAUCAUUUAAGCCAAGCAAGUUGUGGUCAAUACAAAUCCACCAUGAAGACCUUUCUCAUCCUUGCCCUCCUUGCUAUCGUGGCGACCACCGCCACAACUGCAGUUAGAGUUCCAGUGCCACAAUUGCAGCCACAAAAUCCAUCUCAGCAACAGCCACAGGAGCAAGUUCCAGUGGUACAACAACAACAAUUUCUAGGGCAGCAACAACCAUUUCCACCACAACAACCAUAUCCACAGCCGCAACCAUUUCCAUCACAACAACCAUAUCUGCAGCUGCAACCAUUUCCGCAGCCGCAACUACCAUAUUCGCAGCCACAACCAUUUCAACCACAACAACCAUAUCCACAACCGCAACCACAGUAUUCGCAACCACAACAACCAAUUUCACAGCAGCAGCAGCAGCAGCAGCAGCAGCAACAACAACAACAACAACAACAACAACAACAACAACCACAACAAAUCCUUCAACAAAUUUUGCAACAACAACUGAUUCCAUGCAUGGAUGUUGUAUUGCAGCAACACAACAUAGCGCAAGGAAGAUCACAAGUUUUGCAACAAAGUACUUACCAGCUGUUGCAAGAAUUGUGUUGUCAGCACCUAUGGCAGAUCCCUGAGCAGUCGCAGUGCCAGGCCAUCCACAAUGUUGUUCAUGCUAUUAUUCUGCAUCAACAACAAAAACAACAACAACAACAACAACAACAACAACCAUCGAGUCAGGUCUCCUUCCAACAGCCUCAGCAACAAUAUCCAUUAGGCCAGGGCUCCUUCCGGCCAUCUCAGCAAAACCCACAGGCCCAGGGCUCUGUCCAGCCUCAACAACUGCCCCAGUUCGAGGAAAUAAGGAACCUAGCGCUACAGACACUACCUGCAAUUUGCAAUGUCUACAUCCCUCCAUAUUGCACCAUCGCGCCAUUUGGCAUCUUCGGUACUAACUGAGAAGAAAAUAACUCUAGUACUAGAUAUAUGAAACACCGUUUUCUCAGUCCAUGGUUUGGUCGUUGUAGCGGUGAAAAAAUAAUGUGGCAUGCACUAUCAUGUAAGAACCCAAACUAUACUAGUUCAAACUUGGGAAUAAAAGACAAACACAGGUCUUGUCUACAUAUUUAUGUCGCAUCUAUUUAUAUAUUAAAAGUAAUAUAAGGUGAACCAGGAGCAAGGUAAAUAUGCUAGAAAAUUGCACGUUAAUUAGAAAUUACUAGCCCUCAAUCCGGUAAAUCUUAACAAAUAGAAUUAUCUUGACCGUUAGAUUUAUGUAACAUAUAUAAUUCUCUGGGCCUCCAACGACUGUACGUGACACAUCUGAACGCACAUAUGUUAAAGAAAAUAUAUUUGGUAAAUGGUGGGCCUCUUUAAAAAGAGAACUCACGUACAUGCACCAACUAAGAAAAACACAUACAUGUAAACGGGAAAAGGGCUCCACCCCGUUGAAAAAAUAUACAUCUGGAGGCCACUUUGUUUCCUCAUAAAAAAAAACUUACGUUAAAAAGAUUGCAUGCAUCCCAGGGAAAAUAGUCAAGAAGAAGUCGGACUCUUCCUUACAAAAACAAGGAACGUGUUAAGUUGACUUCAAAGAAAAAAGGAACAUGUUAAGUUAAAAAAAACAAGAAACCUGUUAAGUUAGAAAAAAACAAGGAACGUGUUGUCCUAGGAAAGAUAUGUGUCAAAUCUUACAAAAAAAAGAAUACACACACGUACGUUCAUGCACUUGGAAAAUAGAAAAAAAAAGGAACAUCACGUAUGUAUACACUUCGGAAACUCAUUACAUGACCAUGUCUGAUAUACUCCUCUAAUGCUUAAUAUUAGUGCCUAAUAAUUUAUAUUUAAAAUUUAAUUUACUGAUCAAAUAUCCCCACUGUUUAAAUUUUAAUUUGGCACAUUGUUUGGCUAUAGUAUGAACCUAAAUUUCCUCUUAUUAUUAUAUAUCAUGAUAAUAAUCCAAAGGCGACUAAUCUGCGCCGGCGCACCGGCGCAAUCAAUUCGGCCCGACACAGCGCGGCCGUUUGAUUAAAUUGCAUUUAACCGUCAGAUCUAGAAUCAUUUUAUUUCCAAUUAAACGGAUUCAACCAAACAGCAGAGGGGAAAACAAAGCAGCACCGCCGCCAACACUAGUCAUGGACGACCGAUGUAGCAAAACCUUGAAGAACCGCCGCCGGUCGCCACCCUCGCCGCUGGUCGCCGCCCUCGCCGCCUGCGUUUCUCAUCGGCUUCAUGCAUGCAACAACAUGCACUCGUGAUUGCAGGCUUGCAGCUCCGGCUCCGGGGGACAUGGCCGCAUCUCCGGUAGCGCCGGCCGCCAGCCGCAGCACCUGUCGUUGUGGUCACGCUGUACCUCGCCGUGUGCCCUCCCAAGGCUCUUGCUGGUUCCAACAAAAAACGAUACCUAUUGUAGCAAAAAAGUUUAUCGCUUCCAGCAAAAAAGCUUACCGCUAUAGCCCGCCAUCAUCAUUGUAGCAAAAAUGUUAACUCGAUGUAGCUUCUGUGGUUGCCGACUGCGGCCAAAAAUGACGUGGUUGUAGCAAAACACAAAAGAAAAACGCCGGCCGUCCGCUGUGUAUGGUGGUAACAAACCCUAUAGCCGGUGGUAGCGAAAAACUUCACUGUUUGCAGCAAAAAAAUGUUGUCGCCCGUCGUCGAGGUUGCAUCAUCUUCAUGAAUUAUGUCGCAAAAAAACGUUGUCGCCGGUAGUAGCAAAUGAAGCCGCCGGUAGUAACAAAACAAGACACUGGUUCCAGCCAAAAAAAUCAGCGACAGAACCUUUUGUUGGUUCCAACAAAAAAACUUGUCGGUUGUAACAUCCCUCGCCGCCGGAUGUAGCAUCUCCCAGGGCUAGUUGCAACACUCCAUAAAAAAAGUUGUCUAUGAGCGCAUCCAUGGCAACUGCUGCACCGUCAGCAACGAGGGGAAGAGGAGGCAAUGAAAAUCGUUCGAGUCGUAGCUCCACUGGACACGGCUGCAGCAUGGGGAGUCCAAAAAUCUGUCACAAGCAAGAUGCGCCUCGCCAUCCUCCUGCGCAGGAGAGAGAAGAAAAAGGAAUAAGAGGAAGAAGAAACGAAACGGGAGAAAGAAAAAAAGAAACGAUUGGUUGUGGGCUCAGGCAAUUAGUCAAAUGAGGGGCACGCGGGGCCGUAGGAUACAGCGCAAUCGAACGAAGUGCGCGCGUCCGGCCGAAGACUCAGCUGGACUGCCGGUCCAGCUGGAAAUGUUUCCCUAAUACAAAGGCUUUUCUGAAUGACAAGUCGUCUGAGUUAUCGGCUAACUAGAAAAAAGAUAAAUAUGCUAGAUAAUUCCAUAAUAAUUAGAAAUAUCUAGCCUUUAAUUAUGUAAAUCAGAAAAUCACAACCGUUGGAUUUACUUUAAAGGUAAAUUUCUCUAAAUUCCCACCAUUGCCAGUAUGUAGAAACAUGUGCUGCUUCAAUUCUCCCUUAAUCACCAAUCAAUCAACAACUGAAAACAUACCUCAGUUAAAAAAACUGAACAAAAAAAAGAAAAAAAGAAGAAAGGACAAGAUACACGCAUGUACACGACAGCCUUGGCUUGAAACACAUCAGUAGAUCAAGUGUCCGCCUCCCUUACACAGAAUAAAUUCUAGGGAAGAAAAUAAUAGUGCAACCUAACCUUAUACGUACUAUUCUAUCCUCACGUCCCAUGAGGUUUACUAGCCUACUGCCGCCGCAUCAUGCCAUCCUCUCCUUUCAGCUCCCUCCUUGCGGCGCCACUACUCGCCUAGGGAUAUUGCUGCUCAGACCGUGGAGCUUAACCUGCUUCUUCUUCAGCAAAUAUGGAACUGCUUUAGGAUCCUUCUGACAUCAGCGCGUAUGGGCCUCAUUAUACUGCAGCUCCUGGACCUCCUACAAUUGGUUGGCUAUGGCCAGUUGAUCGAUGUGCUGAAGUCCAGGUCUGUUUGCUGGCACAUAUGCUUUGGAAAUAGGCCACUAUGUUUGUACUUCGAAAUUGUUUCUGUAUUCUUCAGUGGUACAUCCUUUUAAGCGCCAGUUUUUUAUGUUAAUUCAUGCUGACAACACUUAACCUAGCCUUUCAUGUUCACGUACUAAAUACAGGAGCAAGUAAAAACAACAGACCACCUAAUUGCUCUGCAAGUUCUACAUAGGAAAAUUUGUCAUGUUCUACGAUCGCACCAUCCCACCCUUCUCUCUUGGUAUGGGCGCCAAUUGAGGGAUUGAUAAAACUGAAACGAAGACGUCACAGGGCUGGAAGUACCGCUAGCCUGGUUCGCACUGCAACCUACCCAACGCCAUCAGAAACUAGCAACUGAGUCAGGUGUUGAUCGAUUCUCUCAAAUUGCUCUCAUGUAAGUACUACCCCUUGCAUGUGCGUACAUACCUUUGUUGCAUUCUCAAACAGAUAGAACAUGUAUGAUCGGUGCAUGGCUAUUUUUCAUCACAUGACAUCCAGAUAACAAGCAUGAAAGGACUACAUUGGAGAUCAAAAAAUAUUGGUUCCUGGCUAGAGUACCACUACCUAUGGACUUGUCUCCAUAGAAUUUGUUCCCAAGAUGUUAUUUUAAUUAACCUCUUUAGCUUUCUUCCGUUGCAAACGGUGAUGUGCAUCAUGGUAUAUACGUGACCAUCUUGCACAUGUAUACACAAGAGGCUCAGACGGAGGUGCUGGAUUCUGGACGAGGGAAUAUGAAGCAGGAGUGAGCGAAGAGUAAAUAAUGGUGGGAGUACCGAUUGGUGUUAUGAAGAAAAAUGCCAUCCAAAGAUUGAUUAGUGUCAUGGAAGAUUAAUUUCUGAAUGCGAAUAUAUAUGUUACAUUGGUUUGGAUCUUUUUGAGAUAAUUGCACCUAAAUUAGGUUCUUUCUUAUUUCAUAUGUAUACCUUAUUUCAGUAAAAGUUCACAACGAACUUAGUAGGACAAAUAUAAUUUUGUUUGUUCUUUCUGUUGUCCGCCACCAAAGCUCAGUUUGAACUCUCUAGAAAUGGACAAUGAUUUAUGCAUUCUAUAUCUUCUUGAUUGAUUAGCCAUGACAAGGAAAUAAAAGGAUUGACUGAUAUAGCAUAACUUUGGAACGAUCUGUUCGUAGAGGUUACUACAAAUUAGAGUAGUGUCUGUUGGAAUUUUGCUAGUAGGCCUUUGGCCCAAAGCCCAACUAAAAUUCUGAAAUUCUCUUCGCUCAUUCAUGCACACAUGUGAGUGGAGUGAGUGAGACUAAAGUUUAGAGAGAGUUGCACCUCUUUAUAAGGUGAGCUCUUCUACCACUUGUAUGAGCAUGAGAAGAGGAGACCUAUACACGCGCUCCUCCUCCUCGCUCACCACGUCUCGUCACGCCGCGCCGCGCCGCGGAUUGCGGGAUUGAGCCGAGCCGAGGACGUUGUCUAUAUUUUUGCUGUUUGGGAAAAAUUAAUAAGUCAUUAAUUAAUAAUUAAUGGAUGCGUUAAUUACUGAACCAUUUUCGAUUCUUUUGGAUCGUGACGACUCGGACGUGGGGUUUACUCCCACGAUCUACCCGGCCCACACUAUAUAGUCAGGCAGACGUCUACCCUAGCCGCCGCCACUUCGUAUGGUUUCUCACCACCGUUACAGAUCGUUGCGCCGCCAAGCAAGUUUUCUCCAUUCCUCCUGUCGGCAUGCACUGGGAGAAGGGACAGCAGGCCUCCGGAACCCCGCCUCUCGUGAUCCUGUACGGGAGAGGGGCGAUCAGAUUUUUGGGGAGCGCACUCGCACGACUGCUGGCAGCGACGACUUCGCAAACGACGACUUCUUCCCCGACCUCGGCAACCUCAUCCUCGACUUCUGCACCGUAUGUUAUUCUAUCCUUCUUGUUCGAGAUCGUGGUAGAAUUCAGAUUUCUAGCAUGUUCCCUAGAUGUGAUUUGUUCAUCUACUAUUCUAAUUCGCAUGAUUAGUUUAAUCUUUGCUAUUGCUGUCAUGAUCUAUUUCCUAUUUAUUCGGAUUAAAUCUCGUAGUAAUUUGCUCAUUUUUCCAACAGUGCCAUCUAAUAGAUGAUGUAAAUCUCCUCAAGUUUGACGUUGUUGAGCUAAUUUACAAAAAAAACCUCAUCAUUAUUGGAUGUCCUUAACAGCUCAAGAACAAGUUGGGGUCGAAAUAAUGGAUUUUACACUUUUACAUUAAAGGUUUAGCUAAAGCAAGCAGGUGUUUUUAAACCUGAAUUUUUUUCCUCCUGAAUUUCUUUGUAUUUUCUUAUUGACACUAUUUAUACAAUCAUCUGACAAAGAUUAGCUAAAGCUGUUUGUAGAUACGUUCAAACCUGAAAAGCUUCUUUGGUUAUCCUUUUAAUAGUUCUACGUUUAUUUUCUCAUAGGUCUUAAUUCUUAUGUAAUACCAAGAUGCAUUGUGGUAGUGUACAUGUGUUAAAUUCAGGUUGUUAUUCACAAUUUGCGACAAAAUUUAGCUCACGCUACAUUUAAAUAUGUUGAAAUGUGAAAGCUCUUUUUCUUCUCCUUUCUACACCUUGCAUCGGAUUGCAUCCCUUUAGUUAUCCAACAUUUUGUACAACAUGUAGAGAUUAGGAAGUUCAUCAUAGUUUGUCUAUUUCCGUGCUAAUAAAUGUAUGAAAUCUGCAUUUCCAAGCUACUAGGACAAGUAAAAAAUAAUAAUUUUACUAUAGGAUUCAAAAACAGCAGUUCUGAAGUGCACUUUAUUUAUUUGUGAAAGUGAUCACAUUUUGUUUCAUUUUUCUAUAGACAAAUCUACUAAUACAUACUCACGAUAAAACUAUAAAAGUUCUAGUCCGCACAUUGGGCGGGCCACCCGGCUAGUUAGUCUAAAGAUAACAAAAUGAGUCUGGAAUUUGAAUUAAAUUGAAGUAUUUUCUUGGACUAUCCACAUCCUUGGCUUGCCCCUGAUCAAUUAUUUCCAGAGAAGCAUUCAAUUCAUCAAUCAAUUACAUUGAUUUUAGUGGCUGGUACUUCUCCUCGACAUCAGUAUAUUCACCGUGGCCACUCCAAAUCGGCAAGAAUGAGGUACCAGUGCUCUGGAGCAGUGCAAGCUAAUUGCUUCUCAUGUGAAGGGGUGCGGGCGCGGGAGAGGUAUUUCUGGUGGGCCAAGGGAUAAGAAGCGACCGUGGCAGCGGUACAGACGCCCGCAAAGCCCCAUAAUUUGUUUUUGGUUUACAGGAAAAAUGCACAUCCAUACCGGCCUGGGGAAUAUAGCACUGUAUUGCAUGGAAAACCAUGUCCGGAUGGUUGUGAGCGGUUUGAGGGUUAGCUUUUGUAACGCCCGGUUAGUUAUGCUAUAGCAAUUCCCUGCUAAUGAUGUCACGUCACCACGAUUACUGUUGUUAACCUCACAAUGAUUCAAUCCCGUUCAAAUUCAAAUUUGAAAUAAAGGUAAACAUCAAAAGUUUUCAAACAUUAAAACUAAAAUCUUUGAGAGGUGACAAAUAAUGCAUAAGUAAUUAUGGUGAAGAAACCACACUUUAAUCAAAUGUUUAAAUACUCUAAAAUGAAAAAAAAACAGUGACUUAAACUAUUAUUUAAAUGCUUUUAAAAUAGUAAAAAUCUUCUAACUAAAUUAUUUGGGUACCAAACUUUUGGUGGCAGUGGUAUAUUUAGUAGAACUAAUUUAGAUGCUAAUUAUAUAAUUUACAAAAUUAGAGUAAAUUGAAAAAUAGGAUAAAACGGAAAAAGGAAAGACAAAACAAAUAAAAGCAAAAGGGGGCAACCCCUCGCUGGGCCUCGGCCUAGCUGGCCACUAGACUAGCUAGGCUGGCCCCGCCGCCUCCCUUAACCCCCCACUCCCCAUCGAACCCAAGCCCGAUCGCCCCAUUUCCCACACACCCCCUCGCUAGUCUCCCCACCUCUUGAUCCCAUCUGGAUCGGGGAGGGUAUUGCCCCCAUCAACCCCGUUGCCGUCGCCGGAUCGCCCGCCGACGUCGGCAGGCCUCCUCCCCGUCGCCCGUCUCCGGCUCACCUCCCCUCUCGCUCCUCUUCCCCGACCCGAUCUGGAUCGUGAACGAGCAAUGAGCUCGAAGCCCCCCUUCACCAGCGCCAUCACCGUGCGCCACCACCACCACCUGAAGACCUCACCGUCGCUGAACCUUGCGUCGCCUCCUUGUAUCCCUCCCCUACUCGCAUCCUCAAGCCAGGCCGAGCCCCUUCUCGGCAACGCUGUGAGACGCCCCCGUUUCCCUCCUCUUUCCACCGCGUUCACCGCGCCGCCCGCCGUGCCCCUCGCCGUGCAUGAGCCCACCACCGCACCAGCCCCCGCUCCGCGCACGACCCUACCCGCGCCCGCGCCAUGAUCCCCUUUUCCGCCCUACCUUCACGCGCUCGCCGCGAUCCCCAUGCUCCCCCGCGCCCUCUUUCGGGGGCGCCGACUGCCCCUGUCCCGGUGCUCGCCGCCGUGCCUCGCCACCGCUCUACUGCUACGUUACUACUGCGCUGCGGCCGCCGCCUCUUCCCGCUGCUCCGCUAGCGCCGAAGCUCCCGGUUGGCUCCACCACUGCUCACGUUAAACCGCCGGCCUAAAUGGCCUAACCCUCGGCUAAUGAACCCCCACUAACCCACUGACACCGGGACCCACAUUCCCUAAUUAACCAUUUAAUAAAUUAACAUUAGUGUAUGACAUGUGCGUCCCCUGUUAAUUAAUAAUUUUACUGCUAGUUUUAUUAGUUUCUGUUUUUCUGCAUAUUUCUUUUGUAUUUGAACAGGCUUUAUACAAUAAUAUUUAGCGUAUCAUACACAUACAAAUGUAAUCAUAGCAUAUACAUACAAAUAGUCUCAUCAAAUCAUGUCAUCAUCAUAAUCAUCAUCCAUCACAAAGUGGUCUCUGGUCAUCAUCUCGAAAAUAGCGAUACAAGUCUCGAUUACUUGCAACUACAUCGUCAUCCAUCUAAACAAUGAUAUACACGAGAAGAGCUCUCACUAUGAGUGAGAGCGGAACUAUGCAGUACAUGAGUUUGUAUCCCUCUCUCGCAUUAGCGUGAACCUAAACUAACGACUGGCUGUUGCUCGGAAACCGGAAACCGGUACACCUGGGCCUGACACUCCGGCCACUCAUCGUAUACUCCUGGCGUAGCACUUCUUCGCCAUCGAUGAUCUAUGCACCUGCAUCGUCACAUGAGUCGAUGAUAUGCAACAUAUAUAGUUGAGCAACAGAAAGAGACAGACUUGGCAAAAAUAGAAGCAACAUAUCACAAGUAUAAAUAACAAAGUUAAUGUUUUGCAGGAUUACAACUCAACCCAUUGCAGAUUAGAAAACAAGCCCGUAUGAAUGCACAGGCUGACGACUAGUCUAUCUAUACCUAUACCUAUACCUAUACCUAUACCUACCUAUACUAAUUACAGACUCCCAAGGAAUUCCCACGUUAAUUAGUAAUUAGGAGUCGUUAAUCUUGUGGGACCAAAUUAUUACGACAGUCCACGAUCUCUUUUCUCUCUGUGUAAAAAAAGGUCCACGAUCUCUUUUCUCGGUUGUAAAAGAUAAAGGCAACUCAGGUCCACGAUCUCUUUUCACGGUUGUGAAAGAUAAAGACAACUCCCGUCUUCUUCUAAUCUAUAGUUCUAUACCUCCACGACCCCUUUCUCUCCCCAUUUAAAAGGAACAAGCUGAACCAAUAUCUAAGCAUGCAAUUGGUUCCUGUGCGGUCUUGACCUUCCAUCCGUCCACUGCUCGAUCGGCCCUCCCUCAACUACAAGCUGACAAGCCACCAUCGCCAUCCAGCGGCACGCCACCGUUCAUGCAUGUGUUUUUGCCCUUCAAUCUGAAGGAGAUGCGUUGGCUACUCAAGUAACUCUGUUUGUUUUGUUCAAACCAAUUUCGUUAAUUCGGUUCUUUGAUUAUCUAAUUGACAUGGCCUGUGAGUUUUGUGCUAGUGAUACAGGGCCUGUCUACUAGAUUCUCUCCUUGCAACUUCUAUUGUUGUCUCGAUUUGGUGUGGUCAAGAUCCUUGCCCCACCACAAGCAGCACCUUUGCACCAUCGGGGAAAUCUGUCAUAGCAAACAGAGGUAUGUAACAUGCUUUGGUGUUUUCCUCUUUCGUUUAGAUCACUAGAGUUGCUCAACCACACCAUUCAUUGAUUAGUAGUUGGCCUGAGAAGUUGCUCGGUCACCUGCAGCGUCUGAUCCCCUUCUUGACCCUCUCCUUCUGGUCAUUAUCCACCGGCAGGUCAAUGCAAAACGGAUCGUUCGUUGCCGCCACCUUGCGGAGACCGAUGUUUGGCUGCCCUCCUGCCAUCCUGGCACUCUGGUACCGGUCACUGUGCCGUUGUUCUAGAAGAACUAUGUCACACGAAGCGAGAUAUCUUCUUACUAAUCUGGAACAUAAGUGUUUCUUCUUACUAGGAUUCGCUCACCGGUGCAUUCAUCUCUUUUUGGAAAAUACGGCCUUCAUAUUUCACACGCCUAUACAUGGGUGCUGUCCCAACAAUAAUCCAUCUAAUCCAUGAUGCACAUUCAUGAAGACUGAUGUGACUGAAUUAAUAUAUCAAUCUGGUGCUUCCGGAUCAGCACUUGAAGAAGCAACCCCUUUAGUUCAUAAAUUUAUCAUACGAAAGUCAGGGGAAAAAUCAACUAAGUCAUGUGUGCUUUUCUAAUUAAUUACUAUACACUAAUUCCAUUUUUUUCAGUAGCAGGCUAGGAUACGUGGAUUGUGGCAGCACAGAAGUAAACCGAUGAGCUACAUUGGCCGUUCACCAGUCAUCGGAUCAGAAGCCAUGUCGACCAGAGGGACGGAACAGUUCUAUAUUAGGCGAUGGAUACAUGUGGAAGCAACUAAGCAUAUGUGGAUGCAUGUGAUCGCAUAGGUAAGGCCAUAGCUGUUCAAGCCCUACAGGAUCUUUAUUGCUGGUUUUAAUUAUGAGUUUACAACACCAUCUAUACAUACUACUUAUCCAUUUAUUUCCUUACCUUCUUUGUUUCUUUCUCUCCUUGAUCCCCUGUCAAAAGGGCAUCAACAUCCAUAUGCGCAACGGCACACGCAACAAACUAUGACUUCGGUUGCACGUCCAAUGGCAACCACAGUACAUGAUGAUAUCAUGUUUGCUGCAAGACGAAGUACAAGUUCAUAAUUUGGUCUUUUGCAUGGUCCCUUAGUAAAUUAUAUUUGUCCACAUACACCACAUACAUAAAAACAGGUAGAAGCGGUUGCAUGAUGAAAAUGUCCUCUCAAUAUGCAUGCCUAUGAAUACUAUCACCAGAAAGCCAAGGACUAACAAUUAUUCAGGGGUCAAGAUUGAAGACAGACGUCCAAGAUUGGCAGUCGGCCGGCCUAAGAGGGGCAAAACCGUUGUACAUUAUAUUGUAUGGACCUAGCAAGAUCCUAAAGAUAAGUGAUAAUGGAGAUCAUGGGGGCCACCCUUAUAACCAUAUGUCCAAAUGUUCUUAUUUGUUUAUUUUUCUUUUCUCUUUUCGGAAGAAUCCAUCCUGCCUCUAUGGUCAUCCUGACCACUUCGUAUUGUUAUCUAAUCUCCUCCCUUAAUUAAUAUAAAGAAUUACCGCAGCUGAAUUCACUAAAAAAAGUAUUCAGUUUAUUUUAAUUUAUUCAACUAUUAUGGCAUAUCAAUUGGAUUGCAAGUUCUUGGCGGUUGCAUUUGAAUCAUAUUUGAUGUGCACAAAGGCUUCAGUGUCAAGGUGGUCGGACGAGUAUUUAUGUCCAUUAUAUAUGUGUUAGCUUGAGAUCAUCAGGCACCUGUUAUGCAUCUGUCCAGUUAAAAGGAUGUUCAGACUCAGGCUUGCCCUACCAUAUAUGGCUGUGACACUCUGAACCAAGCAAGUUGGUCAUAUGUGUCGAGCACUAUUAACUCUUUGGAAGAGGAUCCACCAAGUACAGGAAACAAAUCAAAUAUCUUCUUAACCUUAUCACCAGAAAAAUUAGCAAGAGAUGAAUAGUAACAUUUUAAAGAAGAAAGAUAUGUUUGAAAAGGGAUAUAUAUUAUGGCGACGAUUAGAAGAGCCCUUGACGAAUGGUGCCUAGCCUGCGAAAGUUUCUUAUGAAUAUAGUCAACACUCUAUAUCAACUGUUGUAAGAUUUUAGAAAUAUUUUUGGGGACAUAUGAUACAUGUCUAUUAUACAUAUGAUUCAACAGAAGUUUGAUUGAAUACAUAUUUAAAACGUGACUGACUUCUAUAUGGACGGAGUAUUUCACAAAGGACUCACUGCCAACUGUGUGAAUAUUCCAAGAUAGUUAGUGCACAUAAAUGUUCAAAUCCAUAGCCUGCAUAAAUAUACAAAAGCAAUGUGUUAGACCACUACACAUGCUUCUGAAAGGAGGCAAAAAAAUGUAUGCUUGAUUGAUGACCGUUCAUGCAUGAAAUUAAUUUCUGAUUUCUAAUUAUUUUGGUCAUAUAAUGGAAAUAGAGACAUUAUAAAGAUCCAACAGCAUGCUAUCACACACGUGUGAACACAGACACACACAAAUAACAUUUGCCGAGCACUCACAAAUAAAAGGUGUGGCUACUCUUGGGUGUUCUACAGCUGGCUUAAAAAAACACGUAUGAAACAUGAUCCCCAAAAAUCUGAAAUUCGCAACAUAUGAAAAUCCACCCUCAAACAUAUUUCUGGUGUCUCAAUUCUUUUAGUUUCAGAUGGUAUGUCCAGCCAAAGUAGUUGUACACAUACAUUACUAUGUUCUAUUAUUUGAGAUUCUAAGACAACAUUUAGUAACUAGCCCGUGCGAUGCACGGGUUCACGACUAGUAUAUAUAAAGCUUAAUGGUGCCUAAGAAAGCUCGCACAAUUUUACAGUGGCUGUGGAGAUGUGUUGCCAAACUGAGACAUAAGAUUUUCGUUUGGCAUCCAGAGUUGCAGACCGCUUGUGUUAUCCUUAAUCCAUGGCCACUCUAAUUUUUCCGGCUGGGCCUUCCCUGUGGUACGGCAGCAAGGCUUGCGUGUGUAUAUGUUUCCUUUAACUACCACUAGCACAUAUGCCCGUGCGUGCGUUGCAAGGGGAGAGAUAAUGGCGUAUCCACCAAUAUAUCUAGCAGCAUGACCCAACAACAUCCGAAUGAUGUCACCCGACGACGGCAGGAAGGCACACACAGAGGUCUAGUAAAAACUCAACAAUUGUACGGGCAUGGUUAAUUCGCGUGAAUUCAAGGGUGUGAGAUUAGUUAGUGUUGGUCCCACAAUUGAAUUCGGGGGCUGAUUAGUUAGUGUGGGCCCACCCUUGAAUUCACCGGGGGAGACAAAAUAAUUAGGGUGAGGAGAGAUUUACGGGGCUUGGUCCCCAGAUGCGUUGCGGCAGUCAUUAUUCGAGCAUUGCAAUGCUCGCACGUGAGGAGCUCUUUUUCCAAUUGUAUAUUGAGAAGCAUUGCUACAGAUACAAUGUUUUUGAUACGUUUUUGUACGAUGAUCCUGAUCUUAAAGGGCCUUCUAAUUUUUAAAUCUUAAAGGCAUUAUUUGUAAGUUGUCGUGAAAAAAAUCUCGCUAAAAGGGUUAUGUUAGACCAUCUUCAGUACAUUAGAAAUAACGAAUUAUAAUUCCUUGGCAUUUGAACAAACAAUCCCUACUUAUUUACACAUACAAUACUUUUGGUAUGAUUUUGAAAUCUUGAAGGCAUUAUUUGUAAGUUGAAGCAAUUUUGAAAUCUCACUAAAAGGUCUGUUAGACCAUCUAUAGCUUUAGAAAUAACUAAUUAUAAUUUUGCAAAAAAAAGAAAUAACUAAUUAUAAUUCCUUAAGCAUCUGACCGAAACGACCCCGAUUUAUUGUCUGGGUAGUAAUUCCUUUGCAACAUUAUUCUCUCCUUUCUUGAAGGAACUCUUGCCUGGGUAGUAAUUCCUUUGCCCACGUAUUUGCAAGGUUAUUCUCUCCUUCAUUUUUACAGGAGCUCUCCUUCCUUAUACUAAUUGGUCAUUAUCCUCUCCUUCCUUUUUCUUUUUGCCAAACUCUCUUUCCAUAUUUAUGCCGCUAACCACGCCACUCUUUUUCCUUAUUUAUGCCCUUUGAUCACGCCACACAUCUCAUGAAAUCUAAGCCAUAUAUAUCACCCAUCUUUUUUCCUUAUUCCGGUGCUUUCCUCACAAACAGUAGUUCUCUAGGAUGCUUAACGAUUUUGAAACAGAAACAUAUAUAAAUCGGUAGAACGGGUUGUAAAGCAGCGAGGUGGUACUAAUUUAUAAAGAAACAAACCUUUUCUUUUUGUGUAAUGAUGCCUUGGUUCGGCUGGUUGCGUUGGGAAAAGGACCGGCGAAGUGGGCGAACCAAAAACGGAUAAAAUUACGGUGGUAAGAAGCGAUAGCCCUUUUAUUAGUAGGUAUGAGGAUGUCUAGGAUGUCUAGGAUGAGGAUUUACUGCACACAAGUGCGGGGGCACUCAGGUCCUGAUGCCGCCUUUUUAUUUUGGCUUCCGAUUUUCAAACUUCUAUAUCUUUUAAACAAAAAAUUCAAUUUAAGUUACGUUUUCAUAUUCGUGCUUCUCGCGGCCAGCGCUUUCAAAUAAGAUCCAUUUUGCAUACAUUUUGGUGGCUUUUGGAAACGGGCGAAUAGCUCCUAUGCGACGUUGUUGGUGUGUAUUGUCUCUCAUGCGACGUUGUUGGCUGUAAUAGCUCUCAUGCGACAUCUGCGUUGGAAAAAAUAGCUCCCAUGCGACACACCAUUUACGCGGCUAGUUGGCUGUUAGUUAGGCUGAGGUUUGGUUAGGACACUGGGGGUUAUGUGCUCUGACUGGUGGGGUCCACCUAUGGUCACGUAGACAAGAGUCAACCGUCCACGACUCGACCUGGGACUGUGUGACCGUGCUCGACUCACCCGUGCUGGACUGAGUGAGCGGUGCCGCCGUAAGCAUCUUCUCCGACAGCGGUUUCUUCUCCGCGGUGGUGGAGCGCAUUUCUCGGCAGCGGCAGAGCUAUUGCGAGGUGAGCCCGAAACCCUAGUCCCACUCCCCAGAAUUUUGGGGGAUCUGUGGCCUCAUGCUGCCCUCUGUUUCUUGGCGAUUUAGAAUCGGGCUCCAUUGGAUCCGGGGGUUGUUUCUUCUCCGUGGCCCGGUGGUGGAGCGCCUAUCUCUGUAGCGGCUAUUGCGAGUGAGUAUUUUCCAAACACUACUCGCAUUCCACUAAAUUUUGGAUAAAUCUGUGGCCUCAUGCUGCCCCUAUUUCUUGGCGUUUUAGAAUCUCGAUUGGAUAGGAGAUGGAGCGAGGGCUGGAUGAGAUGGAGCGAGGAGACAGUGCUUCAAAUCGGUAAUGCCACACUCUUUUCUUGGCGAUUUAGAAUCGAACUCGAUUUGGUAGUGACUGCCGCCGCUGCCUGCCAUUGACAAAACAGGGGAGGUUCAAGUUCUGCCACCACAUUCACAAUUAUAGUGGAAUUUUUUCCCUGUAAAGCCAAGCUCAGUGAUGGCAGUGUCCAAGACAUUGAUAGAGAUACCACCGUGAGGUUCGAUGUCGAAUUUGCAGAUGUUGAUCCCCAGGAAUUGGAGAGCAUGAAGGAGAAGGCCGUGGGCAAUUUGGUGGAGAGAAUUGGGGAGAAUAUUGUUUGGGGUCCAGAACAAGAGGUAUGUCUGCAACGUUUCGAUAACUAUAAUGGUGAAUAUGUGAGAAUUGAAGAUGGAGAAUCCAUGGUUGCUGAAAUUGAUCAGCAAGAAGGGUGGGCAACUAAACAAGUAACAUUUUAUGCAGAGCUAAUUGAUCUACAAACUCAUUCCAGAGUUGGUUAUGUGCAAUCAAAGAGGGCUGCACAGAUGGAAGAUGAUGAGUGGGUUUCACAAAAGAAGAUGUUGGCAUUGUUGACUGAACCGACUGUAGUAGCUGAAGAUACAGGGAUUGAUGCAGAUGGAGAGGAGGGAACCCAUGGUGCUAGGAAGAUUGUUGUUGACUGGAAUGUAGUAGAGUUGAAUGAAAAAACAGAUUUGGUCAUUACACCAAUAUCUGACAUUGAUAUGGCCGAAAUGUUUGGCAUUCAAGUUGAUGACAAAGAUAAGGAGAAGGAUGACAGUUCUUUGCCUGCUGAAGGAACAUAGGCCCUAGAAAUGCAAAUGAGGAUGAAGAACAGCUGAUGAGAGAGGCUGCAGAUGAUGUGGAUGAUGCAGAUGAUAAUGAGUUGGUUUGUUUGUAUGACAAAGAGAACCCAGUUAUUGAGGUGGGAAAGUUGUGGCCAAGCAUGAAGGAGUUUAGGAUGUCUUUCAGGACCUAUGCAGUGAAAAAGAGUUUGAUGCCAAGACUAUGUGGACUGAUUGAAAGAAAUUUUAUGCUCGGUGCAAAGGUUAUGAUGGUGGUGGCAAUCCUUGCAAAUGGUACUUGUCUGCCAGACUACAACCUGAUUGAAGUACAGUAAGGGUAAAUCAAAUACCACACCAGCAUACAUGUAUGACCACUUCACAGAGAGUUUCAAAGAUGACAUCACAGCUUUGGGUUACAGAGAAGAUUACUCCUAUUUUAGCCAAGACUCCAAACACUACUGCAAAGAGGCUUAAAGUUGACUUGGAGAAGCUGUACCCCAUCCAGCUGCAAUAUACCACAGUGUGGAAAGCAAAACAAAGGGCCAUGAAAUCAUUGUAUGGUGACUGGGCAAAUACAUUUAGGAUGUUGUAUAGUUUUAAAGCAGAGGUGGAGAAGAGGUCACCUGGGAGUGUGGUGGAGAUAGAUACAGAGGUAACAGAGGAUGUCAUGGUUUUAUUCAGCAAGUUUUUUAUGUGUUUGAAGCCAUGCAUAGAUGGAUUCAAAGCAGGUUGUCGUCCAUAUUUGAGCAUAGACUCAUCUUUUUUGACUGGAAAGUGGAAUGGUCAGUUGGCUGCAUGCAAUGCUCUAGAUGGACGCAACUGGAUGUUCCCAAUUGCAAUAGGAAUGUUUCAAUCAGAGACAGAGGCAUCAUGGAUAUGGUUCAUGAUGCAACUGAAAAGAUGUAUAGGGCCAGUUUCUCCUUUAGCCAUCCACACAGAUGCAUGUAAAGGGUUCGAAAAUGCAGUAAAAAAUGUUGUCCCCCAUGCUGAGCAGAGGGAGUGCUUUGGACAUAUGUGGAUGAAUCUGAUAAAAAAAUUAGAGGAGAUGAAUUUGGGCGCAUGUGGCCAGCAGCAAGAUCCUACACCAGACAGACACAUUCCUAUCACCUUGGUAAGAUAUUGGCAUCAUGUAGUGAUAAUGAAUUUGCUUCAUGGUUGAACACCCGCCAUUCUCUGUUGUGGUAUAGAUCAGGUUUUAAUACUGCCAUAAAAUGUGAUAAUAUCAAUAACAACUUGGCAGAAAGUUUUAACAACAAAGUGAAGGAUUUGAAAGACUUGCCUGUGCAUGACAUGGUGGACCAAAUAAGGAUCAUGAUCAUGCGUUUGUGGGAGUUGAGAGGAAAAAUUGCUAAUAUUUUGGAAGGGGACAAGCUUCCAGCAGUGGUACAAUAGGUGGUCAACAGGAGUAGAAAUCUUUCACAUCUAUCUGUUGAGAAAUCUUCCUUGUGGGGUGCUGAAGUUAGAGAUACAAAGAGUGGCAAGAGGCAUGUGGUAAAUACUGAGUUGCAUGAGUGUACUUGCCGAGAGUGGCAACACACUGGAAAACCAUGUGAGCAUGCCAUACUUUUUUUGGCAUCUAAACCCAGGUUAAAUAUGCACCCAUAUUUGCAUGAGUAUUAUUCAGUACAAAAAUUCAAAGCUGCAUAUGCAAGUCCAAUUCCUGCACUGACUGACCAAUCUCAGUGGCCUGAGGUGGAAAUAGAAUUUACCUUGUGUCCCCUGUCACUAGAAGAAAGGCUGGGAGGCCUAAACAGAGCAGAUUCAAAGCUUGGUUUGAGAAAGGUGGUUGUAGUAAGAAGGGGAAAAAAGAAAAGAAAAAGAAUGAUAAGCCCAAAAGGGCUCAAAAAGGUAAGAAAAAUAGGUGCAAGUUGUGUGAGGUACUUGGGCACAGAAUUGGUUCAUCCAAGUGCAUCUAUACUCCUCAGAGGACAAAGUAUGUUCAUGUUACUGUUUUUACAAGUUUUUGAUUUUGUUACUUGUUCUAGUAUCUAACCAAGUCAAAUGCUUUAUUUUUUAGGAGGAAGCGUGCAGAAAAAGCCCCACCUCUUGUUGUUGAACAAUGCUGGCCAGUGAAAAAAGCAAGACUCAAUGGCUAUAUAGAAGGAAGAGCACUAAGCAGAUAAUGUUUGGUGACAAAGAUAUGGAGCUAACUGAAACUGUUACUGCUGAACAUGAGCUAAGUGUUUCUGUUUUGGACGAUGUGAUGCAUACUGAAUCUGUUUUGCAGACGCUAGGGCAAUCUGAAACUGUUGCAGAUGAAGCAACGGUUGUGCUGCCAUGCGAAUCUGCUUUGACAACUGUGUUGCCAUGUUUGGAGGUUGUGCUGCCAAGUGUUGAGUUGCAAACUGAAGUAGUUGAACAAUUUGUGCCAUCUACUCAAUCUGCAGAAGUGCAAACUGAAGAAGUGCAAACUGAAGAAGUGGGACAUGGUCAGGUGAAAAAGUUGAGGGGGCCUAGUGGAGUUUGCAAGGGGCCAAAAAGCAAGAGCAUCAACAUCAACAAACUAUGCGCCGUGGAACCAAACGAUGGAAAAAAGCAGAAGAAAUCGAGUGGUAGAAAGAAGCAAAAGAAAUAGAGUCGAAAUCAUUCAAAUUUGAUGUGAAAACUUAAGUUUGUUGUCAUUUGAUGUGAAAACUUAUGUUCUUUCAUGUGAAAACUUAUGUGCUAUGAUGUUGAUUUGACUUGAAAUAAAAUUCAAAUUUGAACCGACAUUCAAAUUUGAACCUAUCUCCAAAUUUUUUUGAGUUCAUUUGUUUGUUCUGUGAUGUUGCAUCGUUUUAUGUACUACUAUGCACUUUGUGAAGUCCAACUCAUAGUCACUGAAAAUGCUGUACAAACAGGCUCCAAAGUAAGGGAAAACGGCCCCAUUUCUAAGCAAGUUUUUUUCGAUCUUCUCAAAAUCACCCAAAAAAGAUUUUCUUAGCUUAUAUUAUACCUAUAUAGGAUCAAUACAAAGUCUCACCUUUUUUGAAUAAGUAUUCAUAUUAUUUAAUUUAUUUUUGAAAAAACACCCUUUAAUACAAAGUCAGCAAUAAAACAAGUUUAAAAAUUUUAAAUGCAAAAAUAACUUCAGAUCCUCCUUAGUCACUCUAAAAUGAAGCUAAGGUGAUGUUUUUUGAUUUUUUUGCAUUUUCAAAACCUCAAACCCUCUUCUCACUCCUUUGAACUCUAUGCAACCUCAGUCGAGAUAGUCCAAUUUGUGAAGGUUUUUUCAUGCAAAGAUCAUUAGAUCAAGUUUAUCAUUUUAUAUCAUAACUAUGUAACAUAAAAAGGCUAUAUGCGCAGGUUUUUCAUUUUUUAGAUUUUUUUGAAUUAGUUAUACACAUUUGAAUGUUCGGUCAAACCUUUCAAAACCCCGUUGACUGCCUCAAAACCCCAUGUAACCCUAGCGCCAAACGUCCACCGUCGAUCUAACCCUAACGCCAAACUGCGGCCGUCGGAUGGGACUUCUAGAAGGAUUCCGCGGGGGCGAUCCAUGGGCUCCAAUCUGAUUGGCCAUUGUUUUUUCUCUCUGACGAACAGAUAACGUUGAGCGGGGGAGCAUCUAAGUGACCGUUGGGCCGAGUGGAUUGGGCCUGGCAAAGCCUGGCGUGCGUGCACACGGCUGUUGAGAGGGGGGAUGGGCUGCAUGCGAGCGGGUCAAUGACAUGUGGGCCAUCCUUGUCCCAUGCAUGCCAUGCAACGUCGCAGCCUAGCUAUUCUUUGCUCGUGAAAGCCUAGCCAUUUGCAUGCGGGCUUGCAUGCACGCAUCGACGCAGAGUACGGCAAGGGUGCAGCGUAUAGGUACGUCGCAUCUAAGCUAUUUUAACAAAUGCAUGUUUGAACGAGAUGGACGCGUCGGUGGUGCAGCUCCUUUUUCAGUGUCACGCGCGGAUGAACGGGCCUGUUUCCCAUGCGGCAUCACCGCCGAUGCAAGUGCCCGUGCCUCUUUGGAUGCUCUGGCCGCCGUUUUUUGAAUUAAUGCCCGCAAUUACUUAUGCCAUGCGAACGGAGAAGAGAAAAAGAUCGAGAAGGGGCACCGUGUACACAUUGACCAUGGUUGCAAUGCGGCUAUAAAAGGGCACCAUUUCCUCAUCCUCUCACACUCAUCUCUCAAGCCUCCUCCCCUUCUUCUUUUCGAGCCAAAUCCACCACUCGAGCCACCAUGCAGUUCAACGGCCCUACCUACCGUCGCCCUUGCACCGUGCCGGAGAGGCAGUACCCAGCCGGAGUCGUCGUGGAGAACAGCCUGAGGGUGUGGGCCAUCUCUAGGUGGAGGGGCCCUAGAGAGUUGGCUCGCUUCUUCCUCCAAGCUGGCUACCGCCACCUCCCUCCGGGCACUCCGCCCAUGUUCCACCUCCACGAGCAGUACGAUGGCAAUGCCGGCCCCGACGGCUUCGUCAUCGGCCUCUAUGUCACCUUCACCAACCCCUACGACGCUCACCACCUCCCCGGGGAGGUGUUCUGGUGUGGAUGCGAGUUUAUCGCGUUCACGACCUACAACAUCUUCACCAACUUCCACCACAUCUUCCCUCACCACAACGGCAUGCACACCCUCCCCUAUCAGAUGCCGGAGGACGACGAGUGAGGGGCCCAAGGAGGAGGGUCCAAGGAGUGGCAAGGAGGAGGGGCCAAGGAGUUGUUCAAGCGGCGAGUCUUCUAUCUAUCUAGUUUGGGGCUCUAGUUUGUGUUUGUGUUGGUUCGGGCGUGUGUGCCCGUGUCUUUUAUAUAUCUAGUUUUAAUUAUUUUACUUUCAUGUUUUAUGAACUAUAUGUAGUGGGGGGAUGCCCCUCUAUAAGUUUUAUCUAUCUAUGCUACUAGGGUACCCGAUGCCCCUCUAUCUAUCUAUAUGUUUUUUCGGUCCUAAAGUUUCUCCAUUGCAUUUUAUUUAUGUGGCCAUGUGUACUAAAAAACAAUUGAUCUGGUAUCUAAAAUGUACGUUACCAAGAAAUUGACAAUAAAGAUUAUAUACUGUACUACAUAAUCAUACAGUUGGUAUACAAUGCAUUUGAAGACAAUGGGCAAGAAAAAUGCUAAUUAUCUGGUGCUGGUGACAUGCGUAAGUGUUGUCUGAUGUUUAAAUCAUGCUUGCUAUGUCAUUUUUUGCUGCCAAACAUGGCAUUAGCGAGAAAGGUCAUUUGGGCACUGAAUGUAUUAAAGUAUACACCAUAUAUAAAAAUGUCUAGCCAAAAGAUUUGGGUGUACAACUGUACACCAAUGACCAAGUAUGGAUCCGCCCCUGGUUGUAAGGGGAUGCCCCUCUAUGUUGUAAGGAGAUGCUACUAGGGGCACACUAGAUGUCUUCUUUUUUUGAGAGAGGCACAACCUUUUUCGGUUGAAACACACGAGUAAAAACUUUGAAAACACCAUAGCACAAGUAAAAAAAUAUAUUAAGAAAUGGUGCUUGGUUGAAAUAAACUAGAACCAAACAAUUGCAACUUUCUUGGUUCACAAAGACUGCUCAAAUAAUUAUCUCAAAUAGCUUAUGCAUAAAAAUAUCUCAAAUAAUUAUUAGAUGAGUUAUCUCAAAAAAGGUGACUGCAGGAAACUUAAAAUUUGUGAAAUGAUCUAAAGCCGAAAAGAUAUAUCGAUGAAUUAUCUCAAAUAGCUUAUGCAUAAAAAUAUCUCAAAUAAUUAUUAGAUGAGUUAUCUCAAAAAAGGUGACUGCAGGAAACUUAAAAUUUGUGAAAUGAUCUAAAGCCGAAAAGAUAUAUCGAUGUCAAUGACCGUGUGCACUUUUUUUGCACUCCUUUUAUCAAUGGGCCUGGAUAUGUUCUAUUCGGCCCUGCCUAACUUCUAUAUGGGCCUGGCCUUUUCGGGCAACUAUGGACGAACCUUUUUUUUCCUUUUCUCCCUCUACCACUGAAACUGAAACUGAUGACGAACUGAAGAACUAAAAAACGGGGCCGAAACAGAGUGGAGAGGACAUGCUGAAUUCGUACAACGCAACACUUUUAUUCAAAUAUACAUAUCAUUAGGAUUACAAAUGAUGCCCAAUCUAUUCACUUACGACUAAUUAUCAUCACAUAAACAAAUGCGAGAGCAAUUACACAAACAUAAAAAAGUCCGGCCAUCAGCCCCAUCAAAUUGCCCUGCUUCUGCAAUUUGAUGAGUUUCUUCAUCUGCUUGUUUAGCUUCUUCAGCUCUGCCGUCACUACUGCAUCCCCCACAGUAGCCCCAAUGGAAUGGGCACAUCCAGGGGCCCCAGAUCCAGAAGCGCCCGAUCCAAACUUGCCCAACUUCUCCACCUCCAGCGGUAAAUCGAGCUCCCCUGAUGCACCCUCCAGUUGAAUCCGCUCUAUGUACUCAUUUAGCCACUCAAAAUGGGUGCAUUGCUUCAAUUUCUGAAAUUGGAAAGAUGAACCCUAAAUCCCAAAUCCGAUGAAAAAUGGGGAAAAAUUGUGAUAUGAAAUUGGGAUACAAAAACCAAAAUUGGCAUAUUGAGAAGUAAAAUCUCACCUUUCCCUGCUCUGGUUUGCUCUCGCAUUUCACGAAUUCCCGCCCAAGGUUGCCAUUCUUGUCGGUCGUUGUGACUAGCCGCUUCAGGGGUGUGAUACGUGGGCCUGCAGGGCACCUUGUCAUGGGCACUGCGCCAUAGCGCGGCCAUGAGCGGCGGGAGGCUGAAGCGGAGCUCGACAUUGCUAGGUCGCGGCCCGGAACGGCGUUGCUGCGCGUCGUCGCCGGAGAAGAAGAACAACAACGGUCGGGGAGGGGGGGUGGGGGCGGGGGCGAGGAUGGGCCACGGCUCGGGCCACGGCUCGGUGUCCUCUUGUACCAAUGCUGACCUGGAUAAGUUAGUGGGUCCCACGCAGUGGGUCCCGCUCACCUGACCAAUGCUGAGUUGGAUAAGUUAGUGGGUCCCGCGCUGUGGGUCCCGCUCACCUGAUUCGAGUUUUAAACAUGUGUCUUUGGAUUAGACAGCAGUGUCGCAUGGGAGCUAUUUUUUCCUAUGCAGAUGUCGCAUGAGAGCUAUUACAACCAACAACGUCGCAUGAGAGACAAUACACACCAACGAUGUCGCAUAGGAGCUAUUCGCCCUUUGGAAACAUUGCUAAGUUUCAUUGUUUGAAACUUAGUACGAGCGACCGAUAAAAUUUAAUUAUUUUGUGUCUACGACCAACAGGAGAAAUUGCUUAAAAUUACAUCUUUGAAACUGGUCAUUUUUUGAUGCAAAAAUGUAAGUUUCAUCAUUGAAACUUAAGGGCAUGUCCAAUGCUGGAUGCUUAUCCAGGCGCUUAUCGUGUGGAAAAAAAAAAUGCCACGAAGUUAGCUCUCGCUUGUCCAACAGCCAAUGCUAACAACGGGCGCUAACCACGGCUGGAGCUAUAGAUUAGAAAGAAAGAUCUGGUUCACUUGUACGUGAAAAAAGGAGCAAGCGCUCGAUGCCUUGCUUUGCAUCGAUGCCAGACUGAGGUGCUGGGAAUCGACAAGAUAACCGCCAAUCUACCAGGAUUAAAUUCCUAGCGCCUUCUUCUAGCGCCUCCCACUGAAAAUGCCCUAAAGGUUUUUGAGGGAUUUUUUUACUGUGUCCUACUUCACGUAUCACGAGGCAAAUCAAGUAGGCGGCAUGGCCUGGCCGGUGAGUGCCAUUGCACUUACUUGCCCCAGCGAUUUUCCGCCUGCAUUGUAGAAUUCUUUCUCCGAGUCCUGUGAAUUAAAGAUGGUGCAGACAAAAGUAUAUCCUAUAUGCGUACAUGUGCAUGAUCAGAACAUGUUUUUACGUGCGUCUACUAUAAAUCAUGACCAUUUUUAACACAAAUCAUGACCAUUCAUGAUUAGUGAAUCAUACUGUCUUAACUUAUGUGAAAUCAUGUGGAGUAAUAUAAUAUAAUAUAAUAGAUAGAUAGAUCCAUGUUGUAUCAUUACACAUUUUGAUUUAUGCAUUUGUUUACAAAAAAAACAGUAAAAUUUCAUGGUGAAAAGUUUGUAUUGUUUCAUACUGAACACCAAUGUUUUCCCGUAAAAGAAAAUAAUGCCUACGCAUAUGCUUUUAUAUUAUUAUUAUUCUUUCAAACUUAUUCAUAUAGUAUUUUUGAUUGUGCAACCAUAAUUUUUAUUAUCUCUCUUGUUCCACUACAUGCUCUUACUCAAUGAUUUUUUUAUAAUGGGUGUUUUUAUUAACUCAAAAUAUAGCAUCAAGCGGAUACAAAACAUAACGAGCCACGUCCGGUCUCUGCAUAACUAAGAUGCACACAGCCAAAAGCAGAAGUCUGACAAAAAUAAGAUAAGAAAAUCAACAUAUCGACAACAGUGAGUCAUAUAGUUCCGACACUAUGCCUCUGUUGAAGGACGGGGUGGAGCGAUCUGGAGAUUAUGCUUCCCUCCAUUUUGAGUAAAUACCUCCCUGGCCACUUGUUCCAACCGCAUAGACGCCGCCACGAAUAAUGGUUGGUACUCUGUUCGGUGUAGCAUACACCAUGUAGGAAGUGAGUGCUCACUCCUAGUUACUAAAUUAUGUACACACUAGUAGAAAAAGGGCCAUUUGUCCCGGUUCGUAAGGCCCAUUUGUCUCAGUUAGGGAACCGGGACUAAAGGGUCGGUACUAAAGCCCUACACCUUUAGUCCCGGUUCUUACACCAACCGAGACAGAUGGGGCUCCACGUGGCCGCUGCGGCUUGCCAUGGCAGGGGGGCCUUUUGUCCCGGUUGGUAGCACCAACCGGGACCAAUAAGCUACCACGCGUCAGCAUUUGAGGGGCUUGGGUUUUUGUUUUUUUCUGAAGGGGGGGAGGGGGGUUGGGGGUUUUGGGGGGUUUUGUAUGGUUAAUUUUGGGGGGUUUCAUAUAUAGUGUUAGGUAGUAAUUAAUUAAUAGAGAGAAGUGUCCUCUCUUAUCUCCGUGCUUGGUCGACGCUACGUACUAUACGUAUAGAGAGGCCCUCGACACGCUUGCCAGUAAGCAAAUGAAGGAAACCAUUAAGUACAGAAGUUCGUCAUGAACAUAUGCAUACAAACAUAAGUGAUAUCGACCUCUCCUUCUCCGAGAGAUAGGUCGAAGAACAAGUUUCCGUAUAUCUAUCCGGCGCUACUAGCUACAUAUAUACAAUAUUAAGAUCUCUUACAAUAUAAUCCCCUAAUUAUAUAUGAACUCAGCUUCCAGAUGGUAUUCUCCGGCUUUAUUGAUGACGUGGUCAAGAAAGAAUCCCUCCAAUUCCUCUUGAAUUGCUUUGAUGCGAUCUUGUGGUAGGAGUUCAUCCUGCAUCUGCCACAUCUAAUUUGAAGAAGGGGGUCAAUCACUAGUGGAAUAACAGCCAUUUGUCUAGGUUCGUAAGGCUCAUUUGUCCCGGUUGGGGAACCGAGACUAAAGGGUCGUUACUAAAGCCCUACACCUUUAGUCCCGGUUGUCGGUGUCAAAACCGGCGGAUCUCGGGUAGUGGGUCCUGAAUUGUGCGUCUAGGCCGGAUGGUAACAGGAGGCAGGGAACACGAUGUUUUACCCAGGUUCGGGCCCUCUUGAUGGAGGUAAAACCCUACGUCCUGCUUGAUUAAUAUUGAUGAUAUGGGUAGUACAAGAGUAGAUCUACCACGAGAUCAAGGAGGCUAAACCCUAGAAGCUAGCCUAUGGCAUGAUUGUUGUGUAUGGAGUUGAUUGCCUACGGACUACAACCCUCCGGUUUAUAUAGACACCGGAUAGGGUUAGGGUUACAUAGAGUCGUUUACAAUGGUAGGAGAUCUUGAAUAUCCGCAUCACCAAUCUUGCCUUCCACGCCAAGGAAAGUCCCAUCCGGACACAGGACGAAGUCUUAAAUCUUGUAUCUUCAUAGUCCAGGAGUCCGGCUGGACGUAUAGUCCGGCUACCCGAACACCCCCUAAUCCAGGACUCCCUCACCGGUUCUUACACCAACUGGGAGAGAUGGGCCUCCACGUGGCCGCUGCGGCGAGCCCAGGUAGGAGGUCCUUUGGUCCCCGUUAGUGACACUAAUACGUCUCCAACGUAUCUAUAAUUUUUGAUUGCUCCAUGCUAUUAUGUUAUCCAUUUUGGAUGUUAAUGGGCUUUAUUUUACACCUUUAUAUCAUUUUUGGGACUAACCUACUAAUCGGAGGCCUAGCCCAAAUUGCUAUUUUUUGCCUAUUUUAGGUUUUUGAAGAAGAGGAAUAUCAAACGGAGUCCAAACGGAAUGAAACCUUCGGGAACGUGAUUUUCUCAACGAACAUGAUCCAGGAGACUUGGAGUGUGCGCCAAGAAAUAAGGGAGGAAGGCACGAGGCAGGGGGGCGCGCCUACCCCCCUUGAGCAUGCCCUCCACCCUCGUGGGCCCUCCACUGCUCCACCGACGUACUUCUUCCUCCUAUAUAUAUCCACGUACCCCCCAAACAACCAGGAGCACCACGAAAACCUAAUUCCACCACCGCAACCUUCUGUACCCGAGAGAUCCCAUCUUGGGGCCUUUUCCGGAGGGGGCAUCGAUCACGGAGGGCCUCUACAUCAACUGCAUGGCCUCUCCGAUGAUGUGUAAGUAGUUUACUUCAGACCUACGGGUCCAUAGUUAUUAGCUAGAUGGCUUCUUCUCUCUCUCUUUGGAUCUUAAUACAAAGUUCUGCUCGAUUUUCUUGGAGAUCUAUUCGAUGUAAUCUUCUUUUGUGGUGUGUUUGUCGAGAUCCGAUGAAUUGUAGGUUUAUGAUCCAGAUUAUCUAUGGACAAUAUUUGAUUCUCCUCUGAAUUCUUUUAUGUAUGAUUCGUUUAUCUUUGCAAGUCUCUUCGAAUUAUCAGUUUGGUUUGGCCUACUAAAUUGAUCUUUCUUGCAAUGGGAGAAGUGCUUAGCUUUGGGUUCAAUCUUGCGGUGUUCGAUCCCAGUGACUGAAAGGGAAGCGAUAUGUAUUGUAUUGUUGCCAUCGAGGAUAAAAAGAUGGGGUUUAUAUCAUAUUGCAUGAGUUUAUCCCUCUACAUCAUGUCAUCUUCCUUAAAGCAUUACUCUGUUCUCUUGAACUUAAUACUCAAGAUGCAUGCUGGAUAGCGGUCGAUGUGUGGAGUAAUAGUAGUAGAUGCAGAAUCGUUUCGGUCUACUUGUCUGGGACCUGAUGCCUAUAUACAUGAGCAUACCUAUAUAUUCUCAUAACUAUGCUCAAUUCUAUCAAUUGCUCGACAGCAAUUCGUUUACCCACCGUAAUACUUAUGCUCUUGAGAGAAGCCACUACUGAAACCUAUGGCCUCGGGGUCUAUCUUCUAUCAUAUUAAUCCUCCAAUACUUAGUUAUUUAUAUUUCUAUCUAUUUUACUUUCCAUCUUUUAUUUCUCUUUAUCAUAAAAAUACCAAAAAUCUUAUCUUAUCAUAUCUAUCAGAUCUCACUGUUGUAAGUGACCGUGAAGGGAUUGACAACCCCUUUAUCGCGUUGGUUGCGAUGUUCUUAUUUGUUUGUGUAGGUUCGUGGGACUUGAGCGUGAUCUCCUACUGGAUUGAUACCUUGGUUCUCAAAAACUAAGGGAAAUACUUACGCUAAUUUACUUCAUCACUCUUUCCUCUUCAAGGGAAAACCAACGCAAUGCUCAAGAGGUAGUGUCGGUGUCAAAACCGGCGGAUCUCGGGUAGUGGGUCCCGAACUGUGCGUCUAGGCCGGAUGGUAACAGGUGGCAGGGAACACGAUGUUUUACCCAGGUUCGGGCCCUCUUCAUGGAGGUAAAACCCUACGUCCUACUUGAUUAAUAUUGAUGAUAUGGGUAGUACAAGGGUAGAUCUACCACAAGAUCAAGGAGGCUAAACCCUAGAAGCUAGCCUAUGGUAUGAUUGUUGUAUAUGGAGUUGAUUGCCUACGGACUACAACCCUCCGGUUUAUAUAGACACCGGAUAGGGUUAGGGUUACAUAGAGUCGGUUACAAUGGUAGGAGAUCUUGAAUAUCCGCAUCGCCAAGCUUGCCUUCCACACCAAGGAAAGUCCCGUCCGGACACGGAACGAAGUCUUCAAUCUUGUAUCUUCAGAGCCCAGGAGUCCGGCUGAAGGUAUAGUCCGGCUAUCCGAACACCCCCUAAUCCAGGACUCCCUCAGUAGCCCCUGAACCAGGCUUCAAUGACGACGAGUCCAGCGCGCAAAUUGUCUUCGGCAUUGCAAGGCGGGUUCCUCCUCCAAGUCCUUCAUAGAAGAUUGUAAGCACCAAGAGUAGUGUCCGGCUCUGCAAAAUAAGCUUCCACAUAUCGCCAUAGAGAGAAUAAUAUUAACACAAAUCAAAUCUGCUGACGUAUUCCGCAGUGCGUCAUCACACUACAGCCAAGUCCUUCACUCGAAUCGUUUUCACUUUUCCACCUCAGCGUGUUUUGCGAGGCGGUUUCCUUGGCACGUCUUGUCAAAGCAGAGAUCGUGUCCCCCUUGUUUACGGGAUUCUCGUUAAUACGGACGUGGGUAACCCAACCGCGCCACUUAUCACGGCGCUUGGGAGGCAAGCGAGUUUUACUAGGCUGGUGGGGACGCAUAGUCGCAUCCGCCCAUAUAAGGGGAUAAGGAUCCACCUUUUUACCUACGCCUUCUUCCUCCUUUGCCUAGCCAUCUUCUGCGCACCCGAGCUCUAGCGCCCCAGCCCGCGCUUCCUACCUCAACCCUCUCCAACAAUGUUCGGAGCGGGAGGCAAGUGGAUGGUCUCCUCCGUCACGGAGGGCCAUGUCAAAAGGUUAAGGAAGGCCGGAUACUUGUCCAAAGACAUCGCGCACCGGCUUCCUGAGGAGGGGCAGCUUCUCCCCACCCCAAGGCCCCAUGAGAGGGUAGUAUUUCUUCCCCACUGCCUCCGCGGACUGGGUUUUCCUCUCCACCCAUUUGUCCGCGGGCUCAUGUUCUACUAUGGCCUAGAUUUCCACGAUCUGGCCCCGUACUUCAUCCUCAAUAUCUCGGCGUUUAUCAUCGUGUGCGAGGCUUUCCUCUGCAUUCGCCCCCAUUUCGGCCUCUGGCUCACGACCUUCAACGUCAAGCCAAAGGUGGUGCGCGGUAACCAGGCGGAGUGCGGAGGUGCCAUGGCGGGCAAAAUUGCCAACGUCCUAUGGCUCGAGGGCUCCUUUGUGGAGACCUUGAAGGGGUGGCAGUCAGGGUGGUUUUACAUCACCGAGCCACGCGAUCCGAAGUGGAUCGCAGCCCCUGAAUUCCGAUCCGGACCCCCUACGCGGCUCAUGUCCUGGAAGGAGACGAGCUUGUCGUGGGGCGACGAAGGAGAGUUGACCAGACUGCAAAAAUGCAUCCAGUCCCUGGUGAACAAGCAGCUCAAGCUUGUCAACGUAAUCUAGGUCAUGCUCGUCCGCCGGAUUCUUCCGUGUCAAGAACGGGACUUCAAUUUGUGGGAGUUCAACCCGGCGCAACACCGAACUCUGAGAAGGCUCUUCAACACGACGUACGAAGAUGUCUGGAGGGGGCUAACCAAAGGCGCCGAGACUCCCACAUCCGCCUCCGAAGACCGCGGAUUCAGCUCGCAGCGUCCUGCUGGCGAGGUAAGAUAUUUCCAUCUUUUACAGGAUGUUAAGCUUUUUCAUAGUUGACUCUAUGCGGGAUCAAAACUCCCUCACCUUUGACAGGAUUGGCGGGAGAAGUCCGGACAGAUUAAAUGCCCGGCUCCCUUGCCCGAAGACCUAGCCCCUGCUCUCCUAGAGAAGCUGCUGGUUUCGGCACCUUAUGUGGUGCCGGAGAAGAGGGCCAAGAAGAAGAAGGCCACGGGGACUCGAAAGAGUUCCUGGCAUAUGGUGGUGUCGGACUCGUCGUCCGACCAGUCCGAGACGCACUCCUCCCGUGAAGACGAGGAGGAAGAGUGUCGGACUCGUCGUCCGACGAGUCCGAGACGCACUCCUCCCGUGAAGAGGAGUGGCCGGACUACGUCCCCGACGCCGACGAGGACGAAGAGGAGUGGCCAGACAGGGCCAAGCAUCCGGCGAGAUCGUAAGUGUUCGGAUACCAGAGUAACUCGUGAUAUUCCUUUUGUUGCACAGCUUUCCCUAAUGUCGGAUAUAAUCAUGCAGUCCGCCCAAGGAUGGGCUCGACGAGUCGUCGAGCGGCUCCCUGGAUUCAUCGGACGUGAAUUCAGUUCCGCCUACUGCUUCCCCCUGUGCUGCAGAUGACGCCGAAGUGGCGUCGCGACAAGCUCCGGGACGAGAGGAGGUGGUCCAGGAGGAGUCGCGAGGUGACCUCCCGGACUCCAGGAGUGAAGGGGACAAGACCCCCCUGGGAUCCAAGUUCGGCUUUAAGCCGGACACUGAGAUGGAAUCAUCAACAGUUCCGGACUGCGGUAGGCGAACUCCUACCAGGAGGAGCAAGCCUACUGAGCCGGCAUCCUCCGUCCAGCCGGAGGCGCCGGACAAUCUGCUGGAGGAGCUUAAGGGCGCCUCCACCGACGAGGAGCACCGUGCCGUCAUGAGUACGGUGAUCCAGAAGGUUCGGUCCGCCAAAAGCGGACUGACUGAAGCUUGUGCUGGCCUUCUAACAGGCUUCGAGGUAAGUAAAAAUAUGUAAAAAUAUUACCGUAUAGACAGUAGCCCCUGAUGCUCUGUUUGGCGUUUGUAAAGAAAAGCCAAAUAGAGGAUCUAUUAAAUAUCGCAGGAGUCUAACUAAAAAGGAGUCAAUAUAUGUAUGCAGGCUUCGCUGCUGGCCACCGCCGCACUGACUGCGGAGGUGGGUGCCCUGAAGGAGGGCCUCCAGCGGACCGAGCAAGAGCUCGGCCUUGCCAAACGGCAGCUCGAGGAAAAAGAAUGUAAGAGAUACCUUACAGAAAAAGUGCCUAUAAAAAGGCUUGAUUGCAAAAAGAGUAGCAGGAUUGUACUGCUUAUUGUAGGGGCCACGACUGAGGUGGCGACCUUUAAGCAGGUGUUGUCUGAGGCCGAAAAGAAAACGGCCGCGGAGCGCACCGAGCGAGACAGACUUGGGGCUCAGGUCAGCGAGGUGCAGCAAGAGCUUCAGGCUCUCAUGAAAAAACAUGAGAGUUUGAAGCUGGAGUCGAAGGCGCAAGCAUCCGAGCUUGCAACGGCCCUAGAGGCUGCCAAGUCUACCAAGGCCGAUGCCCUAAAGACCCUCCAAGAGUUGGAGGAGAUGAGGAAGAUAGCAACGGGUAAGGCAUUCUUUAUGCAAAGCAGAAAUAUAAAAGUGAACUACCUGUUACUUACCCGAAUCCGAAGCUCUCCAGGGGCAUUCGCAGAUCUUCCCUGCAGCGUAUCCGAUGCCGCCGCAUUAUACCAAGCUGAAGAGGGUAGCUCGACGGAGAAGGUGUUCUGGUUUCAGUAUUCUGAGGCCGGACACCCUGUGCCCUUGAGCAACCAGCUGAAACAGCUGGUUGAGCUCCACAAGGCGGCCAAGCAGGCCAUGAAGGGCUUCAUAGUUCGGCUGUGGCCUGGAGAGGCCCUACCUGGGAGCUAUCUCGGGCUGGUGCGGCGGCUGGUGGAGGCCUGUCCGAGGCUUGAGGUCAUCAAGUGCUCCGUCUGCAUCGAUGGUGCCCGUCGGGCCCUUGCCCGUGCAAAGGUGCACUGGGGUAAGCUGGACGGUGAGAAGCUUGUGAAGGACGGGCUGCCGCCGGGGAAGGAGCAUCGCAAGCCCGAGAACUACUACAAGGAUGUUCUUGCAGGUGCCCGCCUUAUGGCGGAUCAAUGUACCAAGGAUGUGAUAUUUGAAUGAACUCGCUCGUGUUUAUCUUGUGCGCUGAAAACUUGUUCAUAUGUGCUAAGCAAUGCUUAUUGAAUUUAAAAUAUUACUUUCUGUGCGGCCAUUUAUCAAAAAUUGAGAGAUGGCCAGUCGUCGGCUUCUGCCCCCGUGCCACUAGUGCUGGGGUGUUCGGGAUAAACCUGAGCGCUCUUUUUCCCAUAGUUGGGUCCUUCGAGGGAGGCGCUCAGCACAACGAACCAGGCAAUCGGACUAUAAUGCUUGAACACUCUCACUUAGCCAUAGAGCUCUAUAAUUUUAAAUUUCGGUGAAGCCCGUAGUUCGGAAGACCGAGUUCGGGGCGCUAUCCACGCCUUGGCCGGACAAAGCCGGCUCCUCGCUCGAAGCGGCAUAAGCCUUUAGGGACUCGAAAAACCUCUCGAACAGCGAUCGGUCUCUCGCCACAUCAUGACAGUCAGUUUUAGCUUUCUCCACUCAGGUGCUUAACCCAGGUGAACCGGGGCACAAUCGCAGUGGUUCUCCUAGUGCUACCUUAGCCGAUAGAGCGGAACGUAAGGCACCAAAACAUAGGAGCCACGCAAACCCAACUAUUGACCCAAAUCAUGAUUCGGAGCCGAUGCAUAUAGUGCUAUAAGUUCGGGGUGCCGCACUUGUGAAAGUGUACGGACUUCUCACACCAUUAUGAGCGGUACUGAAGCCCCUGGCAUGUUUGCCAUACCAUGGUGUACGGGUGCAAUCAUGUCAUUUAAUAAACAUAAAUGUGAAAAGAAGAUAAUGCAAAAAAUAGACUAGAAGCUAAGCAUUGUUUAUAGAGAGGCUAUUUAUCAAAGCCGAACGAUACAAAUAGUGCGGUAAGCAAAAGAUAUUGGACUAUUCAGUAUGUCCUGACCAGGGGCAGGCCGCGGAAUUGUAUUUAAAACAGGUAUACCGCUCGUAACAGAGACCACCUGGGAGUUCCAUAAUGCGUCAUGGCUUGUCUGCCUCCCUGGAUCUUGCAUCGUUUGUGCGGCAGUCGAAUUGCCGAACAGGUCGUCCGAAGUAUGGAGUCCUGAAAGAAGAAAAAAUUAAAAAAAGAAUCCGGCAGCCCCUAGUACGUAUUAAGCCGUAUUUUGGGCGUGUUGUUAUUGUGCCCCUUCCCCUGUGCCCAUGGUAUUUCAAGGGCGUAGUUAUGUACGUGAGGUACUGGUUUCGCUAUGUUGCGAAAGCUGGGGUUGGGGCCGCAUUGCUACGCUUGCUUAGAGUGUGCCAGGCAGUGUCUGGCUUUUUAAUGGCCGGACUGGAGAAUUGCCUGAGAAGGCUACUUUGUACCUCCGCUGCGAGAGCCGCCGUAUGCUCCUCCAUAUGGAGGGAGCGUUCGGUGUUUCCGUUGAACGUAAUUACUCCUUGAGGGCCUGGCAUCUUGAGCUUGAGAUAUGCGUAGUGCAGCACCGUGUUGAUCUUUGCGAAUGCGGUUCGUCCGAGCAGGGCAUGAUAGCCACUGCGAAACGGUACUAUAUCGAAGAUUAACUCUUCGCUUCGGAAAUUGUCCGGGGAUCGGAAGACCACAUCAAGUGUUACUGAGCAUGUACUGUUGGCUUCUACACCUGGUAUAACGCCUUUAAAGGUCGUUCUUGUGGGCUUAAUCCUUGAGGGAUCUAUGCCCAUUUUCUGCACUGUAUCCUGAUAAAGCAGGUUCAGGCUACUGCCGCCGUCCAUGAGGACUCUUGUGAGAUGAAAUCCGUCGAUGAUCGGGUCGAGAACCAAUGCGGCGAAGCCGCCAUGACGGAUGCUAGUGGGAUGGUCCCUUCGAUCGAAAGUGAUCGGGCAGGAGGGCCAUGGGUUGAACUUUGGGGCGACUGGCUCCAUCGCAUAUACGUCCCGUAGCGCAUGCUUCCGCUCCCGCAUGGGAAUGUGGGUUGCGUAUAUCAUGUUCACCGUCCACACUUGUGGGGGAAAGCCCUUCUGUCCAUUGUUGUUCGGCGGCUUGGGCUCCUCGUCGUCGCUGUGCAGCCCCUUGUCUCUGUUUUCGGCCCUUAACUUGCCUGCCUGCUUGAACACCCAACAAUCCCUGUUAGUGUGAUUGGCUAGCCUUUCGGGGGUGCCAUGUAUCUGGCACAAGCGAUCGAGUAUUCGGUCCAAACUGGACGGGCCCUGAGUAUUCUUUUUGAAUGGCAUUUUCCGCUGACCGGAUUUAUAGCCUUUGAAUCCGGCAUUGACUGCCGUGUCUUCAUUGCUGUCGCUGCUAACGCGGCGUUUUUGCUUAUUCCGAUGUGUCCUACCACUUUUGUCCUUGGUAUCCGAAUUACCAGGGUGCUUUGAUAAGUUGUUACUGCGAGCUAGCCAGCUGUCUUCUCCCGCGCAAAAGCGGGUCAUGAGUGUCGUGAGGGCUGCCAUGGAUUUCGGCUUUUCCUGUCCCAGGUGCCAGGCAAGCCACUCGUCGCAGAUGUUGUGCUUCAAGGCUGCCAGGGCCUCUGCGUCCGGACAGUCGACUAUCUGGUUUUUCUUUGUUAGGAACCGUGUCCAAAAUUGUCUGGCCGAUUCCUCUGGCUGCUGAAUUAUGUGGCUUAAGUCGUCGGCAUCCGGUGGUCACACGUAAGUGCCCUGGAAGUUGUCGAGGAAUGCGGCUUCCAGGUCCUCCCAAGAACCGAUUGAGUCUGCUGGCAAGCUGUUAAGCCAAUGCCGGGCCGGUCCUUUAAGUUUGAGCGGGAGGUAUUUGAUGGCGUGUAGAUCAUCGCCGCGUGCCAUGUGGAUGUGAAGGAGACAAUCCUCGAUCCAUACCGCCGGAUCUGUUGUGCCAUCGUAUGAUUCGAUGUUUAUGGGUUUGUAGCCCUCUGGGAUUUUAUGAUCCAUUACUUCAUUCGUGAAGCAUAGCGGGUGUGUGGCGCCUCUGUAUUGGGCUAUAUCACGACGUAGCUCGGAAGAGCUAUGUCUGUUGUGUUCGGCCCGGCCGGAUUUGUUGUAUCCAGAGUGAAGAUCAUUUUCCCGUGCCUUAGUUGAGAGGUGUCGGGGCAUGGCUUGGGUGGAGGGCCGAGACGCCUCUCUGUCGCGGCCGCGAGGUGGCCGGUCUGCCAUGUCAUGCGCUGGUGAUGUAGGUGCUUCCUCCUCUGAUCGGGGUAGCGGCCUAUGCUUCGGGUAACUCUUGGAGGGGCGUUCGAGUUCAUACUCUUCGGCCGCAAGGACUUCAGUCCAUCUGUCAGCUAGCAAAUCUUGGGCAGCUCUAAGUUGUUGCUGCUUUUUCUUGAGGCUGCUUGCCAUGGCUAAAAGCCUGCGUUUAAAAAGCUCUUGUUCGGCGGGGUCUGAUGGUAUGACGAAUUCGUCGUCAUUGAGGCUUGCCUCGUCUUCGGAGGGAGGCGUAUAGUUAUCAUCCUCGACCUUUCCGUCUGCCGCUCUCUCAUCAGGGCUGGCUUCUCCAUCUUCCUGUGCCGAAUCUUGCUGAGGUGGGUGUUCUUCGGCGCUAUCCGGGGUAGUAUUAUCUCUCAUGUCGGAAUCACCGUUUUUGCUUUGGCGGGAUUUAGAGCGGCGCCGCUGGUGCCGGCGCUUUGGCUGUUUCUUGGGGGCGUCAUCCCCCACUGUUCCAUCGCCAUCUCCAUCUUUUGGAGUAUCCACCAUAUAUAUGUCAUAUGAUAAGGUGGCCUUCCAGCGCCCUACAGGUGCUGGUUCCUGUUCGUCUCCUACAUUGUCGUCCAUGCCGUCGAUGUCUUUGGAGCUGAAGUCAACCAUGUAGGUUAGACCGUCGAUAAUGGCUACAAAGUGGGUGGUGGGUGGGCUUUGAAUUUCCUCAUCGUAUGUAUCCCACCCUCGCUGACCGUAGUCCGGCCAGGGCUCUCCUGAUAAAGAGAGAGACUUAAGAGAAUUCAGGAUGUCGCCAAAAGGCGAAUGCUGAAAGAUGUCUGUAGCGGUGAACUCCAUUAUCGGCACCCAAUCGGAUUCGAUUGGCAGGGGCGCGGGGGGUUCGGAGUCCGGGGAGGAGUCCGGAUCCUCGGAGUCACGGGUCGUGCAGAGUGCGGGGCUAGCGUUCGGCUCGAUCGCUUUCGGGAUCGCAGCCCCCGAGGUGACGUCCAACCGCUCAUCCUCGAUUGGCGCAAUAGGUUCCGAGUUAGGGGUCGGAACCGAUGCGUGUGCGGCCUCCAGGACACUGGCCGGGGGCAGAGCUAGAUCAUGCCCCUCGGGAUAGUGCGGCGUGCUUGGCCGUGGCUCGAGCCCGUCGAAGAUCAAGUCUCCGUGGAUGUCAGCCGUGUAGUUUAAGCUUCCAAACCUGACUUGAUGGCCAGGGGCGUAGCUUUCGAUCUGCUACAGGUGGCCGAGCGAAUUGGCUCAUAGAGCGAUGCCGCCGAAGACGAAGAUCUGUCCGGGGAGAAAAGUCUCACCCUGGACCGCAUCGUUGUUGAUGAUCAAAGGAGCCAUCGGGCCUAAAGGCGACGAGACAGAGGAACUCUCAAUGAAAGCACCAAUGUCAGUGUCAAAACCGGUGGAUCUCGAGUAGUGGGUCCCGAACUGUGCGUCUAGGCCGGAUGGUAAUAGGAGGCAGGGAACACGAUGUUUUAUCCAGGUUCGGGCCCUCUUGAUGGAGGUAAAACCCUACGUCCUGCUUGAUUAAUAUUGAUGAUAUGGGUAGUACAAGAGUAGAUCUACCACGAGAUCAAGGAGGCUAAACCCUAGAAGCUAGCCUAUGGUAUGAUUGUUGUAUAUGGAGUUGAUUGCCUACGGACAACAACCCUCCGGUUUAUAUAGACACCGGAUAGGGUUAGGGUUACAUAGAGUCGGUUACAAUGGUAGGAUAUCUUGAAUAUCCACAUCGCCAAGCUUGCCUUCCACGCCAAGGAAAGUCCCGUCCGGACACGGGAUGAAGUCUUCAAUCUUGUAUCUUCAUAGCCCAGGAGUCCGGCUGAAGGUAUAGUCCGGCUACCUGAACACCCCCUAAUCCAGGACUCCCUCAGGUAGCAAGAUGGAUUUCUGGCGCCAUUGCCGGGGAGAUUCGCGCCAAGUCAAGACAUACCAAGUACCCAUCACAAACCCUUAUCCCUCGCAUUACAUUAUUUUCCAUUUGCCUCUUGUUUUCCUCUCCCCCACUUCACCCUUGCCAUUUUAUGCGCCCUCUCUUUUUCCGUUCCCCUCUUUUCCACUUGCUUUGUCGUUAUGGCUAGUCCUUUAUCUACUCCUUUGUCUCCCGAGAAUGAAGUUCUUAAUUUUAAACAAAGGGAGGGAGAAAAUCUAAAAGAUGCUUGGUACAGAAUUUGCAACACACAAAUUAGAUCUACUAGGAAACAAUCUACUUUUGUUCUUCUUCACGAUUUUUAUGUAGGCAUCACACCUUGGAAUAGAUAUAUUCUUGAUGCCAUUACCGGAGGGAAUUUCUUGGGUAGCCAUACUUUUGAUUCUUAUAAUGCUAUGAUAGAUCUGUUUGGCCCACCACCUCUUUUGGUUAAUGGAACUAUUUUAACUUUGGAACAUGUGAUGCAAUGGCUUGAAAUUAGUGAAAAUAAAGUUGCCACCAUAGAGUUAAUUGAAAAUUUGGAUAGAAAGAUCCAUAACCAAAUUACCCAAUACGGAUCUAAGUUAGGAGUUGCUCUUAAAAGUUUUAAAGAAAAGGGACCUAUGGUUAAUGAAAAGAUAGAAAAGGAUUCCACUAGAAUUGAUAAAAUUGAGGAUAUUAUUACCAACCUUGGGUCUUCCUUUUCUUCUAUUAUAAAUACUCCGCCUAAUGCUAAGAUUGCCAAACUAAUGUAUGUUACAAAAAAUAAGGGUGAAACUUCUAAUAAGGAAAAUGCGGAUCUCAAAUCCAUAAGUGUUCACCCCAAUUUUCUCACUAUCCUUAAGGAACCUUUUGCUACAAAUGAUUUUCUUGAUUUCAUACCUAGGAGUUUGAUAAUUAAUAAAAACAAAGAAACUCCUAAAAGUUAUUGGUGUGUUAUUGAAGAAUCACCUUCCAAAGACGGCAAUACCUAGGUCUAUCUUCGCUUUUAUGCCUAGCUAGGGGCGUUAAACGAUAGCGCUUGUUGGGAGGCAACCCAGUUUUACUUUUAUUCCUUGAUGUUUGCUCCUAUUUAGUAAUAAAUAAUUUAUGUAGCCUAUGUUUUGGUUGUGUUUUUUGUGUUUAAUUUGUGUUUGUGCCAUGUAGAACCAUUGGGUAGACUUGGGGAAAGUCUUUUUGAUCUUGCUGUAAAAAACAGAAACGUUAGCGCUCACGAGAAUCGCUGACAUUUUUAUUUGGAAAGUGAUAUUUAGAUAAUUCUUUUUGCGGAUGAUUAAUAGAUAAAUUCCUCACGUCCAGCAAUUUAUUUUAUAAUUUUUGGGGUUACAGAAGUUCGCGUUAGGUACAGAUUACUACAGACUGUUCUGUUUUUGACAGAUUCUGUUUUUCGUGUAUUGUUUGCUUAUUUUGAUGAAUCUAUGGCUAGUCAAAGAGGUUAUAAACCGUAGAGAAGUUGGAAUACAGUAGGUUUAACACCAAUAUAAAUCAAGAUUGAGUUCAUAACAGUACCUUGAAGUGGUGUUUUGUUUUCUUUCGCUAACGGAGCUCACGAGAUUUUCUGUUUGAGUUUUUUGUUGUGAAGUUUUCAAGUUUUGGGUAAAGAUUUGAUGGAUUAUGGAACAAGGAGUGGCAAGAGCCUAAGCUUGGGGAUUCCCAUGGCACACCAAGGUAAAAUUAAAGGACACCAAAAAGCCUAAGCUUGGGGAUGCCCCGAAAGGCAUCCCCUCUUUCGUCUUCGUCUAUUGGUAACUUUACUUGGAGCUAUAUUUUUAUUCACCACAUGAUAUGUGUUUUGCUUGGAGCGUCUUGUAUGAUUUGAUUAUUUGAUUUUUAGUUUACCAAAAUCAUCCUUGCUGUACACACCUUUUGAGAGAGACUCACAUGAUUGGGAAUUUAUGAGAAUACUCUAUGUGCUUCACUUAUAUCUUUUGAGCUAUAUGGUUUUUGUUCUAGUUCUUCGCUUAUAUAUUUUAGAGAAUGGCGGUGGUUUUAUUUUAUAGAAAUAAUUGUUCUCUCAUGCUUCACUUAUAUUAUUUUGAUAGUCCUUUAGAACAACAUGGCAAUAAUAAAACUGUCAUACAAGUGCAUUGAAUACUAUGAGAAGUUUGAUACUUGAUAAUUGUUUUGAGAUAUGGAGAUGGUGAUAUUAGAGUCAUGCUAGUUGUGUAGUUGUGAAUUUGAGAAAUACUUGUGUUGAAGUUUGUGAUUCCCGUAGCAUGCACGUAUGGUGAACCGUUAUGUGACGAAGUCAGAUCAUGAUUUAUUUGUUGAUUGUCUUCCUUAUGAGUGGCGGUCGGGGAUGAGCAAUGGUCUUUUACUACCAAUCUAUCUCCCUAGGAGCAUGGGCAUAAUACUUUGCUUUGAUAACUUAUAGAUUUUUGCAAUAAGUAUGUGAGUUCUUUCUGAGCAAUGUUGAGUCCAUGGAUCAUACGCACUCUCACCCUUCCACCAUUGCUAGCCUCUCUAAUACCGUGCACUUCUCGCCGAUAUCAUACACCCACCAUAUACCAUCCUCAAAACAGCCACCAUACCUACCUAUUAUCACUAGUGCAGAACCGGGCAAUAGCACCGGUUCGUAAGGCCCUUUAGUGCCGGUUUAGGAACCGGCACUAUUAUUUCGGCACUAAACCCCCCCCCCUUUAGUACCGGUUCAGCACGAACCGGUGCUAAAGGGGUACCACGUGGCACGAGCCAGCUCCGGGGGCCGGGAGCCCUUUAGUACCGGUUGGUAAAACCAACCGGUACUAAAUGGUUGUGGGUUUUUGUUUUAUUUUGUAUUUUUCAAUUAAAUUUGUGUUAUCAAUUUAAAUUAGGAUUGUUUUACGUUAUAAUGAGUUGUAGUCGUCAUCAUCAUCAUCAUCAUCGCAUAUUAAUAAAUAAAUAAACUCUAGCUAGCUAAAAAUCAUCGUGGUCGUCUAAUUACCACUAUUUAAUCAUCAUAGUCAUUACCGCUAGCUAUGUAAUCAUCAUCAACGUUGGCUAGCUUAAAGAGGAAACAUUCACUUUGUAACAGAAGCAAAGAGAUAUCAUCAAGUUCAACAUAAUCAUCACCAACAUCGAAGUUCAGGACACGGAUCCAUGAGACGAGUACUAAUUAAGAGCAUGAAGUAGUAGCUACUGAUCCUGCUUCUCCCUCUCAGGUAGAAUAGCACAGAACAUGUAUAGCUCUCCUGAUUCAUCAUACUGAAGCAUGCAGAUGAAUCUGUCUCCUAAUCUUGGGUUGCGCUUCUCCUUACUGCCCCCUAGUACUUCUCUGCGAUCGUUAACAAUUUUGCUCCAAUCUUUCACUAUUAAGCAUUCUUCGCUUUUAGAAAUCCUGAAUGCACUCAUGUGCAAUGUAGGAAAUCUUGGUCGUAAGCUAACCAUUGACAUGCGACCUUUUGUCUCGAUCCACUAAGGCACAACUGUCAUCGGAAGUCCCUGUUGAACAACAUCGUAUAGUAAUUAAUAUACUAAGCAAUGAAAGUUUAGCUUUAAAAAUAAUGUACGCAAAAGAUGCACUAAUUAAGGACAAAUAUUUAAAAUCUUACCAUCUUUUGAUUAUAGAUGUGACCGUAGUUCAAGGCGAUCACCAUUGGUCGCACGUUUUGAGUACUAACAUUUCUAAGUUUAGAAAAAAAAUUGUCUUGACAGUAUUAAGAUCCUCAAGCCAUGAAACACAAUGACUUAUUUCCUCGCAGUUUAGUUGAGCCCCGAGGUAGUAGUAGGUCCUGUCUACCAAGCGCCGGACAUGUUUGCUUGAACCGAAAUAAGCUGACAAUACACAUCAGUUGUCAACUAUUUUUGAAUAAACUGUACGAAAGACAUAAACGUAUAUAUGCAUGCAUGGUUGAGAAAAACUCACCAAAUGGUAGAACUGGAGGCGUUUGCACAUCGACCCAGAUGUCUAUAUUACCUUCAAUAUCAUCUUCCGGACGAAUAUCAAAGGUGAUAACCAUAUCAGGCUCAAAUGCAUAAGCCUUGCAUAGUGCUUGCCAAGUUUUGCAUUCAAAAUGGGUGUAUGUGCCUCCAUUAUAUAAUUUGACGUUGAAAGUAUACCCAUGCUCCGUCUUCAAGUAAACUCUCUUUACCUCCAUAUCAUCUAUAGCACUAAAACCUAUCUUAUAUAAUACAAAAAUUCUUGUAUGGCAGGGGAUGCGCUAGUAGAAUAGUGAAAAUUUAAAAUUAUAAGUUGAAGCAAAUGAAGCAUAAGUUUUGCAUUCAAAUAAUAAUUGACAAAGUGGCUUACUGUAUCAACUUCAAAUGUCUCAUCCAGCUUGAUGUUGAAGCGCCUACCAUCAACAAGGAAAUUUUGGUCGCACAGGCCGCGCUGGUCUUCACAGUGUUCGCACAUAAUAAAAUCUUUUUAGUUGUCAGAUGACAUUUCCUAUGUUCAUAUAGGUGAAACAUUAAACACCUAUAUCUAGCCAAAUAUAUAUUCAUCUAACAUUUGACAUUAAUAUAUCUAACUAUAUAUUCAAUUGACAUUACUAUAUAUUUAACUUUUCUAUCUAAUUCAUCUAACAUUCGACAUUAAUCUAACAUUUAUAUAAACUCAAAAUAUAUAAAAAAUUAAAUAAACAGAAAAACUCAUUAACAAAUAAUAUUUUAAUUAGAUCAUCAAAUCUCAUAUACCUAAAUUUUCUUACUAAAAAUAAACUAGUUAUAUUAAUUAUUCAACUAGUUCUAAUCUNNNNNNNNNNNNNNNNNNNNNNNNNNNNNNNNNNNNNNNNNNNNNNNNNNNNNNNNNNNNNNNNNNNNNNNNNNNNNNNNNNNNNNNNNNNNNNNNNNNNNNNNNNNNNNNNNNNNNNNNNNNNNNNNNNNNNNNNNNNNNNNNNNNNNNNNNNNNNNNNNNNNNNNNNNNNNNNNNNNNNNNNNNNNNNNNNNNNNNNNNNNNNNNNNNNNNNNNNNNNNNNNNNNNNNNNNNNNNNNNNNNNNNNNNNNNNNNNNNNNNNNNNNNNNNNNNNNNNNNNNNNNNNNNNNNNNNNNNNNNNNNNNNNNNNNNNNNNNNNNNNNNNNNNNNNNNNNNNNNNNNNNNNNNNNNNNNNNNNNNNNNNNNNNNNNNNNNNNNNNNNNNNNNNNNNNNNNNNNNNNNNNNNNNNNNNNNNNNNNNNNNNNNNNNNNNNNNNNNNNNNNNNNNNNNNNNNNNNNNNNNNNNNNNNNNNNNNNNNNNNNNNNNNNNNNNNNNNNNNNNNNNNNNNNNNNNNNNNNNNNNNNNNNNNNNNNNNNNNNNNNNNNNNNNNNNNNNNNNNNNNNNNNNNNNNNNNNNNNNNNNNNNNNNNNNNNNNNNNNNNNNNNNNNNNNNNNNNNNNNNNNNNNNNNNNNNNNNNNNNNNNNNNNNNNNNNNNNNNNNNNNNNNNNNNNNNNNNNNNNNNNNNNNNNNNNNNNNNNNNNNNNNNNNNNNNNNNNNNNNNNNNNNNNNNNNNNNNNNNNNNNNNNNNNNNNNNNNNNNNNNNNNNNNNNNNNNNNNNNNNNNNNNNNNNNNNNNNNNNNNNNNNNNNNNNNNNNNNNNNNNNNNNNNNNNNNNNNNNNNNNNNNNNNNNNNNNNNNNNNNNNNNNNNNNNNNNNNNNNNNNNNNNNNNNNNNNNNNNNNNNNNNNNNNNNNNNNNNCGGCGGCGGGGACAGCGACGAUGACGACGGACGACGGUACGGGCGACGGGCGGCGACGACGGGAUCGAGCGGUCCGCGCGGCGGAGGUGGGAGACGAAGUGGGGAGUUGAAACUGAAAUUUUCGUAAGUGCUAUAUAUAUAUAUAUAUAUAUAUAUAUAUAUAUAUAUAUAUAUAUAUAUAUAUGAUUGGCCUUUAGUACCGAAUCGUGGCUCCAACCGGUACUAAAGGCCUAUUUUCGCCAGGCCAAGCGGCGGGAAACGAAGGCUUUUAGUACCGGUUGGAGCCACCAACCGGUACUAAAGGGGGGCCUUUAGUACCGGUUGGAGCCACCAACCGGUACUAAAGGCCUUGCGCUGCCACCCCAAAAUUUAGUCCCACCUCGCCCGGCGAAGGGCAGCCGCACUGGUUUAUAAACCUAGCCGCGGCUACCUCUUCGAACUCCUCUAUAUAGCAGCCUUCUGGGCCUAAUUAAUUAGGGCGCGCUGCCAUGUGAGUCUGCUGGCCCUUCUGGGCCUGCAUUUGCACACCCUAGGUCUGGUAGACCCACAGGGCAGUGCGCCAACAAAUUUUUUAUAUAGUUUUAUCUUUUCUGCAUUACUUAUUUUCUUUUAUUUAUUUUUGAGUAGUUUUUUAUAUAGUUUUUGUUUUCUGCAUUAUUUAUUUUCUUCUAUUUAUUUUUGAGUAAUUUUUUUGUAUAGUUUUUUUAUUUUCUGCAUUACUUAUUUUUGCAUAGUCCGAAACCCUGAUACUCGGAAAGAGUUUGUCCAGUUUGUACACGAAGUGCGUCCAGUUUUUGCCGUGACCCUCUCUACUCUUUCGCGCAUGCUAUGCGGGUGAUACGAUGAUACCAUGCCAAGUUUCAACAUUUUCAGGAUUCAUUUUGUAGUGAUUUUCAAUUUCACGGUCAUUUAGCUCUCUAAACAAUUAGGUAAAUGACUGAAAAACAACAAAUGAUGUCAGAACAUGUUGAAAAUUGAUGACGUCGCUUUAAAUGCUGCAUACUGAACACAAAAGAAGUCCGGAGUACAAAUAAGUUUAAAAAACAUUGAAGUGGCCAUGUAACAGAUGAGUUCUCGUCCGAAACCCUGAUACUCGGAAAGAGUAUGUCCAUUUUGUACACGAAGUGCGUCCAGUUUUUGCCGUGACCCUCUCUACUCUUUCGCGCAUGCUAUGCGGGUGAUAUGAUGAUACCAUGCCAAGUUUCAGCAUUUUCAGGAUUCAUUUUGUAGUGAUUUUCAAUUUCACGGUCAUUUAGCUCUCUAAACAAUUAGGUAAAUGACCGAAAAACAACAAAUGAUGUCAGAAUAGACUGCACUGCACAUAGCUCAGUGUAGACUACACUGCACAUAGCUCAGUGCAAUCUAUGUUAUUCCGCAAGGCUUGAAGCUAAUCAACAUGUAGAUGAGCAUUGCAAUUCUUCGUCAUUGUCUGUGCACUCACGGCUUAUAAACCGCUCAUACUGCCUCUCUCUUGGCGAGGUGGGACUAAAAACAACUUGCCAUAACCUCAUCAAUUUCCUCUUGAAGCUUGUCCUUGCCUUUUUGCUUGUAUUCUUGUGGUGGAAGAUCAUCUUGAGCUUGUGUCCCCUUGAAGGAAGUAGGAUACUUCUCUUGUUGAGGAACAAACUUUGUCUUGGGGUAUUGAUCUUCUUCCCACUCAACUCCAUUGGCAUUGAACUUUCGUUCAAAACCAACACCUUGAUUCUUCCAGUGCCUUCCUUGCUUGCGCACAAUUUCCUCGAAUUGCUUACUCCCGGCAAGGCUUUUGUACAUUCCUUUCUCUAUAAUUCCCUUCAAUAAGCUAUUUUCUUGCUCAAGUGUAACUUGGCUAAGAGAAUCAUUAGUGGAAUCAAGAGAACUACUAGAAGCAACAAUGUUAGAUCUUAUGUCACAAAAAAGAAGUCGUAUCAAACCUUUUAUGUCGGAUCUAGAACAAACCAAUCGGUAUCGCCAUCAUACAGCCCUACCGUGGCUUGUGAUGCAUAUAUAUAUGCAUAUCAAAUGCACGGUUGGGCGUAUGAUGGCGAAUCCGAAUGAUUUGUAUUCAGUCGAUGAACUGGUAGAUGUAUGCAGUCGAUGAACUGGUAGAUGUAUGUAGUCGAUGAACUGAAAGACUUAUGCAGGGAAGGCGAGAGAUGGGCUAUAUAUAGGGUCGUCUGGCUCACAAAGUGAUUGUGGUAGUUUCGAUCCAACGACUCACAUGAGCUAGGAAGAAGCACACCCUUGAUCCAACGACUCGCAAGAGCUAUAAAGAAACACACGAUCCAUGUGAUUCUUCCUGAUUGGUGGGAUGCACAUUAGUAUCGGUUUGUGCCAUGAACUGGUGCUAAAGAUUGGCAAUGAACCGGUACUAAUGGUAGCAGCCCGCCUAGCCGUUGGAAUCGGCACUAAUGGUCACAUUUGUGCCGGCUCAAAUUCAAACCGGCACUAUAAUGUGCUUCACAUUUGACUGUUUUUCUACUAGUCAAUAGAGUUUGCCAAACUUGAGUUUCCCAAGUCACUUACACAAAAAGCUAUGAUUCAUGGUUGUCAAAUCCAUAAUUUACAAACCACAACAACCUUGAGGCAUAACAAGCUUUAAAUGCUGCAUACUGAACACAAAAGAAGUCCAGAGUUUAAAUAAGUUAUUAAAAAUAAAAAAGAGGUGCAAUGCUGGUUAAUUUGCUUCAAGCUAUUCGGAAUAGUGUAGAUUGCACUAAGCCACUGCACAUAGCUCAGUGCAAUCUAUGCUAUUCCGCAAGGCUUGAAGCUAAUCAACAUGUAGGUGAGCAUUGCAACUCUUCGUCAUUGUCUGUGCACUCACGGCUUAUAAACCGCUCAUACUACCUCUCUCUUGGCGAGGUGGGACUAAAAACAUCUUGCCAUAACCUCAUUAGUACUGGUUCAUGGUACGAACCGGCACUAAAUGGUGAUGGUGGGGCCAUAGCCUGACCGCAGGCUGACACAGCCUCUUUAGUACCGGUUCGUGGCAUGAACCGGUACUAAAGGUUCGCCACGAACCGGUACUAUUGAUCGCCGCCACGAACCGGCACUAAUGUACACAUUAGUGCCGGCUCUAAUUCAAACCGGCACUAAUGUGCUUCACAUUUGACCCUUUUUCUACUAGUGUAUGGCAUUUCCAUAGCCAUUCCGAGAUAUAUUGCCAUGCAACUUUCCAUCGUUCCAUUAUUAUGACACACUUCAUCAUUGUCAUAUUUGCUUGCAUGAUCAUGUAGUUGGCAUCGUAUUUGUGCAAAGCCACCAUUCAUAAUUCUUCAUACAUGUCACUCUUGAUUCACUGCAUAUCCCGGUACACCGCCGGAGGCAUUCACAUAGAGUCAUAUUUUGUUCUAAGUAUCGAGUUGUAAUUCUUGAGUUGUAAGUAAAUAAAAGUGUGAUGAUCAUCAUUAUUAGAGAAUUGUCCCAAGUGAGGAAAGGAUGGAGACUAUGAUUCCACAACAAGUCGGCAUGAGACUCCGGACGAAAAUAAAAAAAGAGGGAAAAAAGAGAAAGGCCAUAAAAAAGAAGGCCCAAAAAAUGAGAGAAAAAGAGAGAAGGGGCAAUGUUACUAUCCUUUUUCCACACUUGUGCUUCAAAGUAGCACCAUCAUCUUCAUGAUAGAGAGUCUCCUAUGAUAUCACUUUCAUAUACUAGUGGGAAUUUUUCAUUAUAGAACUUGGCUUGUAUAUUCCAAUGAUGGGCUUCCUCAAAUUGCCCUAGGUCUUCGUGAGCAAGCAAGUUGGAUGCACACCCACUUAGUUUCUUUUGUUGAGCUUUCAUACACUUAUAGCUCUAGUGCAUCCGUUGCAUGGCAAUCCCUACUCAAUCACAUUGAUAUCUAUUAAUGGGCAUCUCCAUAGCCCGUUGAUACGCCUGUUCUGGAGCUCCGCCAGAGGGGGCAUCGAUCACGGAGGGCUUCUACAUCAACAGCAUAGCCUCUCCGAUGAAGUGUGAGUAGUUGACCUCAGACCUACGGGUCCAUAGUUAUUACCUAGAUGGCUUCUUCUCUCUUUUUGGAUCUCAAUACAAUGUUCUCCCCCUCUCUUGUGGAGAACUAUUCGAUGUAAUCUUCUUUUUGCGGUGUGUUUAUUGAGAUCGAUGAAUUGUGGGUUUAUGAUCAAGUCUAUCUAUGAAUAAUAUUUGAAUCUUCUCUGAAUUCUUUUAUGUAUGAUUGUUUAUCUUUGCAAGUCUCCUCGAAUUAUCAGUUUGGUUUGGCCUACUAGAUUGAUCUUUCUUACAAUGGGAGAAGUGCUUAGCUUUGGGUUCAAUCUUGCGGUGUCCUUUCCCAGUGACAGCAGGGGCAGCAAGGCAUGUAUUGUAUUGUUGCUAUCGAGGACAACAAGAUGAGGUUUUCAUCAUAUUGCAUGAGUCUAUCCCUCUACAUCAUGUCAUCUAGCUUAAGGCGUUACUCUGUUUUUAACUUAAUACUCUAGAUGCAUGCUGGAUAGCGGUCGAUGAGUGGAGUAAUAGUAGUAGAUGCAGGCAGGAGUCGGUCUACUUGUCUCGGACGUGAUGCCUAUAUACAUGAUCAUACCUAGAUAUUCUCAUAAAUAUGCUCAAUUAUGUCAAUUGCUCAACAGUAAUUUGUUCACCCACCAUAGAAUUAUUAUGCUCUCGAGAGAAUCUACUAGUGAAACCUAUGGCCCCCGGGUCUAUCUUUAUCAUAUUAAUCUCCUACUACUUAGUUAUUUCCUUUGCUUUUUCCUUUGCCUUUAUUUUACUUUUCAUCUUUAUCACAAAAAUACCAAACAUAUUAUCUUUAUCAUAUCUAUCAGAUCUCACUCUCAUAAGUGGCCGUGUAGGGAUUGACAACCCCUAUUCGCGUUGGUUGCGAGGAUUUAUUUGUUUUGUGCAAGUACGAGGGACUCGCGCGUAGCCUCCUACUGGAUUGAUACCCUUGGUUCUCAAACUGAGGGAAAUACUUACGCUACUUUGCUACAUCAUCCCUUCCUCUUCGGGGAAAACCAACGCAGUGCUCAAGAGGUAGCAAGAAGGAUUUCUGGUGCCAAUGCCGGGGAGGUCUACGCAAAAGUCAACAUACCAAGUACCCGUCACAUACCCUUAUCUCCCGCAUUACAUUAUUUGCCAUUUGCCUCUCGUUUUCACCUCCCCCACUUCACCCUUGCCAUUUUAUUCGCCCUCUCUCUCUCUCUAUCCUCCCUCUCUUUCUCUAUUUGCCUCUUUUUUCCCGCUUGCUUUCUGUUUGCUUGUGUGUUAGUUGCUUGCUUGUCACGAUGGCUCAAGAUAAUACUAAAUUAUGUGACUUCACCAAUACCAACAACAAUCAUUUUAUUAGCACUCCGAUUGCUCCUCUUACCGAUGCUGAAUCUUGUGAAAUUAAUACUGCUUUGCUGAAUCUUGUCAUGAAAGAUCUGUUUUCCGGCCUUCCUAGUGAACAUGCCGGUACCCACCUAAAUAGAUUCAUUGAUUUGUGUGACAUGCAAAAAAAAGAAAGGUGUGGAUAAUGAUAUUGUUAAAUUGAAGCUAUUUCCUUUUUUGCUUAGAGAUCGUGCUAAAGCUUGGUUUUCGUCUUUGCCUAAAAAUAGUAUUGAUUCAUGGAAUAAGUGCAAAGAUGCUAUUAUCUCUAAGUAUUUUCCUCCUACUAAGAUCAUCUCUCUUAGAAACAAUAUUAUGAAUUUUAAGCAACUUGAUCAUGAACAUGUUGCACAAGCUUGGGAGAGAAUGAAACUAAUGGUACGUAAUUGCCCUGCCCAUGAUUUAAAUUUGUGGAUGAUUAUACAAAAAUGUUAUGCCGGAUUGAAUUUUGCUUCUAGAAAUCUUUUAGAUUCGGCCGCGGGAGGCACUUUUAUGGAAAUCACUUUAGAAGAAUCUACUAAACUCCUAGAUAAUAUUAUGGUUAAUUAUGCUCAACGGCAUAGUAAAAUAUCUAAUAAUAAAAAGGUGCAUGCGAUACAAGAAAUUAAUGUUUUGAGUGGAAAGAUGGAUGAACUUCUGAAAUUAUUUGCUAAUAAGAGUGUUUCUUCUGAUCCUAAUGAUAUACCCUUGUCUACUUUGAUUGAGAAUAGUAAUGAAUCUAUGGAUGUGGAUUUUGUUGGUAGGAACAAUUUUGGUAACAACGCGUAUAGAGGAAAUUUCAACCCUAGGCCUUAUCCUAGUAAUCUCUCUAAUAAUUAUGGUAAUUCCUACAACAAUUCUUAUGGAAAUUAUAAUAAGAUGCCCUCUAAUUUUGAAUCUAAUAUUAAAGAAUUUAUUACUUUGCAAAAGAAUUUCAAUACCUUGAUUGAAGAAGAACCGCUAGGAUGCGUGCUAAGAAAGAUGCCUUUAUAAGAGCGUGUUCUUCUAGUUCCUAUGAAAAUAAUGAUGAAGAUCUAAAAGUUAUUGAUGUGUUCCCUAUUAAAUCUUUGUUUUUCAACAUGGAUCUUGAUAAUGAUGGGAUUGAAUAUGAUCCACCUUUACCUAUAAGGCGUUCCAAGAAUUCAGAAUUUGUUGAUCUUGAUGCUAAAAUUGAUAAAGGUGGGAUUGAAGAAAUUAAAACCCUAGAUGUUGCUAAACCCACUAUUAUGGAUUUCAAGGAAUUUAACUAUGAAAAUUGCUCUUUUAUUGAUUGUAUAUCCUUUUUACAAUCCGUGCUAAAUUCUCCUCAUGCUUAUAGUCAAAAUAAAGCGUUUACUAAACAUAUCGUUGAUGCCUUGAUGCAAUCUUAUGAAGAAAAACUUGAAUUGGAAGUUUCUAUCCCUAGAAAGCUUUAUGAUGAGUGGGAACCAACUAUUAAAAUUAAAAUUAAAUAUCAUUAAUGCUAUGCUUUAUGUGAUUUGGGUGCUAGUGUUUCCACGAUUUCAAAGACUUUGUGUGAUUUGUUAGGUUUCCGUGAUUUUGAUGAUUGCUCUUUAAACUUGCGCCUUGUGGAUUCCACUAUUAAGAAACCUAUGGGAAGAAUUAAUGAUGUUCUUAUUGAUGCAAAUAGGAAUUAUGUGCCUGUAGAUUUUAUUGUUCUUGACAUAGAUUGCAAUCUUUCAUGUCCUAUUAUUCUUGGUAGACCUUUCCUUAGAACGAUUGGUGCAAUUAUUGAUAUGAAGGAAGGAAAUAUUAGAUUCCAAUUUCCAUUAAGGAAAGUCAUGGAACACUUUACUAGAAAGUAAAUUAAAUUACCUUAUGAAUCUAUUAUGAUAGCCACUUAUGGAUUGCCUACCAAAGAUGGCAAUACCUAGAUCUAUCCUUGCUUGUUAUGCCUAGCUAGGGGCGUUAAACGAUAGCGCUUGUUGGGAGGCAACGCAAUUUUGUUUUUAUUCCUUGAUUUUUGCUCCUGUUUAGUAAUAAAUAAUUUAUCUAGCCUCUGUUUUGGUUGUGUCCUUUGUGUUUAAUUAGUGUUGGUGCCAAGUAGAACCGUUAGGAAGACUUGGGGAAAGUCUUGUUACACUUGCUGUAAAAAACAGAAACUUCAGCGCUCACGAGAACUACUGCCAUUUUUAUUUGGAAAGUUCUAUUUAGUUAAUUAUUUCUGCAGAUGAUUAAUAGAUAAAUUCCUCACGUCCAGAAAUUUAUUUUAGAAUUUUUGGGGUUCCAGCUCUUGAGCUAGGUACAGAUUACUACAGACUGUUCUGUUUUUGAAAGAUUUUGUUUUUCAUGUGUUGUUUGCUUAUUUUGAUGAACCUAUGGCUAGUAAAAUAGUUGAUAGACCAUAGAUAAGUUGGAAUACAGUAGGUAUAACACCAAUAUAAAUAAAUAAUGAGUUCAUUAUAGUACCUUGAAGUGGUCUUUUAUUUUCUUUCGCUAACGGAGCUCACGAGAUUUUCUACUUUAAGUUUUGUGUUGUGAAGUUUUCGAGUUUUGGGUAAAGAUUUGAUGGUUUAUGGAACAAGGAGUGACAAGAGCCUAAGCUUGGGGAUGCCCAUGGCACCCCCAAGAUAAUCUAAGUACACCUAAAAGCCAAAGCUUGGGGAUGCCCCGGAAGUCAUCCCCUCUUUCGUCUACUUCUAUCGGUAACUUUACUUGGAGCUAUAUUUUUAUUCGCCACAUGAUAUGUGUUUUGCUUGGAGCAUCUUGUAUUAUUUGACUCUUUAUUUGUUAGUUUACCACAAUCAUCCUUCCUGUACACACCUUUUUUAGAAUACUCUAUGUGCUUCGCUUAUAUCUUUUGAGUUAUAUAGUUUUGCUCUAGUACUUCACUUAUAUCUUUUAGAGCACGGUGGUGGAUUUGUUUUAUAAAAACUAUUGAUCUCUCAUGCUUCACUUAGAUUAUUUUGAGAUGCUUAAUAGCAUGGUAAUUUGCUUAAAAUCCUAAUAUGCUAGGUAUUCAAAGUUAGUAUAAUUUUCUUAAGAGUGUUUUGAAUACUAAGAGAAGUUUGAUGCUUGAUGAUUGUUUUGAGAUAUGGAGGUAAUAAUAUCAAAGUCGUGCUAGUUGAGUAGUUGUGAAAUUGAGAAAUACUUGUGUUGAAAUUUGCAUGUCCCGUAGCAUGCACAUAUGGUAAACGUUGUGUAACAAAUUUGAAACAUCAGGUGUUAUUUGAUUGUCUUCCUUAUGAGUGGCGGUCGGGGACGAGCGAUGGUCUUUUCCUACCAAUCUAUCCCCCUAGGAGCAUGCGCGUAGUACCGAGGUUUUUGAUCACUUGUAGAUUUUUGCAAUAAGUAUGUGAGUUCUUUAUGACUAAUGUUGAGUCCAUGAAUUAUACGCACUCUCACCCUUCCAUCCUUGCUAGCCUCUUCGGUACCGUGCAUUGCCCUUUCCCACAUUGAGUGUUGGAGCAAACUUCGCCGGUGCAUCCAAACCCCGUGAUAUGAUACGCUCUUUCACACAUAAACCUCCUUAUAUCUUCCUCAAAACAGCCACCAUACCUACCUAUUAUGGCAUUUCCAUAGCCAUUCCGACAUAUAUUGCCAUGCAACUUUCCACCAUUCCGUUCAUCAUGACACAUUCAUCAUUGUCAUAUUGCUUAGCAUAAUCAUGUUGUUGACAUAGUAUUUGUGGCAAGGCCACUGUUCAUAAUUCUUUCAUACAUGUCACUCUUGGUCCAUUGCAUAUCCCGGUACACCGCUGGAGGCAUUCAUAUAGAGUCAUACUUUGUUCUAGUAUCGAGUAGUAAUUAUUGAGUUGUAAAUAAAUAGAAGUGUGAUGAUCAUCAUUAAUAGAGCAUGGUCCCAAAGAGAGAAAAAAGGAAGGGCCAAAAAAGGCCAAAUAAAAAAUAUAAAAAAGGGGGGCAAUGCUACUAUCCUUUUUUCCACACUUGUGAUUCAAAGUAGCACUGUAAUCUUCAUGAUAGAGAGUAUCUUGAUUUGUCACUUUCAUAUACUAGUGGGAAUUUUUCAUUAUAGAACUUGGCUUGUAUAUUCCAACAAUGGGCCUCCUUAAGUGCCCUAGGUCUUCGUGAGCAAGCAAGUUGGAUGCACACCCACUUAGUUUCUUUUGUUGAGCUUUCAUACAUUUAUAGCUCUAGUGCAUCCGUUGCAUGGCAAUCCCUACUCCUUGCAUUAACAUCAAUCGAUGGGCAUCUCCAUAGCCCAUUGAUUAGCCUCGUUGAUGUGAGACUUUCUCCUUUUUGUCUUCUCCACAUAACUCCACUCAUUAUAUUCUAUUCCACCCAUAGUGUUAUGUCCAUGGCUUGCAAUCAUAUAUUGCGUGGAAGUUUAUAGGUUUGAGAUCACUAAAGUAUGAAACAAUUGCUUAGCUUGUCAUCGGGGUUGUGCAUGAUGAGAGCGUUGUUGUGUGACAAAAAUGAAGCAUGACUAAACUAUAUGAUUUUGUAGGGAUGAACUUUCUUUGGCCAUGUUAUUUUGAGAAGACAUAAUUGCUCAGUUAGUAUGCUUGAAGUAUUAUUAUUUUUAUGUCAAUAUGAACUUUUGUCUUGAAUCUUUCGGAUCUGAAUAUUCAUAUCACAAUUAAGAAGAAUUACAUUAAAAUCAUGCUAAGUAGCACUCUGCAUCAAAAAUUCUGUUUUUAUCAUUUACCUACUCGAGGACGAGCAGGAAUUAAGCUUGGGGAUGCUUGAUACGUCUCCAACGUAUCUAUAAUUUUUGAUUGCUCCAUGCUAUAUUAUCUACUGUUUUGGACAAUAUUGGGCUUUAUUAUCCACUUUUAUAUUAUUUUUGGGACUAACCUAUUAACCGGAGGCCCAGCCCAGGAUUGCUGUUUUUUGCCUAUUUUAGGGUUUCGAAGAAAAGGAAUAUCAAACGGAGUCCAAACGGAAUGAAACCUUCGGGAACGUGAUUUUCUCAACGAACAAGACCCAGGAGACUUGGACCCUCCGUCAAGACACAAAAGAGGAGGCCACGAGGUAGGGGGCGUGCCUACCCCCCGGGCGCGCCCUCCACCCUCGUGGGCCCCCUGUUGCUCCACCGACGUACUCCUUCCUCCUAUAUAUACCUACGUACCCCCAAAUGAUCAUAUACGGAGCCAAAACCCUAAUUACACCGCCGCAACAUUUUGUAUCCACGAGAUCCCAUCUUGGCGCCUGUUCCGGAGCUCCGCCGGAGGGGGCAUCGAUCAUGGAGGGCUUCUACAUCAACACCAUAGCCUCUCCGAUGAAGUGUGAGUAGUUGACCUCAGACCUACGGGUCCAUAGUUAUUACCUAGAUGGCUUCUUCUCUCUUUUUGGAUCUCAAUACAAUGUGCUCCCCCUCUCUUGUGGAGAACUAUUCGAUGUAAUCUUCUUUUUGUGGUGUGUUUGUUGAGACCGAUGAAUUUUGGGUUUAUGAUCAAGUCUAUCUAUGAAUAAUAUUUGAAUCUUCUCUGAAUUCUUUUAUGUAUGAUUGGUUAUCUUUGCAAGUCUCUUCGAAUUACCCGUUUGGUUUGGCCUACUAGAUUGAUCUUUCUUGCAAUGGGAGAAGUGCUUAGCUUUGGGUUCAAUCUUGCGGUGUCCUUUCCCAGUGACAGUAGGGGCAGCAAGGUACGUAUUGUAUUGUUGCCAUCGAGGACAACAAGAUGGGGUUUUCAUCAUAUUUUAUGAGUCUAUCCCUCUACAUCAUGUCAUCUUACUUAAGGCAUUAAUCUGUUUUUAACUUAAUACUCUAGAUGCAUGCUGGAUAGCGGUCGAUGAGUGGAGUAAUAGUAGUAGAUGCAGGCAGGAGUCGGUCUACUUGUCUCGGACGUGAUGCCUAUAUACAUGAUCAUACCUAGAUAAUCUCAUAACUAUGCUCAGUUCUGUCAAUUGCUCAAUAGUAAUUUGUUCACCCACCGUAGAAUACUUAUGCUCUUGAGAGAAGCCACUAGUGAAACCUAUGGCCCCCGGGUCUAUCUUUAUCAUAUUAAUCUCCUACUACUUAGUUAUUUCCUUUGCUUUUUUACUUUGCCUUUAUUUUACUUUGCAUCUUUAUCACAAAAAUAAAAAUAUCUUUAUCAUAUCUAUCAAAUCUCACUCUCGUAAGUGGCCGUGUAGGGAUUGACAACCCCUAUUCACGUUGGUUGCGAGGAUUUAUUUGUUUUGUGCAGGUACGAGGGACUGGCGCAUAGCCUCCUACUGGAUUGAUACCUUGGUUCUCAAAACCUAAGGGAAAUACUUACGCUACAUUGCUGCAUCAUCCCUCACUCUUCGGGGAAAACCAACGCAGUGCGCAAGAGGUAGCAAGGGUUCCUUUUUGUCGACGAUCUGAUGUUUCAACCUUGUUUUCCAGGCGGCCAACGCAUCGCUCAACUUGGUCAUGGCGUGUUUGUUUAUCUUCGUCAUUGCCAGGUCCUUAUCUGGAUCUUUAUUAUCCUUUUCAUUACGGUCCGGGAACAAGAAUAUCUGGUGCAGCUUCUUUAGGAGGGAGGGCCUCUGGUGCAGCUUCUAUAGUUUCCCAUCGUUGAUCAUGGCAGUUGUCCGUACAAUGCAACCUAUUUGAUUGCCGUAGCACGAUUGCGCUUCCUCGGGUGCUAUUGUCUCAAAAAUACCGUCGUCCAUCUCCGUGACCACCAGUCUAGUACUCAUGAGCUGGUUUAGGCGUCGUGGCCUCUUUGCUUUCGGUUCUAGACUAACUCCGCUAGUCUCGGCGCUGGUCUCAGUCUCAUCGCCGGUCUGCAUGUCGGUAUCAGUCCCUGAUGCGACAACACAGUCGCUGCAACAUGGGUAAGGGAGACCACAUCAGUGCUGGGGGGUCCGAAAAUCGGGACACACUUUCGCGCGUCGCGGGCCGCCUCUCAGACAGCUACUGGGGAGGCGGCGGAGUACCUGGGUGCGCCGCGAAUCCCCGGGAACUCGGUGACCAACUUCCUUCCCGUGUGGCGCAUGGAGACGACAGCGACCCCGGCGAAGAGUAGCUUAGCCGCGAGCUGCACAGCCUCGUCCACCUCCUAAGUUGGGACCUCCGCGCAAGCGUUGCGGGGCCGCCGCUCGGGUGGCUUCUGGAAGGCGGUUGUACAUGGGCACAGGGUGAAUCCCGACUAGAGCUGGCCAUUGGCGCGCGCAAGUAGACGACGACGUCCCCGACGAAGAGCUGCCCGGCCAGCUCGCCUCACUCUCCUUUGAUUAGAAAUGAAAGAUUGGGAAGAAGCAGACUUGAGCCUGCAGAGAAAGGAUAAGGUGACGAUGCAGUCUCCACUCGUUCGGGGCGACACGCGUACUGAAUGUAUGAGAAACGUGACGUGGCAGAGACCCCAAGAUACUCCCUCCAUUUAUUUUUAGUCUGCAUAUAAAGUUUGGUCAAAGUCAAGAUUUGUAAAUUUUAACUAACUUUAUAAUAAAAAAAUAUCAAUAUUCACAAUAUGAAAUCAAUAUUACCAGAUGCGUCAUGAAAUGUAUUUCCAUACUAUAAAGUUUUGGUAUUGUAGAGGCACUCUUCCAUAUAAUGAAGUUUAUAAUAUAUGUGCUUAUAUUGUACUACAAUUGUUUGAAUAGCUUAGCAUAUGUUCAGAUGUAUGAUAUCUGUAAUUUAAGCGCUUGAAUUUUACAUAUAAAUAUUUAUUAAUAAAUAUGUACCCCUAUAAUAGCUAGGCCGUGCAGUUGCACGGGUAGAUGACUAGUGAUUACAAUCUUGUUUGUGUGCAAGUCAAGCUUAUCUAGUUUACACGUAACAACUUGUAGAACAUUACAAAAUUUAUGCUUGCUAAUAACUUCUAGAACACUACAACACUUGACAUGUAAAAGGAAUUUGACGAGUCAUGGCCUACUAAAGCAAGUUACAUUACUAGUCUUAUCUAUCUUAACAGACCACACAAGAUUACAAACUAAGUACCGUGACAGCCAUACUUAUCUAGUUUAUGCGUAACAAUUUGCAGAAAAUUAGAAACUUAGUUUCAGAAAAAUACGCAAUCUAGAUUAGUGUUUGAGCUGUAAAGUGAAUAAGAUGAGUCAUGCAUGUUAUCACACCUUUUUGGUGGUGGAAUGAUAGUGCAACAACAAGGAACUUUAAUGACCAGUCCAAGAAUACACUUGUAAGUAGUGCCACCAAACAGAACAUUCCAAAUGAUGAUUUUUAGAAGCAUCCAAGCACUUUCCACACAAACAAAUGCCAAUUGUGAAAGAGAUCAUUCCAUGGCAGCUAUAAAUAGCCCCAUAGCAUGACGAUCAUCCUUCCUCAUCCAUCAUUCUCAUUAGUAGAGCGCAUCAUUUAAGCCAAGCAAGCUGUGGUCAAUACAAAUCCACCAUGAAGACCUUUCUCAUCCUUGCCCUCCUUGCUAUCGUGGCGACCACCGCCACAACUGCAGUUAGAGUUCCAGUGCCACAAUUGCAGCCACAAAAUCCAUCUCAGCAACAGCCACAAGAGCAAGUUCCAUUGGUACAACAACAACAAUUUCUAGGGCAGCAACAACCAUUUCCACCACAACAACCAUAUCCACAGCCGCAACCAUUUCCAUCACAACAACCAUAUCUGCAGCUGCAACCAUUUCCGCAGCCGCAACUACCAUAUUCGCAGCCACAACCAUUUCGACCACAACAACCAUAUCCACAACCGCAACCACAGUAUUCGCAACCACAAGAACCAAUUUCACAGCAGCAGCAACAACAACAACAACAACAACAAAUCCUUCAACAAAUUUUGCAACAACAACUGAUUCCAUGCAUGGAUGUUGUAUUGCAGCAACACAACAUAGCGCAUGGAAGAUCACAAGUUUUGCAACAAAGUACUUACCAGCUAUUGCAAGAAUUGUGUUGUCAGCACCUAUGGCAGAUCCCUGAGCAGUCGCAGUGCCAGGCCAUCCAAAAUGUUGUUCAUGCUAUUAUUCUGCAUCAACAACAAAAACAACAACAACAACCAUCGAGCCAGGUCUCCUUCCAACAGCCUCUGCAACAAUAUCCAUUAGGCCAGGGCUCCUUCCGGCCAUCUCAGCAAAACCCACAGGACCAGGGCUCUGUCCAGCCUCAACAACUGCCCCAGUUCGAGGAAAUAAGGAACCUAGCGCUACAGACGCUACCUGCAAUGUGCAAUGUCUACAUCCCUCCAUAUUGCACCAUCGCGCCAUUUGGCAUCUUCGGUACUAACUGAGAAGAAAAUAACUCUAGUACUAGAUAUAUGAAACACCGUUUUCUCAGUCCAUGGUUUGGUCAUUGUAGCGUUGAAAAAAUAAUGUGACAUGCA
This 108856-nucleotide long non-coding RNA is filed under the name Triticum aestivum (bread wheat). Its description in RNAcentral is "long non-coding RNA (TAES_LNC009704)". The record is from RNAcentral. Lineage: Eukaryota; Viridiplantae; Streptophyta; Magnoliopsida; Poales; Poaceae.